GCACGCGUACAGCGUGGGGUGGCUGAAGCGCGCGUGCGAGGGGGCGCUGGCGCUGCGGCUGACGGCGGAGGGCGUGGCGGACGUGUUGCUGCUGGCGCGGCAGUGCGACGCCCCGCGGCUGUACCUCCGCUGCAUGAAGCUGCUGGCCAAGGACUUCGCCGCCGUCAAGAAGACCGAGGCCUGGCAGUUCCUCCAGGCCAACGACCCCUGGCUCGAGCUCGAAAUCCUCCAGUUCCUCCAGGAGGCCGAACUGGUACGUCACCAAAAUGUAUUAUGUUUGGUUCUCCCGUAGAAUAUAGUAAUUUUUGACAAUUCAUAUAAAUAAAUAAAUAAAUAAAUAGAUAGAUAAAAAUAUAUAAAAUUUAUCUGAAUUAUGAAUUAUUUUGAUAGAGAAAGAAGCGGGUUGGGCGCAAGCUGGCGUACCAGCGGGUGUAUGAAGAGCUGGGGGACGCAAUGGAGUGCCUGCAGCACAUGUACGUGGGCAAGGAGGGAAGCAAGAAGAACCACCCCUGCUCCUCAUCUGCCUGCUACCGCAACCUGCAGCUCCUCAUCCAACACCUCGCCGCCUGCCCCCGCAGGAAAGCCUGCCCCCGCUGCUGCCGCAUGUUGCAGCUCCUCCGCCUCCACUCCGCCAUCUGCGACGACAGCACGCAACAGGCUUGCCGCAUCCCUCUUUGCUCGUAAGUCUCUACGCUGCUAUCGUAAAAGAAUUUGUUAGUUAAUGCUUUUAUCAUCCGCCUACGUUCAGGUGUAUCUGAGUCAUUUGGCUUUCAUAUGACUGAUGAUUGUUUAGGAAACAUUGGGAGGGAGUAUGCUGAGUUGGUGGUUGAUUGAUUUUAUAGUCUAUUUGGUACCACUUCUGUAUCUGUUCUCAGCAGCAGCAGCAGCAGUAUCAAGGAGAAAUUCUGGAGCUUCUGCUGUAGCGAGAAACUGAAAUUAGAUUUUCAACGUCAAAAACGAAUUACGUAAUGCUUCUUCUAAUAGCACGACAUCUAUUGGCAGUGUAAUCGCUCUAAUGUUUGGGGAGUUUGACAUAUUUUUCCUUUUCUUUUUGUUAGAGAACAAACUUAACCACUGAUGCCCUGCUUGUUGGGUUUUCCGUCUAUACCUGCAGGCACUUCAAGCUGAGAAUGCAGCAGCAGAAGGAAGAUUCUCAGCAGCAGCAGAAGGAAGGGAAAGAAGAGGACGACACGUGGCAGCUUCUGGUGAAGAAGGUGAAGGUUGCUCGAGUUAUGUCCUCCUUCUCUAAGAGGAAGGGACAGGAAGGAGUUCAUGAGCAAUUCGCCCUUUGCUCUACUACUGCAAAGACCAGUGACUAAUGUCAUGGAAAUUUUCUUUUUCCUUUUGUUCUUUCCCCCCUGUUAGUAAGGAAUUAAGAUGCGCCUUCCUUAUAAAGAGAGCAGCUCGAUGCACGUAUAUGCAUGCCAAUCUUCUAGAGAGAGAGUUCUUAGCUUGUUAAAAAAAGGAGCAUGCAGCUGUUAUAGAAGUGAAACUUGUAUUAGAUAAUAGUUUGGUGUGUGUAUAUGUAUGUCUAUCUUCUAGAGAGAGAAAGAGUUUUUAGCUUGUAAAAAUGGGGCAGGCAGCUGUUAUAGAAGUGGAACUUGUAUUAGAGAAGAGUUUGGUGUGUGUAUAUGUAUGUCUAUCUUCUAGAGAGAGAGAGAAAGAGUUCUUAGCUUGUUAAAAAAUGGUAGGUAGCUGUUAUAGAAGUGGAACUUGUAUUAGAGAGGAGUUUGGUGUGUGUAUAUGUAUGUCUAUCUUCUAUAGAGAGAGAAAGAGUUCUUAGCUUGCAAAAAUGGGGCAGACAACUGUUAUAGAAGUGGAACUUGUAUUAGAGAGGAGCUUGGUGUGUAUAUGUAUGUCUAUAUUCUAGAGAGAGAGAGAAAGAGUUCUUAGCUUGCUAAAAAAGGGCAGUAGCUGUUAUAGAAGUAGAACUUGUAUUAAAAAGGAGUUUAGUGUGUUUAUGUAUGUCUAUCUUCUAGAGAGAGAGAAAGAGUUCUUAGCUUGCAAAAAUAGGGCAGACAGCUGUUAUAGAAGUGAAACUUGUAUUAGAGAGGAGCUUGGUGUGUGUCUAUGCAUGUCUAUCUUCUAGAGAGACAGAAAGAGCUCUUAACUUGCAAAAAAAGGGCAGGCAGCUAUUAUAAAAGUGGAACUUGUAUUAGAGAGGAGCUUGAUGUGUGUAUAUGUAUGUUUAUCUUUUAGAGAGAGAGACUUCUUAGUUUAUAUAAAAAGGGGCAGGUAGCUGUUAUAGAAGUGGAAUUUGUAUUAGAGAGGAGCUUGGUGUGUAUAUAUGUAUGCCUAUCUUUCAGAGAGAAUCACUCCAGCUGUUAUAAAAGUGGAUCUUGUAUUAGCAUAAGAACAAUUAGUUACAUUUUGCAACUAACUUAAGAUAUAAUAUGCAAUAAGAAACUUAAGCUGAUCAUGAUUUUUAAAUAUAAUUGAUUCAUCGAAUGACGAACGUACAAAUGUCUUUUUGGAUGCUUAGCAUAGUAUUUCGCUUUUGUUUACUCAAGAGUGUUGCAGUAAUUCUUGCAAUUGAUAGCCGAAAAAUGCGAUCAAUAUCUAUAACUAUAAUAUAUAAUAAAAAUAAAUGGGCUAAAAGACUCAAUUUUUAAUAAAAAUAAAAUAAUCUUUAUUUUUAUAAAAUAAGUUAUUAUUAAAUAAUUUAUUUUACCAUCCAAAUGAACCUUAAAAUUUACAUUUCCUCCGCAUUUCCUGGUAAUGAAGCUGACCCUAGUUUUCUCCAUGCAAAUCAGGUUAGAGUCGAUAGAUCAGAAUGUCGUAAUCAAAUUACAAUCUUUGAAGUUUCCCUAAUGAAAGAGAUCUCUAAGUUAAGAAAUUCGAGUCUAGUCUACAGUAAUUAAAGAUUAUUUGACGUGUAGAAUUAGGUAUGCAUGUCAGCAAUGACUAAGUUGAAAAAGUCCAUUAGUACGUUCUAUUAAUUUAAUUCAUCGUCACGCCUUUUACUUUAUGAACUUGACCACACGCCUAAUGACAGAUCAAUCACUCCAGAGAUCAUUUACGCGCUGAUGAAACAAUUUUUAUUUCAUUUAGCUGCUGAUCGCAAUUUUGUCCGAUGAAGCCGCCUUAGGAGGACCGGAAUUCGAGAAUUACGCAGGAGUAAAACUUAAUAAAGAGGUUUUCUUACUCCGAACUAUAACCGCCUAUUUGGUACAUUUGACUGAAAAUUGAGUUCCUAAUUUUCAACAAUUUAGUACGGUAGUCCAACGCAAAAUUCACGAAGUUUAAGUGAAGCCAAAGUAACUUCUGCCGUGAUCAAGAAGGACACGAGCCAACAGCUCAUCCGUGGCAGCAUUAGACCGACGGGCCACAGACGAGCAUCCUUGGCUUGGGGCAAAGCUUUGGCAGAGAGCGGAAAAGGUUCUGGUCCUUCACAGCCUCGGGUCGGGAUACAGCACGGCACGGAUACUAUAAUACUAUUGCCAGGCCAGACCGGCCUGAGCCUCUGGGCUGUGCUGGGCUGCUCCUCUGUGGCCCGACGGCCUGGCACGGCGGGAGGCCGAUCUUCAUACUUGGGAUAUUUUUUGAAUAUCCCAUCAACCAAUAUCUCAAUAAAUUCAUGGACCACAAUUUUAUGGAUGUACAGAUACAGCAGAUUUUAGUGUGUUCAGAUCGAGAUAUUUGGACAGCUUGCAACAACUAGUACUAUUUUUUUUUUUUUUUCCCCUCAAAAAAGAAAUAAUACUAAGGUACAUUUUAAUUUAUUAUGAUAAAAAUAUUAGAGGUUGAGAGGAUACCACCCUCCAUAAGUUUAGUCGAGUCUCUUUCUAAGCAGCGUCAGUUCUGACAUUUACGACUAAACUUCUAAUAGCCUGAUGAUAAUGUACACGUAACCUAUACACAUAACGUCCUAUCUUAAGAUUAUGACGUUCCAACUUGUGUCUGUGCCCAUAAGAUUUUUUCUUGGGCCAAGUGUUUAGAAUAGAUUUUUGAAAUAAAAGAAAUAAGGAAAGAAAAAAAAGAAAAAGACAUUGAGGUCGCUUCUGGCCCCAGCUUUUCAUAAAAUCUACACGCGCCGUGCUCGACCCGAAGGGACCAUGGAUUGCAGUGGCGAUAGAACAAUCUAAAUCUAAGCAUCCAACCCAUUUCAUUCAAUUUGAUCCUAGCCGUUGGAUUUCAUAGUGCUAAUUAAUGUUGCCAAAGAAUUAUUCGUUAAUUACUCGUAUUCUUUUUUUGUUAAUUGCCCGAAUCUUUUUUUUUGAAAAAUAAAUUUUCUCUUAAAAUAGUUAGUGUUGUGGGUUUAGAUCGAAAGAUUUAGACAUGACAGAAUGACCGGAUGGUCCACAGCUAGUGCAGUGCUCUAAGCAAUAAUUUAACAUUGCUUAAUUUGUCGUAUAGCCUGGCUAUUUAUACAUUCCAAAAAAAAAAUAAAUUUUACAACACAAGUUGUGUCGAUGCGUGUGGCUAUUUAUACAUUCCAAAAAAAUAAUAAAUUUUACAACACAAGUUGUGUCGAUGCGUGUGGCUAUUUAUACUUUCCAAAAAGAAAAAAUUUACAAUACAAGUUGUGUCGAUACGAGUGGCUAUUUAUACUUUCCAAAAAAAAAAAAAUUUACAACACAAGUUGUGUCGAUACAUGUUGUUCACAAAAUAAUAACAGUAAAUAUUUAUCUUUGUCACGCCCAUAUACUAUUAACUAUUUACUAAUUUAUAAGAAAAGUAUUAUUUUUUUAGAGAGAUAGGUAGCUUGCUACCUGCUUCGUUUAUUUUGUUUAAAAAUAAACUUAGCUGGAAAUGUGAAUCAACUAGGAUUCGAAUCUGGAUCUCGGGUACCAACCACCAAGUCCUUUGCCACUUGUUCUAGGGACGGUCGGUAAAAAAAAAAAAAAGUAAAUUUUAAAUCGUGUCAUCACCUUACGGUAGGAAAAUUAUACUAUGCUGAUAUUUUGUUGGUACCACACAACGCAGCAGGAACUUAAAAUCUUUGGAUCCUUUACUUCUUUUAAUCAAAUUCCAUUGCAGGUAUUUGCAAGACAUUAGUAAGUAUAAAAAAAUGAUAAGAAAAUGUUGAGAAGAUAUCUUGCCACGUCGGUAUAAAAGACAAAAUUUCAAAUUUAAUAUUCAAUGAUAUGGAUUCAUUACAAAAAAUGCGACAGAAUAAUUUGCCAAAUAUAAAAAGAAAAGGAGCUUAAUUUGAAGGAUUUUACAAUUGUAUAUUUUCUAUUACAAAUCUCUAUAUAUUAAUAAAGUUUCAUUCCUCACUCGAUGUGAGAGGAAUUCACCAAUUUUAAAUUUUCUUUAUGGUAUCAAAGCAGAAGGUCUUGAGUUUGAAUCACGCCAGGUUCCUAGCAUAUUAAUUUUCUCCUAUUUAAUUUAAGCCCACAUCAUAGGUCAACUAAAAAGUCUCGAAUUCAUGCGUGAAGGGGAGUGUAAACAUAACUGUGGCAAAGAAUUUAUACUGUGGUCCAAGGCCACUUAAGAGCCAAAAAAUCUUACUUUGAUCAGAGACAGGUUUGCCAAUAGCAUUUAAUUGAUCACAAAUCGACUUAAACUCUCGCAAAUAUGCAAAUAAGGAAGAUGUAUCAUUCUUUAUAUAUUGAAGUUUCGAAAGUAAUUCAAAUUCACGAGCCUGCGAAUUUGGAGAAAAUGUAUAUGCAAGAGCUUGCCAUACACCUGUUGAAGUCUUCACAUCUACAACAAGUCUCAGGACUUCUUCGGAGAGAGUUCUGGUGAUCCAAGUUUUCACUAGACGAUUCGUACGCGUCCAUGCUGUGAAAUCUGAAUUUUAAAUUUUGCUACUUUUGUCAGAUGAAGGUACUUCAUGAUGUGGUGGCUUUGAUUCUCCAGUGAUGAAACCAAGUAAAUCGCGACUCUCGAUUAAUGAUAAUACUUGUGUUUCCUACAGUAAAUAAUUGGCUGUGGUAUUAAUUUGAGAGAAAUGAAAUUAGCAACAUGGAGGUUGGAUAAAUAUGGAUAUUUGGAGGUUGAAGUCAGUAUCUUUGAGAAGGUGGUAGUCUUUCGGUAUGGCUCUGAUACCAUAAAGAAAAUUUAAAAUGAAUGAAUUCUUCUCACAUUAGGUGAAGGAAGAAAUUUUAUUAAUAUAUAGAGAUUUAUACAUGAAUGAAUAGAAAAUAUAUAAUUAUAAAAUCUUUCAAAUUAGGCUUUUUUUUUCUUUGUAUUUGACAAAUUAUCAUGUUGUGAUUUUUUUUUUAUAAUAAAUUUAUAUUAUUGAAUAUUAAAUUUAAAAUAUUGCCUUUCAUGGCCGGACAGUUGCAGUUGGUGCGGCCGGGAGGUGGGUCUGGGAGCUGAGCUGUCUGUUGUUUCGGAUCAGAACGGAGCCGCUGGCGUCCGCGUCAGCAGCUUCCGGGUCGGGCGGCUGGCAGCGGGGACGGAGUCGCUUCGGCGCUCCAANUCUCUCUCUCUCUCUCUCUCCCUCUCUAAUCGCCCCUUUGAGCCCCCCUUAAUAGCUUACGUCACUAAUGAAAUCAUCACCUACUAGCAAAGCCGGUUAGUCGGUGAGAGGACAAAUCGCAUUUAGACCCUCUGACCCUUCCGAAUGUUGCCAUUAUAGAUCCCUCUUGUAUUAAUCUAUAUUUUUUUUUCAAAUGUUGCCAUUAUAGAUCCCUCUUGUAUUAAUCUAUAUUUUUUUUUCAAAAAAAAAUAUAGUAAACCAUCUGUUCUAUUUUUUAAAAAAAAUAAAUUAAGUUAUAAAAAAAAGAAAGGUCGAGAGGGUGAGAUUGGACCCUAGAACAGUCUAUCACAGCUAGACCAAUCUUUACCGCAGAUUAUCCAAUCUCCUAUCCGAGUAAAUAUAUUGUUUACGAUCUGUAAAUAUGAUUUCUUUUGAUGUUUGAUUGUUCAGAAAUUCUGUUAUUUCUUUCUAACUAGAUCGUCCGCUACGAGGAUGUAAGCACGGUAAGUUUCUCACUUCUUCUUUGUAUGUUUUGAAUUUUUUUUGUUAUCUUUUAAAGAUCACGUUCUGGUUGUGCAAUGUGAGUAUAGAAGAAUAUCUUUAAAAUAAACUUAUAUGAGUAAGGCUUACUUUGUGAUGUAUUAAUAAGCUUAUAUGAUAUUGUUAGAAUGCGUGUGUUAGUAUAUCAGUUUUCUCCAUAUCAUCAGUAUUAAUAUAUUAUAAUAGUAUUUUGAAAAACUUACAGUAAUAUUUAAACUUUGAAUAGUCAUAUAAGUUUCUGUGUUUAUUUUAUUAGUUGACUACGAAAAUCAAUUUUCUUCUCAAUUGUUUCAAACUUUUUCUUUUUUCCUGUUAAUUUCCUGUCACCUCUAAACAUGCAAUUAAUUAAUUAAUAAAAACAUAUAAGGGUACAUAUGCAAAUUUCCCCCAGAUUAAAAUCAAGCCUACUGGUGGGGGCGGGUCCUUCUGCAGCCUUUUUGCCCUUCCCGCCAUUUCGGCUCCGCCUUUAUCUUUUAAGUUAAAUAUAAUAAAAUAAAUAAAUAAUCCAACUUUUUUCCCUUUUUUUUAAAAAUAUUUUUUAUUAUUUGAGUUACUUUGUCUUGGCCCCCACCCACUCUCUCUAUAUAUAUAGAGGCCAGAGGAAGGCCACAGUCCACAAUCAAAAGGAGAGGGAAAAAAAUCAUCACACGCAAACUCGCGGAGGAGAGAAAAAGGGAAAAGAGAGAAAAUUAAGUAGAGAGAUUCAUAGAAAAGAAAAAAAAAAAGAAAAAAAAAAAAAGAAGAUUUGUUUAGAAGAGAGAUGGACGCGAAGGGCGGUCGCGUCCAGAACGGAUUCCGACAGUGGCUGGAGGCGGGGAGCGACGCCAUCCCCGCUCCGGAUGUUCAAAUUUUGACCUCCGGUGGCCGCAAAAUUUCCGCCCAUUCUGCAGUUCUUGUGAGCACCCGAAACCUUCAAUUGAAAAAACAUUCAAAACUUUAUGUACUACAAUACAAUUAGAUACUCUCGAAUCGCAGAAGCUCACUGAGCACACAAUCGAUGUCUAAUCAUAUGCACUUUUUUUAAAAAGUAUUAAAUUUAUAUUUGUUUGUUUAUUUGUUUGUUUGUUUGUUUGUUUGUUUACAGGCCGCGGCGUCGCCAGUGAUGGAGAGUAUAUUGGAUCGGGCACAAAAGCGUGGAAAAUCGCGCAGGGUUAUUAGGAUUCUGGGAGUCCCCGAUGACGCUGUAAUGGCGUUUGUGCGGUUGAUCUACUCUUCUGGGUAUGUGUUCUUUUUUUUACCUUUUUUCCCUUCUUUUUUUUUUGGGGUUAAAUUGAUUAUAUUUAAAUAUUUAGUUAAAGAAAGGAAAAGUAAGUCUAAUGCAUUGAGGACCCUAUGUUUAAGGAGAAAUUAUUGCCCUGUAUCGUGAUGUAGUACCAUGCUCUGCUUUUAAUUAAAAAUAUUUUAAAUUUCGUUUGAUUCGGAUAUUAAUAAAAAUUAUUUAUUGUAGGAAUAGGUGCGAGUUCCAUUAUAAGCAAGAAUUAGAGUAAAUUUUUGUUUGUCAUUAUUUCUGAAAAUAAAAUAAAUAAUAUUUAAAUAGGUUUCAUUUGAUUCGGAUAUAAAUAUGAACUAUUUAUUGGAGAAAUAGUUACAAAUUCCUCUAUAUGCUGGAACUAGGGAGGGUUUUUUGGGAUUGUUUUUAAAAAUAAGAUAAAUAGUGUUUGAAUGGGUUCCGUUUGGUUCGGAUAUAAACAAGAACUACUUAUUAUAGGAAUAGAUACGAAUUCCGCGAUAAGCAAGAAUAAGGGUAAGUUUUUUUUUUGAAAUUAUUUUUGGGAAUAAAAUAAAUAGUGUUUGAAAAGACUUUGUUUGGUUCAGAACAGACAAGAACUAUUUAUUGUACGGAUAGGUAUAAGUUACGGUAUAAGCAGGAACUAGAGUAAGUUUUCAUUUGGGCUGAUGCACGGCUAAGCUGGUGCAUCGGGUGCUCGCAAUAAUUUCUCUUUGGACCCAUGUAAUCAUCAUGCUCAUCGUUAUCACAUGCACUGUUCGAAACUAAAGAAAAAAAAAUCAAGGGUCCAGAAUCUUUCUGAUGGCUCUGAGAAUUUCACAUUUCCCUGUCGAAAAUUAUUAUUUUUUAUUUUUUUUAAUAUUUAACUUAAUUCUUAGCUGGGGGUCCCACGCAACUCUUAUGUCGUCCCCUUCAUCCAAUCACAGCCCUCACACGGUCCAUUUCGUUCUAAUGAUGAUAGGCAUAAUAAUUGACUCAACACCACCGAGAAAUUUCGAGAUAUUUUUUUCGUGCUUCAGAUUUUUUUUUGGGGGUUCAUGUGCCACGAUGCAUACAUAAUGCAUAGUCACAAUAAUUUUAGUUUUUAUUUUUUUCACUUCAUUAAGGUAAUGAAGAGUACACAAAUUUUGGAUGUGACUGAAUAUCAAUGAAUAAUAAAAAAUAAAUUAAUCAAUCAAUAUAAGCAUUUUACACACCGUUUAUAAUAAAAUAUUAUAUUAAAUUUAAUCCGAAUGCUGAACUUAUGGCAUACUGAGUAGUACAAACGGAUCAUGUCAUGUCAAUCAGGUGCAUGUCGUUGGACGAGGAGGAGGAGAUGGGCAGGUACGGGCUGCACCUGCUGGUGCUGUCGCACGCGUACAGCGUGGGGUGGCUGAAGCGCGCGUGCGAGGUGGCGCUGGCGUUGCGGCUGACGGCGGAGGGCGUGGUGGACGUGUUGCUGCUGGCGCGGCAGUGCGAUGCCGCGCGGCUGUACCUCCGCUGCAUGAAGCUGCUGGCGAAGGACUUCGCCGCCGUCAAGAAGACCGAGGCCUGGCAGUUCCUCCAGGCCAACGACCCCUGGCUCGAGCUCGAAAUCCUCCAGUUCCUCCAGGAGGCCGAACUGGUACGUGACCAAAAUGUAUUAUGUUUGGUUUUGCCGUAGAAUAUAGUAAUUUUUGACAAUUCAUAUAAAUAAAUAAAUAGAUAGAUAAAAAGAUAUAAAAUUUAUCUGAAUGAUGAAUUAUUUUAAUAGAGAAAGAAGCGAGUUGGGCGCAAGCGGGCGUACCGGCGGGUAUAUGAAGAGCUGGGGGACGCGAUGGAGUGCCUGCAGCACAUGUACAUGGCCAGAGAGGGAAGCAAGAAGAACCACCCCUGCUCCUCAUCUGCCUGCUACCGCAACCUGCAGCUCCUCAUCCAACACCUCGCCGCCUGCCCCCGCAGGAAAGCCUGCCCCCGCUGCUGCCGCAUGUUGCAGCUCCUCCGCCUCCACUCCGCCCUCUGCGACGACAGCACGCAACAGGCUUGCCGCAUCCCUCUUUGCUCGUAAGUCUCUAUGCUGCUUUCUUAAAAGAAUUUGUUAGUUAAUGCUUUUAUCAUCCGCCUACGUUCAGGUGUAUCUGAGUCAUUUGGCUUUCAUAUGACUGAUGAUUGUUUAGGAAACAUUGGGAGGGAGUAUGCUGAGUUGGUGGUUGAUUGAUUUUAUAGUCUAUUUGGUACCACUUCUGUAUCUGUUCUCAGCAGCAGCAGCAGCAGUAUCAAGGAGAAAUUCUGGAGCUUCUGCUGUAGCGAGAAACUGAAAUUAGAUUUUCAACGUCAAAAACGAAUUACGUAAUGCUUCUUCUAAUAGCACGACAUCUAUUGGCAGUGUAAUCGCUCUAAUGUUUGGGGAGUUUGACAUAUUUUUCCUUUUAUUUUUGUUAGAGAACAAACUUAACCACUGAUGCCCUGCUUGUUGGGUUUUCCGUGUAUACCUGCAGGCAUUUCAAGCUGAGAAUGCAGCAGCAGAAGGAAGGGAAAGAAGAGGCCGACACAUGGCAGCUUCUGGUGAAGAAGGUGAAGGUUGCUCGAGUUAUGUCCUCCUUCUCUAAGAGGAAGGGACAGGAAGGAGUUCAUGAGCAAUUCGCACUUUGCACUACUACUGCAAGGACCAGCGACUAAUUUCAUAGAAAUUUUCUUUUUCCUUUCGUUCUUUCCCCCUAUUAGUACGGAAUUAAGAUGUGCCUUCCUUAUAAAGAGAGGAGCUUGAUGUAUGUAUAUGCAUGCCAAUCUUCUAGAGAGAGCUCUUAAUUAGCUUGUUAAAAAGGGGCAGACAGCUGUUAUAGAAAAUGAACUUGUAUUAGAGAGGAGCUUGGUGUAUGUAUAUAUAUGUCUAUUUUCUAGAGAGAAAGAGUUCUUAGCUUGUAAAAAAUGAGCAGGCAUCUGUUAUAGAAGUGGAACUUGUAUUAGAGCGGAGCUUGAUGUAUGUAUAUGUGUGCCUCUCUUUUAGAGAGAAAAAGUUCAGCUCUUAUAAAAGUGGAUCUUGUUUUAGCAUAAGAACAAUUAGUUACAUUUUGCAACUAACUUAAUAUAUAAUAUGCAAUAAGAAACUUAAGCCGAUCAAUUAUCGAAUGACGAACAUACUAAUGUCUUUUUGGAUGCUUAGCAUAGUAUUCAGACGUCCCUUUGGUAUGAUUCAAUAUAUAUAAACUAUAAUAUAGACUCAAAUUUUAUAAUAAUAAAGUAAUCUUUAUUUCUAUAACACACAAGUUAUUAUUAAAUAAUUUAUUUUACCAUUCAAAUGAGCCUUAAAAAUAACAUUUCCUCCACAUUUCCUGGUAAUGAAGCUGACCCUAGUUUUCUCCAUGCAAAUCAGGUUAGAGUCGAUAGAUCAGAAUGUCGUAAUCAAAUUACAAUCUUUGAAGUUUCCCUAAUGAAAGAGAUCUCUAAGUUAAGAAAUUCGAGUCUAGUCUACAGUAAUUAAAGAUUAUUUGACAUGUAGAAUUAGGUAUGCAUGUCACCAAUGACUAAGUUGAAAAAGUCCAUUAGUACGUUCUAUUAAUUUAAUUCAUUGUCACGACAAAGAGGUUUUCUUACUGUGAAUUAAAACUGACUAUUUGGUACAUUUGGCGAAAAAUUGAGAUCCUAAUUUUCAACAAUUUAGUACCAUAGUCCAACGCAAAAUUCAUGAAGUUUUAAGACUUGUCCAAAGUAACUUGUGCUGGGAGGUCUUAAGACUUGUCCAAAGAACCAAAUCAAGCAAGUCCUCGCGCGUUUCUCUCUCUCUCUCAAGCGUCCAAUUGCAAUACAAGAUGCAAACUUUCCAACAGUAAGUUGAAAAAAUAAGACAUGCAUAUAGUGAAACAAGAAGCCUUUACGAAGGUUCCCUAUAACAAUUCGAGGCAAUUAGGGCUUCAUAGUCAUGUGGUAAUAUUCUAGUACUUGUAAUUAAUACAGAGUUAUGACUUUUUUAUGGAAGCUCAACAACCCUUGAUGGGCUCACCGCAAUUACUGGUGCUCAUAAGUCACUAUUAUUUGAGUGUUGCAAAUAGGAAACAAUGAGUACCAAACAAAGAUGACUAGUAAAUCAGGAGCUACAGGAUUAAAGGAACAAAAAAAUUUAACUUCCAUGCAGUAGUAGGAUGUACCUGUGUGUUUACAAAUGAAGGAAGGGUAUCAUCCCUGCGAUGCCACAGGCCGCCAAAUAUGCACAACACAUUUAUCAGCAUUCGACAGUCGGGCGAGGCAUGGUUCCGAACGCAUUCACCCUCCUAACAACAGCAAAUGAAUUCACCCUAAAACCCUAAGAAGUUAAAUAUCAACGGCACUCGUAUAGCAACUAGGGCAAAAUGCCUGCUACAGCCCGUAAAUCUCAAAAUUUUCAUGUCUGUACAGAUUAUGAGCCUUCGCAAAGCAGUAGUACCUCUCUGGCAUACAACAUUUCGCACCUCCUCCUUUCAGCACGCUCCAGUUUCUCAGACUUGGCAUUUAAGCAUUCUUUCCGACAGCCUGCAUGUCUUCUAACCCUGCCACUGCAUGUAGCAAUGUCCUCAUCACGCACGAAAGCAUCGCCAAAGCUCCACCAGUCUCCGCGCAUCACUUCAACCACCAAACCCACACUAAAUCUUUCAGCCUCUUAGCAAUGCCAUGCGGCGACGCAUCUUGAGACCUGCCGCUGAAGCGCGGGCCAGAUUAUCGAAUUUCAUAAAUGUAUGGGAAGAUGAGAAUUCAACUCGUCAUCCCUUUUGUGCUGCAUCCCUUUCAUAAAUGUAUCGGAGUAGGAAUUCUAAUUAUACUAAGAUUUGGAUAGCUUUCGAUAUAAGCUAUAAAUAUAGCAUAUGUGCUAUUAUUAUGAUGGUGCUAUAGAUUAGUCACACCCAUAUGGCAUGGCCAAGAUGGUCAUAAUUUUAGUUGCACCUAAUGCAUGGGUUCAAAAGGACGUGUGCGGCUUUCGUAGCCGUGGGUCAUUGGUAUACCUUGUGUACGGAUACACGGGAUGAGAGAGAUGUUUUCCGAGAGUAUAGAAGACGAGAGAAUGGUAGGAGAGAUUUAAAAAGAGGGCUCGAGUUGUAGCUACUCUGUGCAGAAGAGGAGUCAGGUGUAAUUUUCUCUUAUUUAAUUAAUCUUGUUCUAUCCGCAUAUUUUUCUCUCUUUUCUGAUUGUAUCAGCUUUCGCUGAGGAGACGGGUUUAUGAUAAAAAUCCGAUUCGAAGCUUUCGUUGUGAAAUCCCAAUAAUCGGUACUGAAUCCACAGCAGUCGGUAUCGAAGCGUGUUGCGGAUUUACAAGAUCCGGUAACGGAGCGAGUAUCGGAUUCCCAACAAAAUACAUAAGGCUUCAAUACAGCAUCUCUAUAGUAGGCUUCGUCCGGCCAGUUGGCAACUCUUUCGCUAUCAGUAAGGCGACCUCGAUAGAAAUAUCUCGAUGGAAAAUCACGAAUUUGAGGAUGCAUUCUGUACCGCACAGAUAACAACAUUGUAGGACAGCCUGCUUGUUGGAACCUCUCAGACCUGCCACUGCUAGCAUUCUUGUAGCUCUCGGGAGCAAGUUUCUUGAGCAGGGCAGUGUAAUGAUGCUGAUAUACUGAACAAGAUGUAUCACGUUAAGCAUUCCCCCACACCGUGCGUGUCUUUCCGGUUCCUGGCGGACGUUGAACUAGCGUGAAAGGCCAAGGAUCUUGCCUCUCCGCCGCUCCAGUGCUUGUACCAGCUGCAGUAUGCAUUGCAGCCCACCGAACAGCAGCCAAUUGCGGGCCAUUAAAGGUCCGGUGAAGAUGGUCCACAAAAUUUUGAGGGAAGCAAUUGUGUUAGUGAAAAACUCAAAAUUUUGAAUUUAAACUUUAUUUUAUUCGAACUUUAAAUUUAUUUAUUAUUUAUUUAUUUAUUAUUUUGUUUUCUCUUUUAGUGAGAAAGAAACCAACGGAAUAUUAAAUCUCCUUUCUUUCCGCAGGUUCCGCUUCUUUCUCGUAACGCGAAAGAGCAUCAAAUUCUCUUUCUUUUUAUGUCAUUUUUUUUUUCUCUUCUGUUAAUACAAAAUAGAUAGAAAAGAUAUUAGAUAAUUGAUUAAUUCAUCUUUCAUUUUUGAAUAUUUUCUUUAUUCACUGGGUGUUGAAAAACUCUCCGUCAACCUCGUUUACGAUCGUCCUCAAAGGAGGAGGAAUUUCGGUUGUAUCUUGGGUAUUAUUUCGGGUUAAUCCCGCACGUAAGGACGGAAAUGCGCCUUAGCCCUUAGGGGAGUGCCUCGCACACUUUCGAAUAAGAUCAAAUUUUUAUUGAAAUAUUUGUGUUUAUCUGUAAGUUUGAUUUUAUCUUUAUCACAAAUUAGUUAGAUUUUAAUUACUAUCGAAUUUUUCGUUGUAGUUUUUUCACAACAGCAAUCAGGCAUAGCUGGAGGCUGAUCUUCAUACUUGGGAUAUUUUUUGAAUAUCGCAUUAACAAAUAUCUCAAAAAUUUCAUGGACCACAACUAGAUGGAUGCACAGUAGAUAUUACUGUGUCCAGAUGGACAUAUAUACUUGGACAGCUUUCAUAACUUGUAUUUUUUUGUUUUUUCCUCAAAAAAGAAAUAGUAUUAAGGUACAUUUUAAUUUAUCAUGAUAAAAAAAUUAGAGGUCGAGAGGUUGCCAACCUACAUAAGUUUAGUAGAGUCUCUUUCUAAGCAGCGUAAGUUCUAACAUUUACGUCUAAAUUUCUAGUGGUCUGAUGAUAAUGUACACAUAAUUUAUGCACAUAACCUAUUUUAAGAUUAUGACGUUCGAACCUAUGUAUGUGCCUAUAAGAUUUUUUCAAUUUAUUUGGAACAGGUGUUUAGAAUAGAUUUUUGAAAUAAAAGUAAUAAGAAAAGGAAAAAAAAGAAAAAGACAUUGAGGUCGCUUCUGGCCCCAGCUUUUCAUGAAAUCUACACGCGCCGUGGACCAUGGAUUGCAGUGUCGAUGGAACAAUCUAAAUCUAAGCACCCAACCCAUUUCAUUCAAUUUGAUCCUAGCCGUUGGAUUUCAAUAGUGCUAAUUAAUGUUGCCAAAGCAUUAUUAUUAGAUAAUUACUCGAAAAAAAAUCUUGUUAAUUGCCCGAAUCUUUUUUUUUAAAAAAAAUAAAAUUUUCUUUUAAAAUAGUUUGUAUUGUGGUUUUAGAUUGAAAAUUUUAGACACCACAGAAAGAAUGAGAUGACCUGAAUGAUCCACAGUUGGUGCGGUGCACCAAGCAAUAAUUUAACAUUGCUUAAUUUCUCGUAUAGCCACGCUAGAGUCCGGCUACUAUAUUCUUAUGAGUGUAGGUCUUUUUGUACUUAUAAUUUUUUGAUCGUUAGAUCUAGUCUUUCGAUGAUUUCCUCCCGUUAGAUUAUACUAUUCAAUUAACCACUUACUCAACCCCAAAGGACUACUAUCAUUCUAACCGGGAAUCACUAUUAUCCCAACCGCACAUCUCUUCAUCCAACAGCCGAAGUUUUCAUCCAACAGCUGAAAACUUCUGAGUAUAAAUGUGUCUAUAUAUACUCAUAAGAGUAUAGUAGCCCUAGCCGCUUGGCUAUUUGUACAUUCUGAAAAAAGUAAUAAAUUUUACAACACAAGUUGUGUCGAUGCGUAUCAAUCACAAAAUAAUAACAGUAAAUAUUUAUCUUUUUCACACCAAUAUACUAUUAACUAUUUACUAAUUUACUAAAAAAAUAAAUUUUAAAUCGUGUCAUCACCUUACGGUGGGAAAAUUAUACUAUGCUGAUAUUUUAUAGGUACGACACAACACAGUAGGAACUUAAAAACUUUGGAUUCUUUACUUGUUUUAAUCAAAUCCAUUGCAGGUAUUUGCAAGACACUAGUAUGUCUAAAAAUAUGAUAAGAAAAUGUUGGGAAGAUAUCUUGCCACGUCCCGUAUAAAAGACAAUAUUUUAAAUUUAAUAUUCAAUAAUAUGGAUUCAUUACAAAAAAAAAAUGCAACAGGAUAAUUUGCCAAAUACAAAAAACAGAGGAGCCUAAUUUGAAGGAUUUUAUAAUUGUAUAUUUUUUAUUCAUUCAUGUACAAAUCUUUAUAUAUUAAUAAAGUUUCAUUCCUCACUCGACGUGAGAGGAAUUCAUCCAUUUUCAAUUUUCUUUAUAAUAUCAAAACAGGAAGUCUUGAAUUUGAGUCACGUCAGGCCCCUAAUAUAUUAAUUUCUUCGUAUUUAAUUCAAAUCCACAUCAUAGGUCAACUAAUAAAUCUCGAGUCCAUGCGUGAAGGGGAGUGUCAACAUAGCUGUGACAAAUGACUCAUACUGUGGUCCAAGGCCACUUAAGAGCCAAAAAAUCUUUCUUUGAUCAGAGGCAAGUUUGCCAAUAGCAUUUAAUUGAUCACAAAUUGGCUUAAAACUCUCGUAAAUAUUCAAAUAAGGAAGAUGCAUCCGUCUUCAUAUAUUAAAGUUUUGAGAGUAAUUCAAAUUCACGAGUCUGCUAAUUUUGAGAAAAUGCACAUGCAAGAGCUUGCCAUACAUCUGCUGAAGUCUUCACGCCUACGACAAGUCUCAUGACUUCUUCGGAGAGAGUUCUAGUGAUCCAAGCUUUCACUAGACAAUCUGUGCGCGUCCAUGUCGUGAAAUCUGGAUUUUGAAUUUUGCUACUUCCGUCGAAUGAAGAUACUUCGUGAUGUGGUGGCUUUGAUUCUCCAGUGAUGAAACCAAGUAAAUCUUGACUCUCGAUCAAUGAUAAUACUCGUGUUUCUUACAAUAAAAAAUUAGUUGUAGUUAAUUUGAGAGAAACAAAAUUAGCAACAUUGAGGUUGCAUGGAUAUGGAUAUUUGGAGGUUGAAGUCAUUAUGUUUGAUAAGGUGGUAUUCUCUUGGUAAGGCUCCGGUACUAUAAAGAAAAUUUAAAAUUGGUGAAUUUCUGUCGCAUCGAGUGAGGGAUGAAAUUUUAUAAAUAUAUAGAGAUUUGUACAUGACUGAAUAAAAAUUAUACAAUAUUCAUAAAAUCCUUCAAAUUUGACUCCAUUUCAUUGCAUUUGACAAAUUAUCCUGUUGUUGUUUUUUUUUAUAAUAAAUUCAUAUCAUUAAAUAUUAAAUUUAAAAUAUUGCCUUUCAUGGCCGGACAGUUGCAGCUGGUGCGGCCGGGAGGUGGGUCCGGGAGCUGAGCUGUCUGCUGUUUCGGAUCAGAACGGAGCCGCUGGCGUCCGCGUCAGCAGCUCCGGGUCGGGCUGCUGGCAGCGGGGACGGAGUCGCUUCCGCGCUCCAAGAGCCGGUUAUUCAGCGAAAGAAACCUCGUCCCCUCUCUCUCUCUCUCUCUCUCUCUCUCUCUCUCGGAAACACGCACUCCCCCACUCGCCCCUUUGAUCCCCCCUUACUAGCUUACGUCACUAAUGAAAUCAUCACCUACUAGCAAGUAGCAAAGCCGGUUAGAGGACAAAUCGCAUUUAGACCCUCUCACCCUUGCGAAUUUUACCAUUAUAGAUCCCUCUUGUAUUAAUCUUUUUUUUUUUUGAAAAAAAUAUAGUAAACCAUCUGUUUUAUUUUUUUAAAUAAAUAAAUUAGGUUAUAAAAAAAGAAGAAAUGUCGAGAAGGAGAGAUUGGGCCCUAGAACAGUCUAUCUCAGGUAGACCUGAUCUUAAUGACAGAUUACCCAAUUUCUAUCCAAGUAAAUAUAUUGUUUAUGAUCUGUCAGAAUGAUUUCUUUCGAUGUUCGACUGUUUGGACAUUCUUUUUUUUUUUUUUUUGAGAGAUAGGUAGCACAUUACCCGCUUCGUAUAUUUCAUUUAGAAAUAAACUUAGUUAGAAAUGUAAAUCAACUAGGAUUUGCAUUUGGGUCUCGAAUACCAACCAUCAAAUCCUUUGUCACUUGCUCUAGGGACGGUCGGUGACUGUUUGGACAUUCUGUUAUUUUCUUUUAACUAGAUCAUCCAUUAUUAGGAUGUAAGCACCGUAAGUUUCUCACUUCUUCUUUGUUUGUUCUGAACUUUUGUCUGUUAUCUUUAAGAAAUCACAUUCUGAUUAUAUCUGCUAAGCUCGCUGAGUAUAGAAAAAUAUUUAUAAAAUAAAUUUAUAUGAGUAAGACUUACAUUGUAAUGUGUUAAUAAAUUUAUGUGAUAUUUUUAGAAUAUGUUUGUUAAUAUAUCAGACAUUUUCACAUCAUGAGUAUUAAUAUAUUAUAAUAGUAUUUUGAAAAACUUAUAAUAAUAUUUAAACUGUUUUUAUUUUACUAGUUGACUACUAAAAUCAUUUUUUGUCUCAAUUGUUUCAAACUUUUUCUUUUUCCUGUUAAUUUCCUGUCCCCUAUAAACAUGCAAUUAGUUAAUUAAUAAAAACUAUAAGGUACCGUUUGGUUCGGGGAUAAUGAAUUUGGGGAUAAAUUUUUUUAACCCUGGGAUAGUAGGCUAGUCUAGGAUAGUGAAGGAUAAAAGUAAAAUAGUGUUUGGUUUGUAAAACAAUCAUUACUAGGAAUAACAGAAAUUAUGUUUGGUAAGUUUAUUGGAAUAACUAAGAAUAGUGAGAAAAAGUGUUAGAUUAUUUUUGCAAAUACCAAUUUUGCCCUUAGGUUUCAUGUACAAAUAUUUUGUAAGUUACAGAACUAAUUAGAUUUUACAUUUAGCUAAGCAAGAGAACAUUUUAUAGACAUGAUUGUUGGAUUAAUUUUUUUUAAAAAUUUAAUGUCAGAAAUUAUGGUAGUAACAUAUGCUGAAGAGAAAAUAAUUAAAUUUAUGCACUUCAAGUCACUGUUAAAUAAAAUUAAUAUCGUCAAAUUAUACAAGAAGGUUGUUAAUUACAUCAAAUUUAAAAUUACAACAAAGUUCAAUGCUGCUUAAUUACUAUUAUACAAAACCAAACAGCAUGAAGGUAUUCAAGAGGAUGUUAAUUACAAAUUCCCAAAGGCAUAAAACCAUAAAGAAGACACAUUACAUUGAAAAAUAUCAACAACCAACUCAUACAAUUAUCAACUAUUUUUUCAAAUUUAAGCAAUUCAGAUUGCAAGUAACAAUGCAAAUAGUUAAAAAACAUCCGGUUACGAAAAAUUUUCAAACACCAAUUAGUGAAGGUUCAAGGUGAAGGCAAGAUACAUAACUAAAUAAAGCAAAUUACAAAGCAUGUUCACACAAAUUUAUAAAGAUUACAUCAUUUCUAAUAUAGCCUCCUAUCUAUUGUUCCACAAUUGCUCUGUGAUCAUAGUGCGAAGGGCGUCACCUCGCCGAGACUCAUCUGGGCCAAUAGGAGGUAUCGAGUCAUCAUUUUGGUCGUCUGUAGGAAAUUGGUCCGUUUGCAUGUUGAAGUAUCUAUCGGUCCCUUGAUGCCUCUUUAUGAAAUUGUGUAUCACACAACAGGCAAGGGCAAUGCGGCACUGUACUUUGUAAGGAAAGGGUGUAGCUUGUCGCAGCACCUUGAACCGUCGCUUUAGGAUCCCAAAGGCUUUCUCAACUACAUUUCUCAAUUGAGCGUGACGAUGAUUAUAUAAAUCUCGAGGUCCUCGAUGCCUUCGUGCCUGUGCGUUUACAUCAAAUUGGCUCAAGUGGUAUCGCUCGCCUCGAUAGGGAGCGAGGAAGCGGUCAGUGUUCGCAUAGCCUGAAUCGACUAAAUAAAAUUUUCCUAAACAAAUAUAAAGCUUUAUUAUAAUUACAAUAAUUAAACUUGUAUCAGACAUUAAAUAGCAAUAUAAUUUAUUUACCUCCCGGUACUGUGAAACCGCCGCUCUCGCAACACCAUCGCAACACCCUCAUAUCAGCUGCAGAACCCUCCCACCCGGUGCAUACAAAUAAAAAUUGAUGGUCGAAAGAACAUGCUGCCAUCAUGUUGUGAGAUGUAAAACCUUUUCGGCAACGAUAUCUUGGUUGCUUAGCCUUUCGUACAACCACCGGAAUGUGUGUUCCAUCUACUGCACCAAUUGCAUUCUGAAAAAAUAUUUACAUAGAUACAAUAGUUAACAUCAGAUAUCUCAUUAUCAAAUAAACAUAAAUUAAUUCGACUAAUUAAAGAACUCAAAUCUGAGGGUUAGUUACCUUGAAUGGAUGAAAAAUCGGAUUAUCUUUUAUUCUUGGGUGUACACCAACAUUAGAUGCCGGUGGUUGGAUGUACUCAUGUCUAAGUUCUACCACACCUCGCAGUACAUUAUUAAAAUGCCUACUAAUCGUUUCUCCUGAAUGUUGAAAAGUUUCAGCUAAAACUCUGUUGGCUACGCCAUGACCUAUACCAAAUAAAAAUAUACCAAGUUGCUCAUUAGCAGUUAAAUGCCUAGUGCUUUGUAUAAAUCCCCUCGCAACUAAUUCAUCUCGAAGUCUUAUAAACAUUGUGGUAGUCAUCCUAAAAUGUUGGUAUCCUCUAUCAGGAUGUCCACUCAAUAUGUCAUGAAUUAACUGAUGACCAGUGAACGGCCGUGUUCGACAAGGCUGCUUAUAAAUUGUGCUGCGGAAUGAGAAGUCCCCUUCUUCGAUAAGUAACGCAUGGACUUCUUCCCAAUAGUCCUCUUCCUCUUCUAAGAAUGUCAUGAGAUCGGCAACAAGUGGUGAAGAAAAAGCUUGACGAAAGAUUGCACCAGCCAUGACUGCAAAUGAACAAAAGAAAACAUUCAUAACACAAUUAUAGUUAUAGAUUAAUUUAUAAUGGCUCAGGUAGUAAGGUAGAAAAAUAUGCAGGUGGCUGCAUGGUCUUUAACCAUGCCUCCCAACCUUGCACACCUAUUUGGUUAGAUAUCAGCAUCGCCAAAAGGAGAAAGAAGGAUGCAAGAAAAGAAAAAAGGGUAAAGAAGAUGUGAAGCUGAAGCAAGAAUCAGGUGCACAAGAUUAUAAGUGACAGUAUUGCAAAUAGUCAAGUAAGCAAAUUACUGCCUUACAGCUGAAAUUCCAUAUAUGAAUCAAAGCUGAAACAAAGUAUAAAUGGUGAUACUUUGUGUUGGCUCAGGUUUUAAGACCCACAACCAUGAAUGUGGAUGCAAUACCUUACGAAUCGCCGCCCAAUCCAUUCAAGCCUGCUAGUCUUUUAUCAUCAUUGCCGAAUUCAUUGCCAAUAUGACCACAUGUAGAAUAUGAUCUGGGAGAAGAAACAACUUACCUUGGGCGGCACUGAACUAACCACAUUACUGCAGGUUGGAAGAAGAAAUGAAGCAGUGAACAGUUGGAGAUCGAGGUGAAAUGGCAUCCAACAGAAUGUGAGUAAAAGCAACAAUGUUGCAAGUACAAGUAUAGAUGGUCACAUAUUGUGUUGGCUCAGGUAUUAAGGCCCACAAGCAUGAAUGGUGGAUGCAACACCUUACGAAUCGCCGCCCAAUCCAUUCAAGUCUGCUAGUCUUUUAUCAUCAUUGCCGAAUUCAUUGCCGAUAUGACCCACAUAUACAUUUAGAUGUAGGAGAAGAAAGAACUCACCUUGGGUAGCAGUGUUCUAACCACAUCACUGCAGGUUGGAAGAAGAGAUGCAGUAGUGAACAGUUAGAGAGGUGAAAUGGCAUCCAACAGAAUGUGAGUAAAAGCAACAAUGUUGCAAUUACAAGUAUAAAUGGUGAUAUAUUGUGUUGGCUCAGGUAUUAAGGCCCACAAGUAUCAAUGGUGGCUGCAAUACCUUAAUAUUGCCCCCCAAACCAUUCACACCUGCUACUCUGUUACACAUCAUUGCCGAACGGACCAACAUGUAAACCGACAGCUGACAGGAGAGAAGAAGAAAAGUUAUACAAUGAAGUAAACAAGCAGCGAACAAUCAAUGCAAAGAUAGGUAUACAAAGCUGUAUUCGAACUACACUCAUUUGUUAUACCUGAACUUUACAAUCUGAACAAACUAGUUUUACAAUGCAGUAAACAGGUAGUGAAGAAACAAUAUAAAGAAAGCUAUAUAAAGCUGUAGAUGAUCUACACUAAUUAUUUAUACAUGAACUAUACAAUCUGAACAAACAAAUUUUACAAUAAAGUAAACAGACAGUGAAGAAGCAAUGCAAAGAAAGCUAUACGAAGUUGUAUAUAAAUUACACCAAUUAGUUAUACAUUAUCUUUACAAUCUCAAAAAACAAGUUUUACAAUUUAGUAAACCUGACAGUGAGAAAUCAAUGCAAGUAAACCAAUACAAAGCUGUAGAUAAACUACACCAAUUAGUUAUACAUGAUCUUUACAAUCUGAACAAACAAGUUUUUCAAUAAGGUACACAGGCAGUGAAGAAAUAAUGCAAAGAAAACUAUACAAAGCUGUAGAUGAAAUUCACUAAUUAUUUAUACAUGAUCUAUACAAUCUGAAGAAACAAGUUUUACAAUUUAGUAAACUGACAGUGAAGAAGCAAUAUAAAGACAACUAUACAAAGCUGUGGAUGAACUUCACUAAUUAUUUAUACAUGAUCUAUACAAUCUGAACAAACAAGUUUUACAAUUUAGUAAACUGACAGUGAAGAAGCAAUAUAAAACAACUAUACAAAGCUGUGGAUGAACUUCACUAAUUAUUUAUACAUGAUCUAUACAAUCUGAACAAACAAGUUUUGCAAUUUUGUAAACUGACAGUGAAGAAUCAAUGCAAAAAAAGCUAUAAAAAGCUGUAGCUGAACUACACUAAUUAGUUAUGCAUGAACUUUACAAUAUGAAUAAACAAUUUUUUCAAUAAGGUACACAGACAGUGAAGAAACAGUGCAAAGAAAACUUUACAAAGCUGUAGGUGAAAUUCACUAAUUAUUUAUACAUGAUCUAUACAAUCUGAACAAACAAAUUUUACAAUUUAGUAAACUGACAGUGAAGAAUCAAUGCAAAAAAAGCUAUAAAAAACUGUAGUUGAACUACACUAAUUAGUUAUGCAUGAACUUUACAAUAUGAACAAACAAGUUUUACAAUGCAGUAAAUAGGCAGUGAAUAAGCAAUGCAAAAGAAGUUAUACAAAACUGUAGAUGAACUACAUUAAUUAGUUACAAAUGAACUUUGUAAGAUAGUUGGUGUCAAACUAAUGAAACUAAACAAACUCACAAAAAUGUACAUAACCAUGAACUUUGCAAUUAAAAGUUAAGGCAUACAACUUAAAUCAGUACAAAAUAAACCAUGAUCUAACUUAUCCUAAUCAUGAGUUAGAGCAAACAAACAACUGAAAUUGAAAUACAACAUAUAAAGUAAAGCAUACAACUAAUAUAAAAGGGAGCAAUCCAUUAGUUUAGGCAUGUAGGCAUCUCGGCUACCAAGCACACAAAAUAGCUAAUGAGUUUUUGCUAACAUAAAGCAUAAAUACUAAGCGUGAGCCAUGGACACAAAAUAGCUAAUGAGUUCUUGCUUACAUAAAGCAUAAGUACUAAGAGUGAGGCCACCAAAAUGUCGCUACUUCAGCAAUAUUGCUGUGAGCUUAAUUUGGAGGGAAAGAACUCCCUGCCGGAGGAAAGGAAGGUAUAUCAGCAGGAUCGGAAGGAGCUGAUAGAGGAAACAUGGUUGUACGGCUUGAAAAAGAUGGUCCAGGAGGGAAACCUGCACUUGCUGCCGGAAAGGAUGAUGGUCCAGGAGCAAAUGAUGAGGCUGUUGUUGGAAAGAAGGGUGCGGUUGAUGGGAAAGAUGGCGCAACAGGCCUGAGACCAGUGAAAAGUUGAUGCAUGGCAAUUUGACGAUCUAUCCACAUAUACAACAGAUCGCCAUUCAUUGCCAUGAAAAUUGGCCUAUUGCGCUCAUCUUUUAAAGCUUCACAAACAGCAAGUAAACCAUCGGGAGACAACUUAGCGACAUUGCUCAACCUUUCCAUACACUCCUCUAUGGAGUGAAUUUUGGGUCUUGCAUGUAACUCACGUUGCAUUAAAGUUUGAGCAAUCUCCGUUCUUUUCUUUCCCAAUUCAACAAGCUCAUAAAUUGCUUCCGUUCGACCGUCAUCCUUACGUCUACGGGUUGAAGAUGGUGUAGGGAUUGGUGGCGAGACCCGAACCCUCUUCAUUGAUGAAGUGUGGCCAGAGGCACUACCAGUAUAUUGGCUACUUACUUUAAUUGGAGUUUGUGUUGGAGACGUUGAAUUUGCAUCAUUAGCAUCAUCUAAAUUCUGUGCUAGAUUCUCCAUAUUGAGCGCAACCGGAGAUGAUGAAGAGGUGCUACGAACAUCCUCAUCCAUGUUGGAAGUAAACCCAUGCUUCCCGGUUGCAGUUGCUUUUCCCGACAAAUACUCAAUAGAGUCAUAUGCAGGAAAAGGCUUGUCCCUACAUUUAGCAUAUGCUGGAUUUUCCUACAAAUGUGGAAAUCAUUGAUGAUAAGUUAAUAAAAUCUAUGUAAAUAAAACAACUUGACUUAUAUAAAAAUUUUGAACAGAAUAAAAAACUUACCGCUAUGAUAGCAUCCCAAUCAGCUGGGUCACCGGCAGUGGGAAUGUUUUGGAUGUGGUCCCACCCCCAUCCACUUUUGUUUGCCAAAGUUUGAUACAUCAAAUAUUGACGCUUCAAGACUUUUAACCGAUUUUGCAAAUUGACUUUGUUAAAGCAUAAUUUUGUCCUCUCAUUGAAAUCGUGAACCAUUCGAGUCCAUGCUAAUGGGGUAAAGCUCCCAUUAACAAAAUUACCAAGAGCAUGCUCCUCAGUCAUUAAGUUCAACAUUGCCGAGUCCAUAUUUUCUGUCCAGUUCGAGGAUCUUACUCGGGUUUUCGAUGGUUCCUGCGGUGGCCCAUCUAAACUUUGACUAUCAGCAGAGGGCGCAGCAAAACCUUUGUUUUUCAACGACUUUUUAAGAUGGGCCAUCUGGGAUAAACAAACAUAGAAAUCAUAUUUGUAUUACAACAAAUAUAUAAUACUGGUUUAGCACAAUAUUUGAGUGAUAUGUUAUUUUGUCAAAAUGCUCAGGGGAGAAGGUUACAUAUGAUUUCAUGACGGAUGCAAUAGUUUUUAAAAAACCAUGCCGCCCAUGCCAUGAAUAUAUAUAUAUCGCCUUUCCCUACAUCAUUGCCAUUAUAUUUUUAAAACCGUGCCUCAAACAAACUGAAUUAGAUCAGGAUAUAGCUAGCAACUUUCAAUUCAUCAUAGGACCUCUUUGCAAUCUUAUAUUGAAUUAUGAUUAGGUGAAGUAAUUUCAGCUUGAAAGUUUCUUCAAAUCAAAUGAUCAAACUUGUACAGCUUUCUAUAGUUUUCUUUGCAUUGCUUCUUCACUCCCUGUUUACUUCAUUAUAAAACUUGGUUGUUCAGAUUGUAUAGUUCAUGUAUAAAUAAUCAGUGUAGUUCAUCUCAUAUUUUUUCAAAAUGCUCAGGGGACAAGGCUACACAUAAUUCCAUGACGGAUGCAAUAGUUUAAAAAAAACCAUGCCACCCAUGCCUUGAAUAUAUAUAUCGCCUUUCCCUACAUCAUUGCUAUUUUUUUAAAAAAAUCCAUGCCUCAAACUGAACUGGAUUAGAUCAGAAUGUAGCUAGCAGCUUUCAAUUCAUCAUAUGACCUCUUUGCAAUCUUACACUGAGUUAUGUUCAGCUACAAAUAAUUUCAGCUUCGAAUUAUCUUCAAAUCAAAAGAUCAAAAUUGUAUAAAAAAAAAUAUAGAAACUGUAUGAUGCAGUCAUAAAGUAUGAUCAGCAAUACAUGGGUGCUGUCAUAAAUUAUGGCAAUAGGAAAAUUAUAAAUCAAGCAUAAAGUCAGGAUGCAAAGUUUCUGUGUAUCAAAUAAAAUUUUUAAGAAACUGUGGGUUUGUAAAAUAUCUUGAAAUAGUUUAAAAAAUGAGAUUUAACAGCAUGCGAGCAAAAGAGACAGACAGAUCCAAAAUACACUAGAAAAUUGGGGUAAAAUCCAUAAAACCUCACCUCGACGAGAUUAAUAGAAGGCAGAAAUUAUCAAGAGUGAACUUCUACACCAGCACAGAUAUAGUAUAGAAGCAAAGAUCAGAUUCCAAGCAAGAUGCAAAAAAGAACCAGUACCUUCGAAUCCCACUCAAUUUUAUAGAUGAAAGGGGGCACAAAUAGUCCAUGCCUUCUACCUGCAAGGCUAGUGGUCGCACUAAAUGGGCGACUUGACAACACAGGGCAUACAUCCUGCAGAACCCACCUCGAUUUCUUGCCUCAGAAGCCCACAACAGAUUUUGAGCGAAGGAAAAACCAAUUUAUACCAGUCAAAUCCGAGGGUUUGAGAGAGGGGAUACAAAAGAAAACAGAUCUCAACUGGGAUCUUCCUCACAGACUGCGAGAGGAGUAUAGAAGAAGAAAGUAAAGGGCAAAGAGGAGUUACCGAUGAACGCAGAUCUGAUACAAGAUCUCGCUCAUUGAUUAUGCUGACUGCGAAAUGACAAAAGAGGCAUAAAGCGAUGGUUUAUGCUCGCCCAACACGAGGGGGAGGGAGAUCGGCGGAGUAAUGAGCGAAGAGAGAGGUAGGUGAAGAGCAUUAACGAAGAAGAAGAGGCGAAGGUAGGUGAAGAGCAAUAACGAAGAAGAAGGAGAAGGGGCAUCGCAGCUUUUUCCAACCCAUGCCCCUGGGAUAAACCAGCGGAAAUGCCCUAUUCCGCUGGUCCCAGGGGUUAGCUCUUAACGGGUUAUCCAAGGAUAACCCGUUAAGAGCGGGAUUAAUUAUCCCACCAAAAAACUGCACUGUUUGGAAGGUUUAGCAGGAUAAAAUGGUCUAAACCCACUUUAUCCUGCCAACCAAACACUGCCUUAAAGAAUACAACUUUCAUCUUAAAUGGUGCAGUUUAUAUUUAAAAGGGUACAACUUACGUUCAUAAUAGUGCAAUAUUCUUUUAAAACAGUGCAAUUUAAUCUUAACAGUACAAAUUCAUCUUCUGCUUCCUUCUUCUCUGGCUUUUUUUAUUAUUAUCUAGUUUUUUUCUUUUUAGUUAUUUUUUUAUUUUAAACAAACAAAAGUGCUAAUACAGAGAUGCUCCCGUGCAUUCCUCGCCCUUCUCGCCUCCGACACCGUCGAAGCCGCGCUCACUGCCGUCCUCCGCAUGCCCCCUCCCUCGUCGGCAAGCUUCUCGACGUCGAGAAGUGCUUUCUCUUUAUCGUUGGCAGCGGUGGUGGGGACGCGAGUUCCCAGAAGUAGAUUUGGUGGGUGCAAAAUCCGCUGCAGUGAAGGUAGAGAGCGAAGGCAAAGGAGAGACAAUAGGGGCCAUUUCCGCCUUCGCCUCCGUCGCCUUCUUCGGCAAGAAAAAAAAAGAACAAGAGAAAAAAAAAGAGAGAGAAAAAGGUAUAAGAAUAUUUUGGACAAUUUACUAAAAAUUCGGACCGAAUCUACAAAAUCGAAAAAGGUGAUCAAGUUUUGUAAAAGCUCAAAACUUAUAGAUUUGUUAUGCAAAUUGGCCUAUUAUAAUUGAAAAAAUAAUCCUACUAAACUUAUAUUUAGCAAACUAAUUCUCUCUUUGCCACGUAGGACCCAUAUGAAAUUUUUUUCGUAAAGACGGUGAAUUAUUUACCGCCUUUAGAAAGGCAGUGAAUAACUCAUUGUCUUUGUAAUAUAACUUGCUAAAGCGGUGAAUGAUUCACUACUUUUAAUGCUAACAAGCCUUCCGCUUUUAGUACUAACAAGCCUCCCGCCUCCCAUUUGGGACCUGUCACGCCCCGGGACCGAUACCAUUUUGGGUCAACCCGAGCACGUCAAACAGACGCCGAACGGACAGAGUUUUUCCUAUCCGCCCAAGGCUCAUCACCUAUAUAUUUUCAAACAAGAAGUGCACCAGCGGAAACAUACACAAACGGCUUACAUGAGGGUAAGCAAUAGCCACGAGUGAAAGAAAGGAAACUAAACAUCUACUCAAGUAUUAUGAUUCAACUUUUGAUCACAUACAUGUAUCCAUUUCAUCCAACUUGUACAUUCGUGAUUCUUUACAUUGCUCACAUCAUUUCUUUUACAUCACAUUUGCUCAAAAUAAACAUUACAUUCUUUUCUUUCUAUGCUUUAUACAUCAACAUCUUAAAUCAUCAAAUACAAAAGAUGAUAAAAGGGUAUACUACUAACAAAAUGUAAAGCCCGACUCGGGUGGCCACUAUCGAGGGUGCGAUACCUUUACCGCGGUCGCUCGCCGGCUCGCUUGAUCCCGGCUCUGUGGAAUAGUGGGGUGAGAGCUACAACGAAGUUCCCAGUGGGUUCGGCCCCAAUCUCACCGACUUUCCCACUAGGACUAAUUCAGGCAUAAUAGAAAGGAUAAGCAGAAUAGUAACCAAACUAUUAACAUGAUGCUAAUAUGCCUGAACAAUAAAGCAAGAAGUAUGCUCAACGUAAAUCAUGCAAGUAUACAAGUUCUUUGUUCUUUACUCUUUAUUCUUUAAUCUUUGUUCUUGUUCUUUAAUCUCACGGCUAACCCGGGGGGUUUCGCCACAUUAACUUGCCCACAUUAAGUCCAUUAUCGCGGGCCCUCAGCUUCCUCCCGCUAAGACCGUCCUCGGAUUUACUCCAACCCGUGAUGCAAAACUCCGGAGCGCAACGCCGGAGGGGGAGCGACCGCCUUCGAGCACGGAACUCAUUGCAAGUAUGAUCGAUCCUUAACUCUAAGGAUAUAUAGUUCAAUCAUUGUCUUUACACUAACUCUAGUGUUCUUUACAUCAUUUUAUUUUGCUAACUCUAGCAAAUCGUUGUUCUUUAAUUUUGCUCGUUCUUUAUGCCACUUUCAUUUUCCUUACUUGUCUCUACUCAUUAUCAUCGUUCUUUGCGUCACAUUUCUCUUUGAUGCCACACACUAACUCUAAUGUUCUUUUCAUCACUUUAUUUUGCUAACUCUAGCAAUCAUUGUUCUUUAACUUUACUCGUUCUUUAUGCCACUCGAUCUAUGUUUUAUUGUGUUACUUUAUUCUUUCAUCUCAUUGGACGCUCACAUCAUCUCAUGCAUACAUAUAGAGUUUAAUAGGUUCUCAAACAUUUCAAAUAGCACGUGUACUCACAUCAUGCAACAUUCACAUGUAUAUCAUCACAUCUACCCUAUAAUGCAUGCAACAAUAUACAUAUAUGCUCAAAUAAAUGACACAUUAGGCAUAGAAGGAAUUCCAACAAGUUUGGAUAGCACCAACCACCUCGUAGGCGUACUAGGAUGCUACAAUGAUUUUCUUGGAAUUUUUAGACUCCUAGUUCGUCACCUGCGGCAAAACGAAGCCCUAUUAGGCCAUUUUGCUCAUAUCUUUACAAUGGCUUUUCGUAACGUCAAUCCGAGCGCACCAACGCGUCGAAAAAAUUAGGUUUUUAGAGGGUCAAGUCCACUUUAGAACCCUCACAAGCAAAAGCCCCAAUUUGGGUGCCCUAGCUCAUAACAUAUAUUAAACCUAGGGUUUGAUCUCAUUAAGAAGCAAAAGCAAGCUUCAAAUCAUGUAAAGAUUUCAUUUGAACCAUCCUUAGCUCAAUCAAAACCCAUUUUAGGGUUUCACCAUGAGAGGGGUUGAAGCUUACCUUCAAGCUUCACCACCUCCACCCAAUCCAUUGUUUGAUCUCUAAAAGAAGCAAAAGAUAGCUCCAAAUACUCUAAAGGCUCUAUAAAAAUCAUUAUUAGCUUAAUACAAACCCUAGUUUGGGUUUUACCAUGAGAGGGGUGAAGCUCACCUCUAAGCUUCAUCACAUAUACCCAAACCAUGGUUUUGAUCUCAUUCACAAGCAAAAGAAAGCUUGAAACACUUAUUAGGCUCAAUUAAAACCAUUUCUAGAUCACUUGGUUCUCAUUUUAGGGUUUUACCAUAAAAGGGAUUAAAACUUACCUCCAAGCUUUCCCUCCUACAAGCUAGAGAUGAGGGAGAGGGAGUUUCUUCACUCCUUCUUCUUCUUCUCCAUCUUCUUCUUCUUCUUUUCCUCUUUCUCUUCUUUCUUUUCCUUGUCUUUUUCUUCUCCUUCUUGUCUUCUAGAGAGAGAAAGAGACAGAGAAGAGUGUGAGAGGGAGAGAAUGAGAGGAAAAAGCCUUCAUUGCCCUCUACAUAACCAUUGGGUUGCAUAAAUGCAAAUAGGCCCCUCAGCUUUUAUCUUAUUAAACUGCUUGAACUGGGCAGUUUUCGUGCUCGGGGAUCGGUCUCCCCAACUUAGGGCCAGUCCCAGAGAGCUCUCCCGCAGCACAGCAAGGGCUUUCGCACGAGGCAACCGGUCUCUCCUAGGGAGAUCGGUCUCUUGGGGACCGGUCUCUCCCCGCAGGGACCGGUUUCCGAGAGCUAGUUUUAUGGGACUUAGCUGAUUUUUAGCCUUUCUCAUUUCUCACGCGUUCGGGGACCGGUCUCUCCCACCAGGGACCGGUACCCGAGAGCACAAAACCUGCAGAAUGCAUAUUUUUUAUUCUUUAGCUCUCGAAAACCCCCCACAACGCACUUCUACUCAUUUUAACACCUUCGGACUUUCCGAAGUAUAUCAUCCUCGCACUUUGGUCAAUUUGACUAAAGUUUGAUAUUUAUUUUUCGAAUUUUCGAUAUAUUACAGGACCGCUAUCAAUAUAUGAUGAUUAUGCUCUCGAAAACCUGCAGAAUGCAUGUAUUCUAUCAGGUUGUGGUAUAUCCAAUGCAUGACUACUAUAUCCCAACGUGGUAAGCAAGUAGAUAACAUGAUCCAUUCUAUCAAUAUAUGAUGAUUAUGCUCUAUCAUAGCAACCAAGUAUACUAUAAUGCAACAGGUAAAUUAUCAAGUAUACUACAUGUCUCAACACUAUGCUAUAAGCAUGUCAAAGUAAUCCAACUACUAAUCCUAUCUAGUGGUGAUUGUCAUUUUCCGGUUCAAUGUCAUUGUUUAAUCAUAUUCUAGGACCUACAUAAAUGUAGUCCAGCUUGUGCCACCUAAGUGUCGGUGGUAGCUCCAGCAUUCCCACUCUAGGAAUAAGUCAAUCCCUCCUGACCCCGAGGUUUCUCGAUACCGCACGAGCAAGCAUAAAUCGCGUAGGCCAACUCCGGAGUGCCAGCUUGUAGGGAGUGACCCUCACAAGCAUGUGCCAAUGAGCACAAAUGGCAAGCAAGCGUAGUCAACGUCUCAAAAGUCCAAUCAUCAUGUCUCUAACAUAUUAAAAGUUACUAGCAUCUCAAAGAUCUAGUUCAAUGUCUCAAUGUGAAGGUUUAACCGUUCAAUAAAUUCUAUAUCAUUGACCUUAGCUUCACUAAGUCCAUAUGUAUUCCAAGCCUAAUGCCUCUUUAUGACAUUAGCUUACGAUAUUAUACAUCAUGUACAUCUAUGCCCCUUUAUGGCAUUAUAUCAUACUGUCCAAAUCUUGUUCUAACACUAAUGCCGCUUUAUGACACUUAAGCUUAUUAUAAGUUAAACACAUUUUAUAUUCUAUGUUCUAUUCAUGACAUUAGUACUAGAUUCUCAUUUAACCCGAGCUCAAUGCCCCUUUAUGAUAUUAGCCCAAUCAUUCUCAAGUAGUACAAGUCCCCAAGCCUCUUAAGGCUUACUAAAGUCUCUUAUGUCUCAAUUAGGUAUAGGUUUAAAUGCAUGAAGCAAUGCUCAAUUUGAUUGUAAGAAAUAUGGUCCCGAAUCCAACAUAAGAAUGCCCAAUGCUAGUGCAAGCUUCACAUGCAACUCUCUCUCUACUAUAUAGAGGUCCGAAAAUUCAUUAUACAUGACAUAGGGAUAUUAAGUAUUCUAAAAUUCACAAUAAAUACAUUUAACAUGAAAAUGCAUAAAUUUUUACUUUACGAAACAUAAAUCACCAAAUAUGAGAAUUUCUCAUAUUGUGCUAGGUCAAACCCACCAAAACUUGCGCAACCCUUCGUUUGCCCCAACGAGGGUGUCCACUAGCCUCCUAGCACCCUAAAGAUGUAGGAACAAGGUUUAAACGAACCUUACGAUCAACCCUAAACUCAAACAUUAACCUACUCAAGCUAAGGUGAAGAAAACUCACCUCUAGAGUAAAAUUUCUUUUUAAGCUUCAAAAGAGAGGUAGAACCCUUCCAAUCCAACCUAAAGGAAGGUUCUAAACAAAGUGAUUAAGCUUCAAAAGUUCUAAAUCAAAAAUGCCCAAAAUCAACCCUAAAAUCUCAUUCUAGGGUUUCGGCUCAAAGAAACCAUCAAAACAAGAAUCUAGAUAAAAGAAACUUGUUACCAACCUCUUGGAAGCUUUAACCCAAGCUCUAAGUCCUCAAAUUUCAAAGAUCUUCCCUCAACCAAGCUUUAAAACCAAGCCUCAAGCUUCAACCAUGGUGGAAAUGCACCAAGAGGGGAAAUGAGAGAUAUUAAUCCACCAAAAUUCAAGAAGAAGGGAUAAAAUCACCAUUGAGGGAUAAGGAGAAGCUCCCUCACCUCAAUUCCCUGUGUUCCCAGCUCAGGGAAAUGCCCUAGGGGCGUGGGGACAUAUAUAAAAAGCUACAAUCGCAAAAACACCCCUGCAGUCCCAACAAUUCAGACUCUGCCAAAGUGUACCGGUACACGGGCAAGUGUACCGGUACAAAUUCCAAGAAAAUGCAAACCCGAGGCUCGGGUUUGAAAUUGGCACAAGUGUACCGGUACAACCAUCAAUGUGUACCGGUACAAAAUCUGUACCGGUAGAGCCAUCGACUUGUCACCGGUUUCACCAUGUGCAGAGAGCAAUCCGAUGGUAGCCUAAGUCCAUCUCUUUGAUGACUUUAGUGCUACAUAAAAUACUACAAAUCUCGGGAUAAGAGUCAUAGGUCGGAAUACUGUCAACGACCCACCAGAAAAUCUGGAAAAACUCAGAACACAGUUCAAACACUCGAAUCCCACAAAUUUGCAAAGGUCCAGUGUGUUACAUUCACCCCUCCUAAAAAGGAGUUUCGUCCGCGAAACUCGAAAAGUAAAGUAGCUCAAGCCUCCAUCUGAAAGAGAUGGGGAUAGCACUCCCGCAGUGCGCUCUUCAACUCCCAGGUGGCCUUGCGUUCAUCGUGGUUGCUCUAAAGCACCUUCACAUAGGGAAUCUCACGGUUCCGCAGUUUUUUCACCUCGCGAGCCAAAAUCCUCAAGGGUUGCUCUUCAAAGCUCAAAUCCUCCUUCAGCUCCAAUGGCGUCGCUUCAAGCACAUGAGCUGGAUCAUGGAUGUACUUUCGAAGGACCGAUACAUGAAAUACAUUGUGUACACCCGAUAGGUUUGGUGGUAGAGCAAGUCGAUACGCUACUGGGCCUACACGCUCCAAAACCUCAUACGGUCGAACGUACCUCAUACGGUCGAACGUAUCGGGGGCUCAACUUACCCCGGAUCCCAAAUCUUCUAAUCCCUCUGGUCGGCGAGACUUUCAAAAAGUUAUGAUCACCAAUCUGAAACUCCAAGUCUCGUCGAUGCCUAUCAGCAUAACUCCUCUGCCUACUCUGGGCUGUCAACAGUCGCUCCCGAGCAAUGCGAACCUUGUCCUCUGCUUCCUGGAGCACAUCUGGGCUUAAAGCCAAUCUCUCGCCAACUUUAAUGAAGUGGCGAUCUACACUUCCAUCCAUAGAGUGCCUCGAAAGGUGCCAUCUUGAUGCUUGCUUGAUAACUAUUGUUAUAAGCAAACUCUGCUAUCGGUAGAUACUGCGACCAUCCUUCCUGAAAGUCAAUCAUACAGGCUCGAAACAUGUCCUCGAGAGUCUGUAUAGUGCGCUCUGAUUGCCCAUCACUUUGGGGGUGGAAAGCGGUACUGAAAUUCAAGCGCGUACCCAAAGCAUUCUGUAAGCUCCUCCAAAAGUAGGAUACAAAUCGGGGGUCUCGAUCUGAUACUAUAGAAGUAGGUACCCCGUGCAAUCGCACAAUCUCAUCCAAGUAUACCUGUGCGAAUCUCUCACCAGUCCAAGUAGUGUGGAUAGGUACGAAAUGUGCCGAUUUCGUCAACCUAUCCACGAUCACCCAAAUAGCAUCAUGCCCGGCCUGCGAACGGGGCAAACUCAUAAAGUCCAUGGUAAUCUUCUCCUAUUUUCACACCGAAAAAGGCAAGCUCUGCAACUUCCCCGCAGAAACUCGGUGCUCAGCUUUAACCUGUUGGCAAGUUAGAUAUCUAGCAACAAACUCACCAACGUCUUUCUUCAUCCCGGGCCAACAAUAAAGCAACUUCAAGUCCUUGUACAUCUUGGUGCCUCCCGGAUGUAUAGCGUAGGGUGUACGGUGUGCUUCUUGAAGAAUUUCUUCUCUAAGUGCGGAUUCCGUCGGUACACAGAUCCGUCCACGGAAACGCAUCAAUCCAACACCAUCCACAGAAAAGUCUCCGGUGCAACCAUCAAUCAUCUUUAGCUCGAAUCCUUUGCAACUCCACAUCGGAAACUUGCUUUUCCUUAAUCCUUUCCAAAAGUGUAGGUUACACCGCCAAAAUCAUCAGCCUCAAAGGUGUACCAGGAGUCACCACCUCUAAUUCCAACCGCUUUAUCUGCUCGAUCAACUGCGGUUGAGUAACAACAAGUAUCGCUAAGUUUUCUGUCGAUUUCCUACUUAGCGCAUCCGCCACCAUGUUAGCCUUGCCCGGGUGGUAAAGAAUAGUCAAGUCAUAAUCCUUGAGUAGCUCCAACCAUCUGGGCUGCCUCAAGUUCAACUCCUUCAGAGUGAAUAAAUACUUUAAGCUUUUGUCAUCCGUAUAGACCUCACACCGCUCGCCAUAAACAUAAUGGUGCCAUAGUUUCAAAGCGAAGACUACAGCCGCCAACUCCAAAUAGUGCGUAGGGUAAUUCCUUUCAUAAUCCUUCAGUUUGCGAGAUGCAUAUGCGAUCACUUUCCCAUCCUGCAUCAAGACACAGCCCAAUCCAUUAAAGGAAGCAUCACUAUAAAUCACAUACCCUGCUCCAGCAGUUGGCAAGGUUAGGAUCGGGGCGGUCGUCAAUCUCUGUUUCAACUCUUGGAAGCUGCUUUCACACGCAUCAUUCCAAACAAACUUGGUGCCUUUAUGCGUGAGCCUCGUGAGGGGAGUGGAUAACUUUGCAAAUCCCUCAACAAACCGUCGGUAGUAGCCGGCCAAACCCAGGAAGCUCCGAAUCUCUGUGACGCUCGUCGGCCUCGGCCAAUCCUUGAUAGCUUCAAUUUUUCUCGGAUCCACGGUUAUACCCGAUCCAGAAAUCAAAUGGCCCAAAAACGCCACAUCUCUAAGCCAAAACUUACACUUUUUUGAUUUGGCGUAGAGUUUUCUUUCCUGAAGCACUUGAAGUACUAGCCUCAAAUGUUUCUCAUUAUCCGCAUCACUUCGGGAAUAGACCAAAAUGUCAUUGAUGAACACCACGACGAACCUGUCUAAAUAAGGCUUGAAAACACGGUUCAUCAAAUUCAUAAAAGCUGCCGGGGCAUUAGUAAGCCCAAACGGCAUAACUGUAAACUCAUUAUGUCCAUACCGUGUUCUAAAAGCCAUUUUCGACACAUCCUCAGACUUGAUCUUCAACUGGUGGUAUCCCGACUGCAAGUCGAUCUUGGAGUACACACUAGAUCCCUGAAGCUGAUCAAAAAGAUCAUCGAUCCUCGGCAACGGAUACUUGUUCUUGAUUAUUACUUUAUUAAGUUCACGAUAGUCCACGCACAACCGAAGUGAUCCGUCCUUCUUCUUAACAAAUAGGACCGGUGGUCCCCAAGGUAACACAUUCGGUCGCACAAAACCCUUGUCCAGAAGAUCUUGCAACUGUGCCUUCAGCUCCUUCAGUUGCCCUGGUGCCAUCCUAUAGGGCGCCUUCGAGAUUGGAGUAGUCCCGGGAAUGAGAUCUAUCACAAACUCAAUCUCCCUAUCAGGUGGCAUGCCUAGAAGCUCUGCUGGAAAUACAUCUCCAAACUCUCGUACUACGGGGAUAUCCUCAAUCCUAAAGGCGUCUGCAUCACCCCGCAACACAGCAGUAGCCAAAUAGGCUACGCAGCCUCUGCUGAUCAACUGUUUAGCUCGAGAGGAGCUAAUCGUUAUCGCAAACAGCGAACUCUGGCAUCCUCGGUACACAACCUCCGCCUGCCCCAGCUCUCCAAAAGUCACUGUUCGAUUCUUACAAUCGAUAGUGGCGAAGUACUUGGCUAACCAAUCCAUGCCCAAAACUACAUCAAACUCUCCAAGUUUGCGCAACGCGAAUAGGUACGCGGGCAUGAUCCAAUCCCCUACUCGAACGGGGCAACUGGGGCAAAUCUCUCUAAUGUCCAAGGAGUGGUCGGGAACAACAACACGUCCCGGAUGCAACAAAGAUGUUAGUGGGAUGCCAUGCAACUCGGCAAAAAGCCGGUCUAUAAAUGAAUGUGAUGCACCGGUAUCAAAUAAUGCUCGUACUCGAAUACCAUAAAGUAAAAUGAUACCUGCAACCACAUUCUCGGCCGCUGCCGCUUCCUCCGUCUGGGCCGCAUACAUGCGCCCGCUCGGGGCCUGUCGUGACCCCUCCGUCUGCCGCGGAACAGGUGGCCGCCCGGCUUGGUGGUGAGCAAAAAAUGUCCCCUGACUGGGACCUGGUGAUGCUGGUGCAGAUGCCGAAGAUGGCGCUUGCGCUGAACUCCUCGGGCAGUCCGACUGGAAGUGGCCCUCCUGGCCACACAAAAAGCACCUGCCCCGAAUGCAUGAACACUGCUGUGGGUAAUGAGGACCAUCGCAGAUCACGCAGCGCAGAGCCUGACGACGAUCAGGUCCUCCUCGCUGAGUAGAUGAGCCACAUCCCCGCGACUGGCUCUGGCUCCUGCGGUGCCUCGGCGGCCUCCGUGAGUGCGACUGGCUCGUACCCUCAGCCGCAGGCCUCUUGCCCUUCCCCUUCUCCAAGCCCUCGCGAUGCUCCUGAAGGUCUGCCACUCCAGUCUCCACAAUGAGUGCACGGUUCACAACCUCUCGGUAGGUUUGGAGGUUGGAGGACUACACCAACCGGAAGAUCGAAGGCCGCAAUCCACGCUAAAAAAUGCGGGCCUUGUCCUCGUCAUCCCGUACCACAAAAGGUAGACAGUGGAGUAGCCGAGAAACCUCCCUCUCGUACUCAACCACUGUCCGCUCCUCCUGGCGCAAGCUGCGCAGAUCCUGCUCCAUCUUCCUCUUGACAUUGAUAGGGAAAUAGUGCACUAGAAGAAGCUCCUUGAACCUCGUCCAAGAAAUCGCUGCCAAAUCAGUGUUGGGGUUGUCCUGGAUAUCCAACCACCAACGAUAGGCCUUGCCGUCAAAGUGAUGUAUGGCGAGCUAAACUCUAUCCCUUUCCUCAACAAAGGUAUCUCGAAAAAGCUUCUCCAUGUGCAUCAACCACUUCUCAACAAUCCAGUGGUCGACUUUCUCGCCGUCAAAGAUCCUCGGACCGCACCUCCUGAACUCGCUGAGGCGAUACAUGAGCCGAUCCCGCUCAGCUCCCUCGGCCAUCACAGGGAAAGCUGCCCUCGCCGCAGGUAUCUAAACCGGUGGUGCUGCAACCACUUCCUCCCGAGGUGCGGUCUCGGGCGCCGCACGCGAAGAACAGGGCGCGGGGAUUGCGCCCUCGGCGCGACGUUCACAACGGGCGCUGGUGGUGUGGGAACCUGAGUCUCCCUAUGUUAUAUACCGAGAAUUCGAAAAAUAAAUAUCGAACUUUAGUCAAAUUGACCAAAGUGCGAGGUUGGUACCCUUCAGAAAGUCCGAAGGUGUUAAAAUAAGUAAAAAUGCAUUGUGGGAGGUUUUCGAGAGCUACAGAAUCAAAAAUCUGCAAACUGCAGUUUUUGAGCUCUCGGGGACCGGUCCCUGGUGGGAGAGACCGGUCCCCGAACGCGUGAGAAAUGAGAGAAGCUGAAAAUCGGCUAAGUCCCAGAAAACCAACUCUCGGGAAUCGGUCCCUGUGGGGAGAGACCGGUCCCCGAGAGACCGGUCCCUCUGGGAGAGACCAGUUGCAUCACCGGGGGCCCUGGCUGCCCGCGGGGAGAGCUCUCUCGGGGAGACCGGUCCCCGAGCACGAAAUCUGCCCAGUUCUGGUAGUUUAAUAAAGUGAAAGUUGAUGGGUUUAUUUGCAAAAUGCAAUAUAUGGGUUAUAUUGAGGGGGUUAUGAGGUGUUUUCUCUCAUUCUCACCCUCUCACCCUCUCACCUCUCUUUCUCUCUCUAGAAGACAAGAAGGAGAAAAAGAAAGAAAAGGAAAGAAAGGAAAAGAAGAAGAAGAAAAAGAAAAGAAAGGUGGAGAAGAAGAAGAAGGAGUAAAGUAACUCCCUCUCCUUCACCUCUAGCACAAAGAAGGGAAAGCUUUGAGGUAAGCUUUGAUCCCUUUCAUGGCAAAAUCCUAGAAUGAGAGCUAAAUGACCUAGAAAUGGUUUUAAUAGAACCUUUUGAGUAUUUGAAGCUUUUUUUUACUCUUUAAGAGAUCAAAACCAUGGAUUGGGUAUAUGUGGUGAAGCUUAGAGGUGAGCUUCAACCCCUCUCAUUGUGAAACCCUAAAAUGGGUUUUGAUUGAGCUAAGGAUGGUUCAAAUGGAACCUUCAGAUGAUUUGAAGCUUACUUUUGCUUAUCUAAGAGAUCAAAACCCUAGUUUUGGUAUGCUAUGAGCUAGGGCAUCCAAAUUUGGGGCUUUUGCUCGGGAGGGUUUCAAAGUGAAAUUGACCCUCUAGAAACCUAAUUGGGGGUAUUUUCGACGCGUUGGUGCGCUCGGAUUGAUGUUACGAAAAGCCAAUGUAAAGAUAUGAGCAAAAUGGCCUAAUAGGGCUUCGUUUUGCCGUAUGAUGUGAGUACACGUGCCAUUUGAAAUAUUUGAGAACCUUUUCAACCCUAUAUGUAUGCAUGAGAUAUAAUGUGAGCACCCAAUGAGAUGAAAGAACAAAGUGACACAAUAAAAUGUGGAUCGAGUGGUAUUCGAUAAUGUUAAGUAAAGUGACACUAGAGUUAGUGUGUGUGGCAUCAAAGAGAAAUGAGACGCAAAGAACAAUGAUAACGAUUAGAGACAAGGAAAGAAAAUGAAAGUGGCAUAAAGAACGAGUAAAGUUAAAGAACAAUGAUUGCUAGAGUUAGCAAAAUAAAGUGAUGUAAAGAACACUAGAGUUAGUGUAAAGACAUCGAUUGAACUAUAUAUCCUUAGAGUUAAGGAUCGAUCAUACUUGCUAUGAGUUCCGUGCUCGAGGGCGGUCGCUCCCUCUCGAGCGAUGCGCUCCGGAGUUUUGCAUCACAGGUUGGAGUCAACCCAAGGACGGUCUUAGCGGGAGGAAGCUGAGGGCCCGCGAUGAUGGACUUAAUGUGGGCAAGUUAAUGUGGCGAAACCCCGGGUUAGCCGUGAGAUUAAAGAACAAAGAACAAGAAUAAAGAAUAAAGAACAAAGAACUUGGAUACUUGCAUGAUUUACGUUGAGCAUAUUUCUUGCUUAUUGUUCAGGCAUAUUAGCACCAUGAUUAUAGUUUGGUUACUAUUCUGCUUAUCUUUUCUAUUAUGCCUUAGUUAGUCCUAGUGAGAAAGUCGAUGAGAUUGGGGCUGAACCCACUGGAAAUUUCGUUGUAGUUCUCACCCCACUAUUUCCACAGAGCCGGGACCGAGCGAGCCGGAGAGCGACCGCGGUAAAGGUAUCGCGCCAUAGACAGUGACCACCGAGUCGGGUUUACAUGUUGUAGUAGCAUUCCUCUACUUCAUCUUUUGUAUUUGAUGAAAUGAGAUGUAAAAGAAAAAAGAAUGUAAUGUUUAUCUCGAGAAGAAUGUGAUGUAAAAAGAGAUGAUGAAAUGAAAUGUAAAAGCUUUAUGAAUGUACAAGUUAAAUGCAAGGUAUGUGAUCAAAAUCGAAUCAUAGUACUUGAGUAGUUGUUUAGUUUCCUUUCUUUCACUAAUGGCUAUUGCUUACCCUCGUGUAAGUCGUUUGUGUAUGUUUCCGCUAGUACUUUUCUCUACUUGAAAAUGUACCGGUGUCGAGCCUUGGGCGGACAGGGAAAACUCUGUCCGUUCGGCGUCUGUUUGACAUGCCCGGGCCGGCCCAAAUUGGUAUCGGUCCCGGGCCGUGACAUAGUCGAUUCUGAGCGAAGUCCAGCUCUCGGAUUUCGAGAAUUCACCUCCUUACAUCCUCCCAUCCUAAAAGGGAGUUUCGUCCUCGAAACUAAUCUAAUUCCAAUAUAACUCAAGUUCAUACCUUAUUCCUCAAACAGGUGAGGAUGAUGCGCUUCCAACUUGCUUUCGAGUUCCCAAGUGGCUUCACGGUCAUCGUGAUUGCUCCACCGAACUUUCACAUAGGGAAUCUCGCGGUUCCGCAAUUUACGCACUUCCCGUGCGAUAAUCGACACCGGAAACUCUUCGUAGCUCAGAUCUUCUUGAAGUUCUGGCGGUUCAUACAACAUUGCGUAUUCGGGGUUAUGGAUAUACUUGCGAAGGUUGGAGACAUGAAACACGUUGUGAACGUCUGCGAGUUACGGCGGCAAUGCAAGCCGGUAAGCUACAGCUCCAACUCGCUCCAACACCUCAUAUGGUCCAAUAUACCGAGGACUCAACUUUCUCCGACCCCCAAAUCGUUUCACACCGUUCAUUGGCAAAACCUUCAAAAACACACGGUCUCCUACUGCGAACUCCAGAUCUCUACGGCGCUUAUCCGCAUAAUUCUGUUGCCUCGAUUGCUCCGUGAGCAAUCUUUUGCGAGCAAGGCGAACUUUCUCCUCCGCCUCCUACAAAACGUCGGGCCCUAAUACCGCACGCUCACCUACAUCACCCCAGUGUAUAGGAGAUCGACACUUCCGCCUGUAAAAGACCUUGAACGGUGCCAUUUCAACACUAGCUUGGUAACUAUUGUUGUAGGCGAACUUGGCCAUAGGUAGGUCACUUGCCCAACUACCCUUAUAAUCAAUGACACACGCCUGCAGCAUAUCCUCCAGAAUCUGGAUAGUUCUCUCUGACUGCCCAUCUGUCUGAGGAUGAAACGCGGUGCUAAAAUCGAGCCUUGUGCUAAGCGCUUCCUGCAGGUUCUUCCAAAAGUGUGAAGUGAAUCGGGGGUCUCGAUCCGAUACAAUUGAUUUUGGAACCCCGUGCAACCUCACCACUUCAUCAAGAUACACCUGCGCCAACUUAUCACCCGACCAGGUAGUGUGGAUCGGUAAAAAAAUGCGCUGAUUUGGUCAUGCGGUCCACAAUCACCCAGAUCACAUCAUGGCCACCCGCCGAACGGGGUAAUCCAACCACGAAGUCCAUAGAUAUGUACUCCCACUUCCAAACAGGAAUGGGCAGACUCUGCAAUUUUCCUGCAGGAAAUCGACGCUCAGCUUUCACUUGCUGACAGGUUAAACAUUGCGGCACAAACUGCCAAAUGUCCUUCUUCAUCCCAGGCCACCAAUAAUGCACUUUAAGAUCCUUGUAUAUCUUAGUGCCACCUGGAUGUACGCUAUAAGGUGAUUGAUGAGCUUCCUGUAGUAUAGCUUUCUGAACCUCCUAGUCUUUGGGCACGCAUAACCGGUUGCGAAACCGAAGUGCUCCAUCUGACCCUACUGCAAAAUCAUCCCAUGUCCGCUCUCAACUUCACACCGCACCUUUUGGAGAUACGGAUCUGAAGGUUGCUGUUCUUUAAUCUAUUCCAAUAAAGUCGGUUGAACAACUAGAGCGGCAAGAAUAGCUGGUACAUCUGGAGCGACUACCUCAAGAUCAAACCGCCGCAUUUCAUUCUGCAAUGACGGUUGAUGCAUGAUCGCCAUAGCCAAAUUCUCAACUAACUUUCUACUCAAUGCAUCUGCUACGACAUUAGCUUUCCCUGGGUGGCAUAGAAUUGUAACAUCAUAGUCCUUCAACAAUUCUAACCACCGGCGUUGUCGCAUAUUUGGCUCUUUUGGGUGAAUAAAUACUUCAGGCUCUUGUGGUCAAUAUAAAUCUCGCAAUGCUCGCCAUAAAGAUAGUGUCUCCACAACUUCAAUGCGAAGAUCACCGCCGCCAACUCCAAAUCAUGAAUAGGAUAGUUCUUUUCAUAAUUCUUCAGCUGGCGAGACGCAUAGGCAAUGACUCGACCACCCUGCAUAAGUACACACCCAAGUCCACUAUAGGAAGCAUCACUGUAGAUCACAAAACUCUCCCCCGAAAUCGGCAAGGCAAGAAUAGGAGUCGAAGUCAACCUUUCUUUCAACUUCCGAAAGCUACGAUCACAUUCCUCACUCCAAACAUAUUUAGUUCCUUUAUGUGUAAGGCGCGUUAGUGGAGUAGUAAUCUCUGCAAAUCCUUCCACGAACCGCCUAUAGUACCCCGCAAGUUCAAGGAAACUGCGGAUCUCCGCAACAGUCGUCGGGCGAGGCCAAUCUUUAAUCGCCUCUACUUUCUUUGGGUCGACAGCUACACCACCCUCAGAAAUGACGUGCCCCAAAAACACUACCUCUCGCAGCCAGAAAUCGCAUUUCUUCAAUUUAGCAUACAAUUGCUUCUCCCGCAGAAUUUGCAUCACCAUUCUUAAGUGUUCCUCGUGCUCCUCAUUGCUUUGGGAAAAGAUCAAGAUGUCGUCUAUAAAUACUACAACAUACUGAUCCAACAUCGGCUUAAAGAUCCUAUUCAUUAGAUCCAUAAAUGCUGCAGGGGCAUUGAUUAGCCCAAACGGCAUCACUGUAAACUCGUAAUGACCAUAGCGAGUACGAAACGCUGUCUUGUGCACAUCCUCUGGCUUGAUCUUCAAUUGGUGAUAACCCGAUUGAAGAUCAAUCUUCGAAUACACCCGUGACCCUUGUAACUGAUCAAAUAGAUCAUCAAUUCGUGGCAACGGAUAUUUGUUCUUAAUUGUGAUCUUGUUCAGUUCACGAUAAUCAACACAAAGCCGAAUGUCACGCCCCGGGACCGAUACCAAUUUGGUCCGACCCGAGCACGUCAAACAGACGCCGAACGGACAGGGUUUCCCUAUCCGUCCAAGGCUUAUCACAUGUACAAAUUCAACCAAGAAAUGCACUAGCGAGGCUUACAUGAGGGUAAGCAAUAGCCAAUAGUGAAAGAAAGGAAAACUAAACAUUUACAAGUACUAUAAUUCAUUUUUGAUCAUAUACAAUGCAUCCAUUUACAUUCAUGAUUCUCUGUACUUCAUUACACAUUGCAUCAUUUCUUUCUUACAUCACAUUUACCUCAAAAUAAGCUUUACAUUCCUUUCUUAACAUCACUAGUCAUCAAAUACAGAAGAUGAACAUAGGGUACUCUACCAACAAAAUGUAAACCCAACUUGGGUGGCCUCUUACUAAGGCGCGAUACCUUUACCUCGGUCGCUCGCUAGCUCGCUCGGUCCCGGCUCUGUGGAAAUAGUGGGGUGAGAACUACAACAAAGUUCCCAGUGGGUUCGGCCUCAACAUCACCGACUUUCCCACUAGGACUAACUCAGGCAUAAUAGAAAGAAUAAGCUGCAUAUAGUAACCAAUCUAUAUAUGAUGCUAAUAUGCCUGAACAAUAAAGCAAGGGGUAUGCUCAAUAAUAAAUAAAUGCAGAUUAUGCAAAUUCUUUGUUCUUUUCAUUUUACUCUUGGUUUUUUGUCCUUUGUUCUUUGCACUUUGUUCUUUGCUCUUUGUUCUUUAAUCUCAAGGCUAACUCGGGGGUAUCGCCACAUUAACUUGCUUCACAUUAAGUCCAUCAUCGCAGGAACUCACCNAGUGAAAGAAUAGGAAUGGACCUAGAGGCCUAUAGGAUUGGCGGACCUUAAGGAUCUAGGAAACGUGAGUGACGUGGAAUCAAAGUUAGCGAAAGCAUGUGAUUGGGUUAAGUUGGGACGUCUCUAAUGUGAAUAGAGGCUAAGUUUAUUUUUCAUUUGUUUCCUACUCCUUGUUUUGUGUCGGGCGGCCGACGACAUGAUGCUUGGGGCGAGAACGAAUGUAUAAGUUGCUUCGCCAAAUUGGGUAUGGUUAAGUAAUGUUGGUCAUGUAGCUAAUGCGAGUUGCUUCUUUUCAGGAAGCAAUGGCACCUCGUGGAUUAUCGCAGACAAGGUCGAUACCGGAGGAGCCGAAUGCGGCGCCCGAGCAAUCCGGAGCUAGUGGCGACGGUGAGCUUCGGGAACAGAUGGCCGCGCUUAUUGGCGUAGUGCGGCAACAAGCGAAGUCUAUUCAACGCCAAGGGGAGCAGAUUCAGUGGCUCCAGGAGGCCUUGGAGCGUCAGCAAGUGGCGGCGGCCUAGGCGGGUGUCGAGCAUGUCGCGCCCCCUGUGGUAGUGCCGAGCGUAGACGAGGGAGCGGCGGCAGCAGCGGCUGUUCCAGUUACGGUAGUACCGGCCGGAUCGGGAACCUCAAAUCCCGAUAGUGCGGUGGUAGAGGCGGAGCGGGAGUGCACAUUGGCGGCUCUCAUACAGUUUAAGAAGCUCAACCCACCUGUCUUUGAAGGUGGUUUGGUAGAGCCAGCGGUCGUGGAGUCAUGGAUUGACUCGAUGGAAAUGCUCUUCGAGGAUCUUAAUACUUCGGAGAAGGACAAAGUGUACCUUGCCACCUAUUGUCUCAAGAAGGCGGCGAUGGUGUUGUGGAAGCGAGUCAAGCGGGAUCGACCUACCGAUCUUCCGCUUAUGCUGUGGGAGGAGUUCAAGAGAGCGGUGUUCGCGAACUACUCCCCAAUACGGUAAAGCGAAGACUCCAAGAGAAGUUCCGCAAGCUGAGACAGGGUGAUCGAUCGGUGGGGGAGUAUGAGUAGGACCCACAUUAUCGACUGCGUUCCCGAUGUUGUUAGAGAUGAUCGGGAUCGGGCUGAUUGGUUCUUGCGAGGACUCCAGCCGAGGAUUUAUGAGAAGGUGCAGAUUUUGAAGCUGACGACCUUUGCGGAGGUCUUUGAUAGAGCCUUAUGGGUGGAGCACAGUAGCGCCCACGUUCGAGAGGAACGGGAGGCUAUCGCCGAGAGCAAAGACAAAGGCAAGAAGUAAACGGCGGGCGGUGCCGGGGGCCGGCCAAAUGCUAAGAAACCACCUCGGUAUCCCCGACAGCAGUCGAGUAACUGGAGACCUCCUCGAUGUGUCAUUUGCGGCGGAGAGCACCGAGUGUCGGCUUGCCCGCAGCAAGACGGCAAAUGUUUUAAGUGUGGCCAACCGGGACAUCUUAUCCGGGAGUGCCCAAGCUGGACGUCGUCUGCGCCGAUGGCGGCAUCAGCACCGUCUACCCCGAGACAGCUUGCAGGGUUACCACUAGCGAUGUCGGCUGGGCGCGCGUCAUCACCGCGUCAACCAGAGGGAUCGAGAGCACCUAGCGAACGAAUUUUCACCGCUCAGGUGGAGGAGCAGCAACCUGCAGCACCCGACAACGUCGUGGCAGGUAUCAUUGUGAUUAAAGGCACUAGAGCUAGAGCAGUAUUUGAUACAGGCGCAUCUCAUUCAUUCAUUAGCGCAUCAUUUGCUCAAACUUAUAGCAUAGAGAUGGCAUAUAACGAGGACUACUGGUGGGUGAACGCCCCAGAACAUUCGUUCAGUGUCCACAAUGAGUGUUUGGCGUGUCCAGUGCAAAUAGGCGAUUGGAUUAUGCCGAUAGAUCUGCUAGUGCUAGAUCAGAUGUGGGAAUUGAUGUUAUCUUGGGGACCAACUGGCUCUCCAAGUACUAUGCGGUUAUAGAUUGUGAAAGCAAGGUAAUCACUUUUCGUAAGCCUAAUCAAGAAGAGUCGGUGUACCAAGCGUGCAAAAGUAGGCGCUUCGUAGCGACCAUAUCGUCUGUAAGGGCGAAGAAGAUGAUCAAAGGAGGAUGUAAAGCCUAUUUGGCAACCAUGGUCGAUGCUCGAAAGGAGUACCCAGAGUUGGGGGAUAUUCGGAUAGUGUGCGAGUACCCGGACGUAUUUCCGGCGGAGUUACCGGGACUGCCACCGGACCGGAAAGUUGAGUUCGUCAUUGACUUGAUUCCCGGGGCGGAACCAGUUUCGAAGGCUCCGUAUAGAAUGGCACCGGUGGAGUUAAGGGAGUUAAAGGGCCAGUUGCAAGACUUGCUCGAUAAAGGCUUUGUGAGGCCGAGCGUGUCGCCGUGGGGAGCUCCAGUGCUAUUUGUGAAGAAAAAAGAUGGCACACUUUGACUCUGGGUAGACUAUCGAGAGUUGAACAAAGUGACGAUAAAGAACAAGUACCCGUUGCCAAGGAUUGACGAUUUAUUCGAUCAGUUGCAAGGGUCCAAGGUGUAUUCGAAGAUUGAUCUCCAAUCGGGGUAUCAUCAAUUAAAGAUUAGGCCGAAGGAUGUGCACAAGACAGCGUACCGUACGCGGUAUGGCCAUUAUGAGUUCACGGUAAUGCCGUUUGGGCUUACUAACUCCCCGGCAGCAUUUAUGGACUUGAUGAACCGAGUCUUCAGACCGUUGUUGGAUUGAUGCGUCGUGGUGUUUAUAGACGACGUAUUGGUCUACUCGAAGAGCGAGGAGGAGCACGAGGAGCAUUUGAGAGCUGUGCUACAAAUACUCCAACAAGAGAAGCUUUAUGCUAAGUUAAAGAAGUGUGACUUUUGGCUAAAGGAGAUCACAUUCUUGGGUCAUGUGGUAUCGGGCGACGGAGUUUCGGUAGAUCCGAAGAAAGUAGAGGCAAUAAAGGAUUGGCCUCACCCGACAAGUGUAGCGGAGGUCCACAGUUUUCUCGGACUUGCUGGCUAUUAUCGGCAGUUCGUGGAGGGGUUCGCCAAAAUAACCACUCCACUAACGCGCCUUACCCGUAAAGGAGUAAAGUACGUGUGGAGCGACGAUUGCGAUCGAAGCUUCAAAGAGUUGAAGAACAGGUUGACGUCGACCCCGGUGCUUGCCUUGCCGACUCCGAGGGAGACCUUUGUAGUAUACAGUGAUGCCUCUUAUGUUGGUCUCGGGUGUGUAUUAAUGCAAAAUGGGCGAGUCAUUGCAUAUGCAUCACGCAAACUAAAGAGCUAUGAGAAGAACUACCUAAUUCACGACCUUGAGUUAGCCGCGGUGAUUUUCGCCCUAAAGCUUUGGAGGCAUUACCUAUAUGGUGAGCAUUGUGAAGUCUACACAGAUCACAAGAGUCUUAAGUACUUGUUCACCCAAAAGGAGUUGAACAUGCGAUAGCGGUGGUGGUUAGAGUUGCUAAAGGACUAUGAUGUCACUAUACUAUACCACCCCGGGAAAGCCAAUGUCGUGGCCGAUGCUCUAAGUAGAAAAUCGGCGGAUAAUCUAACGACGGCAAUUACGCCUCAACCGCUAUUGCAAAAGAAGAUGCAAAGGCUUGGGUUGGAAGUGGUAGCACCGGGAGUGCCGGCUAUACUUGCCGCAUUAGUUGUGCAACCGACCCUAUUGGAAAGGAUCAAGGAACUACAAGCUUCGGAUCCUUAUCUUCAAAAGAUACGAGGUGAAGCUGAGAACGAUAAUGCCGAGGAUUUUGGCAUUAGAGCCGAUGGCGCACUCCGAUUUCGAAAUCGCUAGUGCGUGCCCAAAGAUGAUGGUAUUCGAAAGGCGAUUAUGCAAGAAGUGCACCAAUCCCCUUAUAGCAUACACCCUGGUGGCACUAAAAUGUACCAAGACUUGAAAGUGCAUUAUUGGUGGCCGAGCAUGAAAAGAGAUGUUGGGGAGUUCGUGGCACAAUGUCUAACGUGCCAACAGGUGAAAGCAGAGCGCCGAUUUCCAGCGGGAAAGCUACAAAGUUUAUCAAUACCCGUUUGGAAAUGGGAAGAUAUAGCGAUGGACUUUAUUACCGGUUUGCCUCGAUCACAAGGUGGAGACGAUGCGAUAUGGGUGAUAGUGGAUCGAUUGACAAAGUCGGCACACUUCUUGCCGAUACAUACUACGUGGUCGGGAGACAAGUUGGCUCAAGUUUAUCUCGAUGAGGUUGUGAGACUUCAUGGGAUUCCGGUAUCAAUUGUAUCGGAUCGAGACCCCAGGUUCACAUCCUACUUUUGGAAGAGCUUGCAAGACGCGCUAGGCACACAGCUCGACUGUAGCACAACGUUUCAUCCUCAAAGUGAUGGACAGUCGGAGCGAACGAUACAAAUCCUUGAGAACUUGCUUCGAGCAUGUGUACUAGAUUACAAAGGAGGAUGGGAUGAUCUUGCCGAUGGCGGAGUUCGCAUAUAAUAACAGUUAUCAAGAGAGCAUAGCGAUGGCGCCAUUUGAGGCACUGUAUGGUCGAAAGUGUCGUUCUCCUAUUCAUUGGAGCAACGUGGGCGAGAGAACGGCUCUUGGUCCGUAUGUAGUGCGGGAGGCAAAGGAGAAUGUCCGCCUUGCCCAUCAACGGUUAGUAACGGCGUAGUCAAGGCAAAGGAGUUAUGCCGACAAGCGAAGAAAGGACUUAGAGUUCGCGGUUGGAGACCACGUAUUUUUGAGAGUAUCGCCGAUGCGUGGAGUAAAGCGAUUUAGGGUCCGUGGGAAGCUAACUCCCCGUUAUGUCGGACCAUUCGAGAUAUUGGAACGUGUGGGUGCGGUAGCGUACAAGCUCGCACUGCCACCGAGACUCAUGGGAGUUCACAACGUGUUCCAUGUGUCAAACCUCCGAAAGUAUAUUCGCAAUUCGACACAUGUAUUGGAAUAUGAGCCCGUGGAGCUACGUGAAGAUAUGUCUUAUGAGGAGUACCCGGUGUGCAUCCUCGAUAGAGAAGAAAGAAAGCUGCGGAGUCGCAGAAUUCCUUAUGUAAAGGUUCAGUGGAGCAACCAUGCUAUGCGAGAAGCCACUUGGGAGCUCGAGGAGACCAUGCGGAGAGAGUAUCCACAUUUAUUUCAGUCAACGAGUUAAGGAAUGCGUAAUUUCGCAGAAGAAAUUAUUUUAAGGGGUGGAGAAUGUAAUAUACCGAGAAUUCAGAAAAUAAAUAUCGAACUUCAGUCAAAUUGACCAAAGUGCGAGGUUGGUACCCUUCGGAAAGUACGAAGGUGUUAAAAUAAGUAAAAGUGCAUUGUGGGAGGUUUUCGAGAGCUAAAGAAUUAAAAAUCUGCAAACUAUAGUUUUUGAGCUCUCGGGGACCGGUCCUUGGUGGGAGAGACCGGUCCCCGAACGCGUAAGAAAUAAGAGAAGCUGAAAAUCGGCUAAGUUCUAGAAAACCAGCUCUCGGGAACCGGUCCCUGUGGGGGGAGACCGGUCCCCGAGAGACCGGUCCCUCUGGGAGAGAUCGGUUGCAUCGCGUGGGGGCCCUAGCUGCCCGCGGGGAGAGCUCUCUGGGACCGGUCCCAAGUCGGGGAGACUGGUCCCCGAGCACAAAAUCUGCCCAGUUCUGGUAGUUUAAUAAAGUGAAAGCUGAUGGGUUUAUUUGCAAAAAUAUAAUAUAUGAGUUAUGUUGAGGGGGUUAUGAGGUGUUUUCUCUCAUUCUCACCCUCUCACACUCUCACCUCUCUUUCUCUCUCUAGAAGACAAGAAGGAGAAAAAGAAAGAAAGGGAAAGAAAGGAAAAGAAGAAGAAGAAAAAGAGAAGGAAGGUGGAGAAGAAGAAGAAGGAGUGAAGUAACUCCCUCUCCUUCACCUCUAGCACAAAGAAAGGAAAGCUUUGAGGUAAGCUUUGAUCCCUUUCAUGGUAAAACCCUAAAAUGAGAGCCAAAUGAUCUAGAAAUGGUUUUAAUAGAACCUUUUUGAGUAUUUGAAGCUUUCUUUUGCUUCUUUAAGAGAUCAAAACCAUGGAUUGGGUAUAUAUGGUGAAGCUUGGAGGUGAGCUUCAACCCCUCUCAUGGUGAAACCCUAAAAUGGGUUUUGAUUGAGCUAAGGAUGGUUCAAAUGGAACCUUUAGAUGAUUUGAAGCUUACUUUUGCUUCUCUAAGAGAUCAAAAUCCUAGUUUUGGUAUGCUAUGAGCUAGAGCACCCAAAUUUGGGGCUUUUGCUCGGGAGGAUUUCAAAGUAAAAUUGACCCUCUAGAAAUCUAAUUGGGGGUAUUUCCGACGCGUUGGUACGCUCGGAUUGACGUUACGAAAAGCCAAUGUAAAGAUAUGAGUAAAAUGGCCUAAUAGGGUUUCGUUUUGCCGUAGGUGACGAACUAGAAGUCUAAAAAAUUCCAAGAAAAUCAUUGUAGCAUCCUAGUACGCUUACGACGUGGGUGGUGCUAUCCAAACUUGUUGGAAUUCCCUCUAUGCCUAAUGUGUCAUUCAAUUGAGCAUAUAUUUAUAUUAUUGCAUGCAUUAUAGGGUAGAUAUGAUGUUGUAUAUGUGAGUGUUGCAUGAUGUGAGUACACGUGCUAUUUGAAAUGAUUGAGAACCUAUUCAACCCUAUAUGUAUGCAUGAAAUAUAAUGUGAGUACCCAAUGAGAUGAAAGAACAAAGUGACACAAUAAAACAUAGAUCGAGUGGCAUUCGAUAAUGUAAAGUAAAGUGACACUAGAGUUAGUGUGUGUGGCAUCAAAGAGAAAUGAGACGCAAAGAACAAUGAUAACGAUUAGAGACAAGGAAAGAAAAUGAAAGUGGCAUAAAGAACGAGUAAAGUUAAAGAACAAUGAUUGCUAGAGUUAGCAAAAUAAAGUGAUGUAAAGAACACUAGAGUUAGUGUAAAGACAUUCAUUGAACUAUAUAUCCUUAGAGUUAAGGAUCGAUCAUACUUGCUAUAAGUUCCGUGCUCGAGGGCGGUCGCUCCCCCUCGAGUGAUGCGCUCCGGAGUUUUGCAUCACGGGUUGGAGUCGACCCGAGGACGGUCUUAGCGGGAGGAAGCUGAGGGCCCGUGAAGAUCGACUUAAUGUGGGCAAGUUAAUGUGGCGAAACCCACGGGUUAGCUGUGAGAUUAAAGAACAAAGAACAAGAUUAAAGAAUAAAGAACAAAGAACUUGCAUACUUGCAUGAUUUACGUUGAGCAUAUUUUUUGCUUAUUGUUCAGGCAUAUUAGCAUCAUGAUUAUAGUUUGGUUACUAUUCUGCUUAUCCUUUCUAUUAUGCCUGAGUUAGUCCUAGUGGAAAAGUCGGUGAGAUUGGGGCCGAACCCACUGGGAACUUCGUUGUAGUUCUCACCCCACUAUUUCCACAGAGCCGGGACCGAGCGAGCCGGCGAGGGACCGCGGUAAAGGUAUCGCGCCAUAAACAGUGACUACCAAGUCGAGUUUACAUUUUGUCAGUAGCUACCCUAUUGUCAUCUUUUGUACUUGAAGAUGUUUAAAGUAAAGAAAAAGAAUGUAAAGUUUUAUUUUGAGGCAAUGUGAUGUAAAAAGAAAUGAUGCAAGCAAUGUAAAGAAUCAUGAAUGUACAAGUUGGAUGAAAUGGAUACAUGUAUGUGAUCAAAAGAGAAUCAUAGUACUUGUGUAAAUGUUUAGUUUCCUUUCUUUCACUCAUGGCUAUUGCUUACCCUCUUGUAAGCCGUUUGUGUAUGUUUCCGCUAGUGCUUUUCUCUACUUGAAAAAUAUACAGGUGAUGAGCCUUGGGCGGACAGGGAAAACUCUGUCCGUUCGGCGUCUGUUUGACGUGCUCGGGCCGGCCCAAAUUGGUAUCGGUCCCAGGGCGUGAGACCUUAGAAGCUGCCGCUUGCUAUAGCAAGAGAUCCUCCAGGUGCUUCAUCCGUGCCUCCUGCCGCUGUGCCACCUCGGCCUGUCGCUGAGCGGCCGCCGCCUAUUGCGCUACAAUAUCAGUGAGGACCGCAAGCUGGGACCUCAAGUCGCGGACCUCGCUAGAUCCAGAAGUAGCGGAGGUCUCAACCUCCUCGAGUUGUGCCGCAUCAUCCGCUCCGGCAGAUUGGGAGCGUGUAAUCGGCAUUGCCACUACAAAACAUAAAAGCGCAAGUUAGUAAAACCCACGCUAUCGCAUUCCCGCUCAAAAUAGACAAAAUCCAAAUCUUGUGAAAGUAAGGAAGUGUUCUUCACUAUUAACUCCCGAUGUUACGUUGUAGGCCGCCAACGUAACCCUCCGCGAAGUUAGAAGCCAUACACUCCAAUCAACCCUAACUUUUUAGAGUUAUCAUAAAACCCAAUUGAAAUACUUUCGCUUACAAGUCAAAUGGAUCUCGUCUCUCACGAGCCUAUAUCCUAUAGUCCAACUUGCCUAAGGUUUGCUAGAUCCACUAAGACUUAACCCUAGGCUCUGAUACCAAACUAAUCUGUCACGCCCCGGGACCGGCGGAGGCCCUCCCGGUAGCGCGCCCAGACCCGCCAUAUGUCAGCACAUAUAAGGCGUCUACAACAACAGCGGAAAAUAAAACUAAAGAUGAUCUACAACUAGAGAUAUCAGAGCAAGUAUACAUCUAUCAUCUAUAACAAAAGUAAAUAAAGCGUAACUAAACCAUAAAGGUAAAACAUAGAGUUAUACAAUAACCAUCUCCAAAAGGGUACACAAAAGGGUGGUCUCUAUACAUGGAUACAACUCUCAACCUCUCCAAAAAGAAAACAACGAGAGGUAGACCACCUAUCAACGCGUCUUUCGAUAGCAAGCUAGCUCGAGGUAAUACCCUUUCGGCGGUCCCUAGCCUCUCUCGGCGUGGAAGGCUCUGAAAUAAGACAUAAAACAGAGGGCGUGAGAACUAUAAUUUAUAGUUCCAAAUGGGCAAUUACCGACCUCAGCUCAAUGCACCACUAGGCCGCAAAAAAAAGGGUAAGUACGGAAACGACGAUAAUAAUAAUAAUAAACUGUAAGUGUAAGAGCAAGUAAUGUUUGCUAAAUUUACUAUGCCAUAAACCAUAAGAUGUCAAUGUAUCGUGCAUGUAUUCUAUCAGGUUGUGGUAUAUCCAAUGCAUGACUACUAUGUCCCAACGUGGCAAGUAAGUAGAUAACAUGAUCCAUUCUAUCAAUAUAUGAUGAUUAUGCUCUAUCAUGGCAACCAAGUAUACUAUGAUGCAACAGGUAAAUUAUCAAGUAUACUACAUGUCUCAACACUAUGCUAUAAGCAUGUCAAUGUAAUCUAAGUACUAAUCCUAUCUAGUGGUGAUUGUCAUUUUCCGGUUCAAUGUCAUUGUUUAAUUAUGUUCUAGGACCUACAUAAAUGUAGUCCAGCUUGUGCCACCUAAGUGUCGGUGGUAGCUCCAGCAUUCCCACUCUAGAAAUGAGUCUAUCCUUCCCGACCUCGUAGGUUUCUCGAUAUCGCACGAGCGAGCAUAAAUCGCGUAGGCCAACUCCGGAGUGCCGGCUUGUAGGGAGCGACCCUCACAAGCAUGUGCGAAUGAGCACAAAUGGCAAGAAAGCAUAGUCAACGUCUCAAAAGUCUAAUCAUCAUGUCUCUAACAUGGUAAAAGUCACUAGCAUCUCAAAGAUCUUGUUCAAUGUCUCAAUGUGAAAGUUUAACCGUUCAAUAAAUUCUAUGUCAUUGACCUUAGCUUCACUAAGUCCAUAUGUAUUCCAAGCCUAGUGCCUCUUUAUGACAUUAUCUUAUGAUAUUAUACAUCAUGUACAUCUAUGCCUCUUUAUGGCAUUAUAUCACACUAUGUCCAAAUCUUGUUCCAACACUAAUGCUGCUGUAACACACUAGACUUGUGCAAAUUGCGAGGUUCGAGUGUUUGAUAUGGAUCCCGAACUUUUGCACACUUGGUGGGAGGUCGCAGAUGGUAUUCCGACCUAAAAGUUUGAUUUCUGGAAUUUUGGCUAAGUCCUGAGAGUUUUCACUCUCGGGGACCGGUCCCUGGUAGGAGAGACCGGUCCCCUCGUAACAGUGUUGCGGCAGGCUUGAGGCAACCGGUCCCUGGCAGUGAGAGACCGGUUCCCGAACGUGUGUUUUACGGGAGGGUCCGAGAGACCGGUCUCAGGUGCGGGGAAACCGGUCCCUCUACCCGAAAUUUGCCAAGACUAGGCAGUGCAUUGAUUGCAAAGUUGAGGGGCUCUUUUGGAUAUUGUUGCAUGAGGGGCCUUAUAUGGCAUUUUCUCUCCCUCUCUCCCUUAUUUCUCUCCCUCACACUCUCUCUUACACCCUAGAAAGAGAAGAAGAAGGAGAAGGAAGGAGAAGGAAGGAGAAGGAGAAGAAGGAGAGCAAGCUUGGAGGCUUUGGAGCAUCUUCCUCUCUCUCGUUUCGCACCUUUGGUGGCUUGGAGCUUGUGGUUGGAGCUUUGUGGAGGAUCAAUCUUCAACCCUUGAGGAUUUUGAGCUUGGUUUGGAGCAUUCUAGAGGUAAGUGGCUAGUUUUCUUCCUCUAGAUCCUAGUUUUGAAGCUUUAAACUAGAUGAAACUCUAGAUUUUGGGAUUUAGGGUUUAUUUUGGGGAUUUUCGAUUUGAGGGCUUUGGGACCCAAUUGAUUGGUUUAGAACCUUCCUCUUGGUUGGGUUGGAAGGGUUUUUGCUUUUUUUGGAAGCUUGAGAAGGGAUUUCUACACAAGAGGUGAGAUAUGCCCUCUAUGCCUAGAUGGUUAAAGAUUGAGCUUAGUAUUGUUCGUAAGGUUCGUUUAACUCUCGUUCCUACAUCUUUAGGGUGCUAGGAGACUAGUGGGCAUCUUCGUCGGAGCUUACGAAGAGUUGCAAGAGUUGUGGUGGGUUUGACUUUAUGAAAUCGGGGCGAAUUGGCCCCUAUGUAUUCUAUACUUGUCGUAACAUCAUUUUGAUUGCACAUUCAUGUUAAAUGGGAUUUAUGUGAAUUUUAGAACACUUAAAAUGCAUGUAUUAUGUAUCAUGAAAUUUUCACUCUAUGUAGUAGGGUACUCUGGAUUUUUAACAUGCAUGUGAGAAGUGGUUCUCUUUGCGAGUUGAGUACUUGUCUCGUAUGAUGAAAAUGAUUAGAAUUAUGCAUUCAUGAACAUAAUUUCUUUCAUGCUUGGACAUAGAGACCAAAAGUGUCAUAAAGGGGCACUUGGACUAGCAAAAUAUGAAACUAUUAUCUGAGACUUAGUGAUAGGCCAUUGACAUAUUUUAUAUUCCAUGUUAGAGACAUGAUGACAUAGAGAUAGGCCUAUGAGAGAUGUGACGUAUUCCAUGUUGUUAGACAUGAGGACUUGGUACUUGAGACGGAUCUUAUGUUACUUGCCAUUGUGCUCAUUCGCACACGCUUGUGUGGGUCGCUCCCUACAAGCUGGCACUUCGGAGAUGGCCAUCGCGAUACAUAUUCGCCGUGCGGGAUUGGGCGCCGAAGUGGAUUACCGUGGGAAAGGCUCAUUCCUAGAGUGGGGAUGUUGACUACCACGGGGCCAUUAGGCUCGGCACCGGCCAGACAGCCUACGGGUGGGUCUCAGGGCCAGACAGCCUUCGGGCGAGGCUCUUCAGAUUUGACUUUGAGCAUUCAUCAUGCCAUGUGCACAUUGACUAGAAAAGUAAACAAUGACAUCUUUACUAUUUAGCUUAUGGACAUCAUACUAGUGAUGAUUUGGUACAUUCAUGCUAGUGUAGCAUUUUUAUUACUUGAGCAAAAUCAUGCUAAGUAGAAAUAUCUUGUAGUAGUAGGUAUUCAUGUUUAAUUACUAGUUCUACUUAUCGCUUUUGUUUAUACUUAUACACUGACCCCUUUUUGUAGCUUUUGGGCCUAGUGGCGCAUUUCACUGAAGUCAAUAAUUGCCCACUGGGAACUAUUAUUUAAUAGUUCUCACGCCCCUAUUUCUAUGUUUUCUUUUCAGAGCCUUCGGCACCGGCGAAGGCACGGGAUCGCGGCAAGGGUGUUGCCUAGCUAGAUAGAGAGGAGCUACUUUUGAGCUUAGGUGGUUACUCUUUCUUUUGUUGUAUUAGAGAGAGAGAGAUUUUGAGUACCAUAUAUAGAGAGACCACCUAUGUACUUAUUUAGCUUUUGUAUUGGGAUUCCUAUUGUAUUCACUUUAUGGUUUAUUUAGUGAUUUUAGCUCUCUGCUCUUCACACUGCUUUAGAUACUAGAUGUUAUAUAAUGCUCUGAUAUCUCUAGAUCUUCUUUACUUGCUUUAUUUAUCGUUUUGUUUUAGACGUCUUAUAUGUUUUAGACAUAUGGCGGGUCUGAGCACACGCCGGGCGGGCUUCCGCUGGGUCCCGGGGCGUGACAGCCGCUUUAUGACACUUAAGCUUGUUAUAAGUUAAACACAUUUCAUAUUCUAUAUUCGAUUCAUGACAUUAGUACUAGAUUUUCAUUUAACCCGAGCUCAAUGCCCCUAUAUGACAUUAGCCCAAUCAUUCUCAAGUAGUACAAGUCCCCAAGCCUCUUAAGGCUUACUAAAGGCCCUUAUGUCUCAAUUAGGUAUAGGUUUAAAUGCAUGAUGCAAUGCUCAAUUUCAUUAUAAGAAACAUGGUUCCGAGUCCAACAUAAGAAUGCCCAAUGCUAGUGCAAGCUUCACAUGCAACUCUCUCUCUACUAUAUAGAGGUCCGAAAAUUCAUUAUACAUGACAUAGGGAUGUUAAGCAUUCUAAAAUUCACAAUAAAUACAUUUAACAUGAAAAUACAUGAAUUUUCACUUUACGAAACAUAAAUCACCAAAUAUGAGAAUUUCUCAUAUUGUAGGCUAGGUCAAACCCACCGAAACUUGCGCAACCCUUCGUUUGCCCCAACGAGGGUGUCAACUAGCGUCCUAGCACCCUAAAGAUGUAUGAACAAGAGUUAAAUGAACAUUACGAUCAACCCUAAACUCAAACAUUAACCUACUCAAGCUAAGGUGGAGAAAACUCACCUCUAGAGUAAAAUCUCUUUUCAAGCUUCAAAAGAGAGGUAGAACCCUUCCAAUCCAACCUAAAGGAAGGUUCUAAACCAAGUGAUUAAGCUCCAAAAGCCCUAAAUAAAAAAUGCCCAAAAUCAACCAUAAAAUCUCAUUCUAUGGUUUCAUUUCAAAGAAACUAUCAAAACAAGAAUCUAGAUAAAAGAAACUUGUUACCAACCUCUUGGAAGCUUUAACCCAAGCUCUAAGUCCUCAAACUUCAAAGAUCUUCCCUCAACCAAGCUUUAAAACCAAGCCUCAAGCUUCAACCAUGGUGGAAAUGCACCAAGAGUGAAAAAGAGAGAUAUUAAUCCACCAAAAUCCAAGAGAAAGGGAUAAAAUCAGCAUUGAGGGACAAGGAGAAGCUCCCUUACCUCAAUUCCCUGUGUUCCCAGCUCAGGGAAAUGCCCUAGGGGCGUGGGGACACAUAUAGAAAGUCACAAUCGCAAAAACACCCAUGCAGUCCCAACCAUUCAGAUUCUGCCAAAGUGUACCGGUACACGGGCAAGUAUACCGGUACAAAUUUCACGAAAAUGCAAACCCGAGGCUCGGGUUUGAAAUUCGCCACAAGUGUACCGGUACAACCAUCACUACUACAAAUUCAUGAUUUACCGGCAUUUACUCCGCAGCAUUUAUUUAAAUAACGCUAAUUAAUAUAUUUAACGGCAUUACUUGAUAAGUGCCGCUAAAUUAAAUAAUUUAGCAGCAAUUUACUAUUAAUGUUGCAAAAUAAAAUAAAUUAGCAGCAUAAAUUAGUAAAUGCCGCCGAAGUUUCCGGCAUUUUAUAAAAAAUGACACUAAAUGUAAUAAAGUAGUAGCACUUAUUGCUAAAUGCCGCAAUAUUUGCUCCGCAACAUUUAUUUAAAUCAUGUCAAUUAAUAUAUUUAGCAGCAUUACAUGAUAAUUGCCGCUAGAUUUAAUUAUUUAGCAGUAAUUUACUAUUAAUGUUGCAAAAUAAGAUAAAUUAGCAGCAUAAAUUAGUCAAUGCCGCUAAAUAUAAUAAACCAGCUGCACUUGUUACUAAAUAUCAUUACUAAUUAAUAUAUAAUUAUUAAUAUAUCCCUUUUUUAUUUAGAAUUAAAAAUUUUAAAAUUAAAGUUUAAAAUUCGAAACAUAUAAUUUUAAAAAUUAAAAUUAUAAUUUUAAAUUUUAAAUUUUAAAAUUUAUAUUUUAAAUUUUAAAUUCUAAAAUUAUUAAUUUUUAAAGUUUAAAUUUUAAAAUUUAUUUUAAAUUUCAAAUUUAAAACUCUUAAUUUUGAAACUUAAAAUUUCAUAUUUCAAAAUUAAAAAUUUAAAUUUAGUAUCUAAAUUUAAAAAUUUAAAAUUUAAAAUUUAAAAAUUUUAAAAUAUAAGACUUAAAAUAUAAAAAUUAAAAUAUACAUAACUAAUAGUCGCUAGCNAUAUUUGAAAACUAAAAAUUUAAAUUUAGUAUCUAAAUUUAAAAAUUUAAACUUUAAAAUUUUAAAAUUUAAAAAUAUAAGACUUAAAAUAUAAAAAAUUAAAAUAUACGUAACUAAUAGUCGCUAGCGCAAGUGGCAAAGGGUUUGGUUGUUAGUAUUCGAGGUCUCAAGUUCGAAACCUAGUUGAUUCACAUUUCCAGCAAAGUUUAAGACAAAAAGAAAUAAAUAAAGCGGGUAACAUCUCAAAAAAAUUAAAUAUAAAAUAAAAUUACAAAUUUAAAAUUUUAAUUUCUAAAAUCAGAUAUUUGUAUUAGCGGCAUAUUAUUUAUGUGCCGCUAAUAAACAAUUUAAAAUUUGCAUUUGAUCUCUUUUAGCGGUAUAUUCCUAAUGACACUAAUUGAUUUAUAUUGGCGGCAUUUAUAAUUAAUGCUGCUGUAGCACACUGGACCUUUGCAAAUUGCGAGGUUCGAGUGUUUGGACUCGGUCCUGAGUUUUUCCAGAUUUUCUGGUGGGUCGUUGACAGUGUUCCGACCUAUGGUUCGAAUCCCAAGAAUUGUAGUAUUUUUUGUAGCUCUAAGGUCACUAAAGAGUUGGACUUAGGCUACCCUCGGAUUGCAUUCUGCAUGAGGUGUAACUGGUGAUAGGUCGAUGACUGUACUGGUACACAUUUUGUACCGGUACACUUUUGAUGGCUGUACCGGUACACUGGUGGCAAAUUUCAAACUCGAGCCUCGGGUUUGCAUUUUCAUAGGAUUUGUACCGGUACACUUUCCCGUGUACCGGUACACUUUGGCAGAAUCUGAGUAGUUUGAACUGCAGGGGGUUUUCGCAAAUGUGGCUUUCUAUAUGUAUCCCCCACGGCCCUAAGGCUCUCCCUGAGCUUGGCACCUGCAAGGAGAAGGGUAAGGGAGCCCUCCACACUCUCCCAUUCCCUUUUCUUGAUUUUGGUUGAGUUUUAUUGAGAUUAAACUCUCUUUUUGCUUGAUUAGAGGCUUCUUCACCUUGGUUGAAGCUUGGAGCUUGGAUUUGGAGCAAAGUUGAGGGAAGAUCCUUGAAGUUUGAGGACUUUGAGCUUGGUUUGAAGCUUCUUAGAGGUAAGUGACUAGAUCUUUUCCUCUAGAUUUAAUUUUUGAAGGUUUCUUUGAGAUGAAACCCUAGAUUGGAGACUUAGGGCUUAUUUUGGGCAUUUUUGAUCUAGGGCUUUUGGAGCUAAAUUAAUUGGAUUAGAACCUUCCUUUGGGUUAGAUUGGAAGGAUUCUAGCUCUCUUUUGGAGCUUGUAAGAGUUUUCUAUGCCCUAGGUGAGUUUUUAGCCCUUUUGCCUUGUUGGUUAAUGUUUGAUCAUAUAGUUGAUCGUAAUGCCUGUGUAUCUCUUCGCUCAAUACUUUUAGGGUAUUUUGAGACUUGUGGACAACUCUGUUCAGCGAAACGAAGGACUACGCGACGGUUCGGUGGGUUUGACCUAGCCACACAAUGAGAAAAUCUCAUUGUUGAUGAUUUAAGUGUUGUAAAAUGAAAAAGCAUGCAUAUUCUUGUUAUAUGUAUUUAUUAUGAAUUUUAGAAUGCUUAAAAUGCCUAUGUUACAUAUAGUGCAAUUUUGGACUUCUGUGUAGUAGAGAGUCGCAUAUGAAGCUUAUGGUUGAUUGUUUAGCAUUCUCAGGUUGGGCCAUGUUUCUUAUAUUGAAAAUAAGCUUUAAUUCAUGUAUUUAAACCUAGGUUUAUUUGUGACAUGAAAGAUGACAAAAUUGCCAUAUAGAGGUAUCGAAUUAGAAUGUAUGUGAAUUAAAGAGCUAAUGUCAUCAAGCGGUAUUGAGCUCGGGACAUGUGUGAACCUAGUGGUUAGAGCCAUUCAGGGAUUUGGAUUAUGUUGAACAUUAAAUUGUCUAAGUGUCAUCAAGGGGCAAUAGGCGUAUUAAAUGUUGGAACUUCACCUUGUGACUUAAACUAGAUCUUCGGGUUGCUAGUGACGAUACCAUGUUAGAGACAUGAGGAUUGGAUACUUGAGACUUGGACUAUACUUGUUUGCCAUUUGUGCUCAUUCGCACAUGCUUGUGAGGGUCGCUCCCUACAAGCCGGCACUCCGGAAUUAGCCUACGCGACUUAUAUUCCCUCGUGCGGUAUUGAGAAGCCUACGGGGUCGAGUGGGACAAACACAUUCCAAGAGUAGGAAUGUUGGGCUACCACAGGCACUUAGGCGGCACAAGCUGGACUACCAUGGGUAGGCCCUUAAUUGGAAAUGAAAAUCGACACGGUGUUAAGUGCGUUAUAAUCACUACUAGAUAGGCUUAGUAGUUGAAUUACUUUGACAUGCUCAUGACAUAGCAUUGGGAUAUAUAGUAUAUUUGCCUGUUUCAUUCAUUGCAUCAUAGUAUACUUGGUUGCUUGAUAGAGCUAUUCUUUAUGUAUGACAUAUUGGACCGUAGCACGUACUUGUUGCCAUUGGACGUACUUGCUUAUGAUAGAGUAGAUGUACAUCAUACUUACAUCAUGUUUACUUGAGACAUAGUAGUAUAGCCUUUCAUUUAUGCUUUCUUUCAGCAGUUCUCAUAAUCGCUCUUUAUUGCUUAUUAUUAUUGUCGUUACUUACCCUUUUUUUGGGGGCCUAGUGGUGCAUUGAGCUGAUGUCAGUAAUUGCCCACUGGGAACUAUAAAUUAUAGUUCUUACGCCCUCUGUUUUAUGUUUUCUUUCAGAGCCUUCCACACCAGGAGAUGCUAGGGACCGAGGGAAGGGCGUGGCUUCGAGCUAGCUUUUCAGCGAGUGACAAGUCGCUAGGUGGUCUACCUCUCGAUGUUUUUACUUUGGAGAGGUUGAGAGUUGUACCAGUGUACUAGAGAUCACCCAUUUUAUGUACUUUUUGUACAGAUACUGUAUUUACCUUAUGUUUUACUUCUAUGGUUUAGUUGUGAUCUUUGUACUCUCUCUUUAUAGAUGAUAGAAUCAUACUUGCUCUGAUAUCUCUAGUUGUAGGUUAUUUCUUGCUUUUACUUCCGCUUUUAUUGUAGACGCCUUGUAUGUGUAGACAUAUGGCGGGUCUGGGCACGCCACCGGGAGGGCCUCCGCCGGUCCCGGGGCGUGACAGCUGCUAAUACUUUUAGCAAUAUUGGCAUAGGCAGCAUUUAGUGUCAUAUGCUGCUAAAGCUUUUAGCAGCAUUUGUUGAUCAUUUAGCAGCAUAAAUAAAUGCCGCUAAUGACUAAUUUUCUAGUAGUGCAUCAAUGUGUACCGGUACAAAAUCUGUACCGGUACAGCCAUCGACUUGUCACCGGUUUCACCAUGUGCUGAGAGCAAUUCGAGGGUUACGCGGGUCUUACCAAAUAAGGAUUGGGUUAUUUCGAGAAAUACUUUUUUAUCGCUACAUAAAAUACUAUAAAUCUCGGGAUACGAGCCAUAGGUCGGAACACUGUCAACAACCCACUUGCAAAUCUGGGAAAACUCAGAACACAGUUCAAACACUCGAACCCCGCAAAUUUGCAAAGGUCCAGUGUGUUCUCUCUCUCUCCUCCCACUGUGACUGUGCCCUUCGUCGUCUACAUGCACCGUUGCAGUCUGCCAUCUCUUUCGCCCUCGCCGUUGACCUCCAACCUCGCCCUUGCAUCUGCAGGUAGCUCCUUAUAUCCUCUUCUAUUUUCUUUACUGUUUGUUGCCAGCAUUCGGGUUGGGGUUGAGGUUGGGGUUGGGGGGGGUGGGUGGGUGGUGGCAGGCAAUAUUAGGUGGGGUCGAGGGAGGGGGGUGUUGGGGGUUCUGGCAGAGGGAUUAGUAGGGGAGAGGUGGUGAUGGUGUCUGGCAGUGUAUUCUUGCACUACACAAAAAAUAGUAUAUAGCGACACUUUUAAAUGCCGGUAUAAGUCAAAAGAAGUGCUGCUGGCUAAAUUACUGACACUUUUUAAAAGUGUUGCUAUAUGUGGGGUGGUGUAAGGACCGAGAUUUUGGCAGUGUAGCAAAACUCUUAGUUGAUGGUGUUUUUGUGUGUAAUUUAAUUACAAAAGCACUUGUCAAGCUUCGGGAGAAACCGAGUUAAAACAGAGAUUUUACGCGAUUUCCAAGUUUCACUUAAAGUGAAUAGUAACUUGGUUUUCCGGAGAGCUCAAUGCGUAGAGGUGGCUUCUGGCUCGUAUCGGACUCCAUUCAUAGCAGUCUAAUAGCUCGUUUCGAACGGUUCAGCUAUUCUGAAACUUUUGGCGCUGACGGAUUUUGGGUUUGACGCACGGAUUUUGAGAAAAUCUGAAAAUACAUGUUUAUAUGUAUUUGUGUGUCAUUUUGGCCUUUCGGAGAGAAAGCGGAUUCGUCGUGAAUCCGUGAAUGAUCGAGGUGAACCAAAAUCGUGGCUUUGUUGUCUCCGUCAUGCUGAUCGCACUGGCGCAAUCCGUUCACAAAUCUGACGGACGGAUCUGCAGAAAUCGCGCGUUGAUCGUGGAGAGGUCGGUGUUGGCAAAACGGUAAUUUCGCAAAAAUUGUGACAUUUUAUGUACCAUUUUGCGUAAAACCGGACGUGGAGGGGUAUCCGCGCGAUUUACUCGCACUGUGAGGGACUCGGAUAGAAUUAUCGAGUCUAGAUGGGCUUUUCUGCAAUUUGGAGCUAAGUAUAUAUAAGCUAUUCUAGAGUUUUGCACUGGAAAUCCUAACCCUAGACCUUAGCCGCACCCCCAGCCACUCCAUCUACCUCCCCUGCCCUAACUUCACGUACCCCGGCCGCCGACGCGCGUCUCCGACCGCCUUAGUUAGCUACUUCUCCUCCCUCUUUGUCUUUUUCAUCUCCUCCACCACCCUUUCCUCUUUGUUUCUUGGCCGAGGGUGGUACUGCGCACCCCCUCCCUUGGUUCCCUCUUCUGCCGUCACUCCUGAACCCCGGCGAUCCCUUCCGCUAGCCGCCGCCGCCCAGAGCGCCGCCGCUGCCGCUCCAGCCGCCUACAGCCACCUAGCCCAAGCCCAGGCCGAGCAGAUUGUGCGGCCUCAUCCUCACCCAGCAACCGCCUGAGACCACCCCGGCCAUCCUCCCCGGAGCUCCAGCAACCUUCCUGCCGGCCGCCGCCGCCCCAGCGGGCCGCCGCCGCCGCCUCCGCCUCGGCCAGCUACAGCUGUCCCAGACCUGUGCAGGCCGAGGCAAGCCGCGUCUUCGACCCCCGCGUCGCCGCCGCUCGGGGCCAUGCCCGAGGCAGCCCUCCGGCCUCCAGCAACCCUCUGCCGCCGUCCCUAAGCUUCCCGGCCGCCGCCGUGGCCGCCAUUGCUCUGGAACCCGAGCCCUAGCCCGUGCGGGCUCAGGCUGCUCAGCUGCUGCCGCAGCCGCACCUCGCCGCCGGCUAAGGUGAGCCCUGUGCUCCUAUCUUCACCCGUACCCAUCCUUGGCCCCCGAGCGCAUUGCCGUGCCGCCGGAAGCCGGCCGGAGCAAGCUUGCUCCGGCUAAGCCCGAAAUAGGGCUAUUCCUUGGCGGUUUGCUGUUCCUAGCAACCCGAGCCUCCCGGAUCUUUGCGGAAGGGAGCACGAUGAUCGUGGAAAAUUUUUAAUCAUCUGCUCACCUUAGAUUGUGUUAGGGAGACUUCGUUCCACUGUUUUGGCGGUGUCGACCCUGUGGAGCCUUUUUGGCUGCUGUUGCGGGUUUGCGCGCACUUUUUCGGCGAUCAGAGGUUGUCCUGAUGCCUCCGGAGGUGAGCACGGUGAUCGCUGGUCUGUCCUGAUCACAGUUCUCACCUUACUUUGGAUCAGCGGAUGUCGUAUUGGCCUGUUCGGCGCGAUUUUCCCUGACUGCGCGCUGUUCGCAAAACCUUCGGGUUGCUCCCGCGCCUCCCACCGUGAGCCGUUGUGCUCCAGAUCAUGAGCACGACCUCCGGCACAUCGAGACCUGUUAGUACGUGUCUCGGCAGACCUUGGAAGUCCUCGGUUUGCAUGAACCAGCCACUUAAUCGCUCAAAUUACAUGAAAUGAUAUGAUUUUAUGUAAUUAGAGGGACUUUUGUACAAUUGUGCACCCUAGGGCCACUGUGGAUAGUGUGUAUGAGUGUGUUUGACCUUUGGACUGAUUGUCCAUGUCCUGUAGCUUUUGCGGAAAUCGAAAAGUAGAUUUCGGUGCGUUUUUCGGCAAAAUUCGCCGAAAGAACGCGGUUUCAGUUCGGAUUUCUUCCGACGUGGUUUGUUUAUCCUGUGAAUUAUCGCUGAGCCUUGUUGGCUGGUCACCAUCAUCAUUUUAUGUGUUCAGUGAUGAUGGAUGAGCGACGGUGGGUUUCAGUGUCGAAAUAGACGCUUCCGGGAACCCGUAUUCGUANAGGUCGAUUUCGGUGCGUUUUUCGGCGAAAUUCGCCGAAAGAACGCGGUUUCAGUUCGGAUUCUUUCCGACGGUGUUUGGUUGCUUCGUGUUUUGUCGCUGAGCCUUGUUGGCUGGUCACCAUCAUCAUUUUAUGUGUUCAGUGAUGAUGGAUGAGCGACGGUGGGUUUCAGUGUCGAAAUAGACGCUUCCGGGAACCCGUAUUCGUAUAAUUAUUCGGCUAUAAUUGUGUAGUAGUAUUAUCUUGUGUUUGCUGCAAAGACAUCCAAAUUGGUGUGUUUUGUGGCAGCGGGUGACUCGUGGUACGAGUCGGUGAGUUUCGGGACACUUAGUGGGUCCCGACGGUGUCCCGGUGUGGUUUUCGGGACUUUCGGUGAGUUACGGUGAUCGGUUUUGGAAAACCGAUUACGGGGAUCUUGUGUGGGGGGUUUGUGAGUCUCGUGCUUUGGGUUAGUGGCUUGGAUACUGACCUGGUGGAUCUUCUUAGGUCCGAUAGACUCUGUGCGUACCCAGUGUUCCGACGCGACAGUGACAGGUGGGUGCUUUGAGCUAGUAGUCGGUGAGAUCGUUUCACCCUUCCUCUGUUCUUUCAUAUCAGUAUCGUAGUCUCUACAUGUCAGUUGAUUGUUUAUCGUUUGUUUAUCGUAUCUCAUAUAUUGCAUUUGGAUAGUUGUGGAUAGGCAUGUAGAGCAGGUUGCAUAUAUAUUGUAUCUCUGUGGACCUUAGGUCUAGGCAACACAUCGACUCCUUUGUCGUGUGUUUCAAUCUAGUUGAUCGUGGUUCGGCGUUGUACGCCCUUGCAUCUGGCUUCGGCCAAGGCACCGGUCUCUUUUUGUCGGUUUUCGUUUUGAACAUAUUAGCAUGAUUUAGCCACAGCACUAUGUAUUCUAGACACUAGGUUGGUUUGGCCACCAACCAAGGGGUGUACGUAUCCGGAUAGGUCGUCGGUGACGCAUGAAUAAGUUGACAGUGUCUGCUCUGUGACAGGCAACGCUUGAGGUCGAUGGACCAAUAUAGUAGUAUCAGAUUGGGUUUGAUUUUGGACUAUUUACCCUUAAGGCAUCCGUUCAGUUGAGUUUUUAUUACAGUAGUAGUUUCAUUCUUGCUCAGUUAUUAUCAUGUUUCUAUUACUACUGUAGUUGCUCUUAUAUCACAUCAUGUUCAUAUCUGUUGUUCUAUCUCCUUUUAUUUUCAGUGAUUACGGCUUGCCUUCAUGACUCUGUCAUACCCACUGAAAAACCAUGGUUGCGGUUUCUCACCCCCCAUUCCUCCAGGUGACAUGGACGAGGAGUUGGUAUUUGGGCUCGAUGGGAGGACGAUCUAGCUAGUCGGCAGUAGCGACCGUCACCCUGGUUAUAUUUCUUCCCUAUUUAGUUGUUGUUAAUAAUAAAUGGUUCAGUUAGAUGUUUGAAUGUUUGUGAUUUUUGUUAUGUAUGAUUAGAGAUUUUGUGGAUCACUGGUUUUGGUUUUAUAAAUAUUCAGUUCUCGGAUUUGUGUAUAUAUACAUAUUUACGCAUCGUGGUUUUCUACCCCUCGAGGUAGUUGAUUUUCAAAAUAGAGUUUCCGAGUGGGAAACAGUUUUAAAAAGGUUUUCGAAUGGUUUUCAGGAAUGAAUGAAUUAGAGUUUAAAAACAAAGUUUCCGUGUGGGGAGCACUUUUAAAUAGGCUAUUUGUUGUAUUGUGCAUUUGCCACGCCCCGGAUGUCUCGUUCCCCGGGCACGCCGACAAAUCCGCCGUAUACAAAGAAAUUUUUCCUAUAUACGAAGCGACAGCUGUACCUGUAAAUCAAACACUACUACGAACAGUAGUAGAGAGCUGCUAGAGAAAACAGAAACUAAACAAACUGAGUUUCAUAUACAUAGUCCAAAUCCAAAAUACAGAGCUACUCGCACUGGCGAGUUAAGUCUACUAUGUACAGAAACUCGAAACAAAACAUCUACCUGCAAUAGGGGCACCUCUAGCUCAGCACGACGGGUAGGGCUCUAACUCGCGACGCCCUUGCCUCGAUCCUGAUCGCACAUGAUUACUUAGUCUCGCUUACAAUCCUAAAUUUUAUAUUUUAGUAUAAAUAAUUGUGAAAUUUACUAAUUUGGAUAGAUAUAAGGUUUAUUAGGUUAAACUGUCAGGCGGGAGAGGAUAGACUCAAUACUCGGAUCCUUUAGAGUUUAAAAGAUAGCGGAAGCGUACUGGAAUGGUUCUUUUUAAAAGAAAAGCAUGCCCCAGAGUAUGUAGACUCAGUACUUAGUCAAGUAUCUGGACGAUGUCCAUCUGGUUCACACAGGUACACGUGUAAUCGCGGGUGUGUUUAUGGUUCAGAAGUAUAAUUUACACAAUUUCCACCUGUAUGCUCCAUUCGCAUCAUCUGACUUUAUUGUAGUACGUGUUUUAUUUACCUGCAUCUAUACUUGUACAUGCUCCUUACCUUUAGUCAGCCAUCUUGUUACAGUCUACGAUAUUAUUCUAUCUUUAGUUCUCUGUUUAUUGUGUAGCUCUUUUUUGUUAUCGGUGGUACUUCGCUCUUCGGCUUGCCGAGGAUUGGACCCGACGCGUGGUGGAGGGGUGAGACAUGGUUUAUAGUUCGAGCCCCUCAUACUCCACCAGCCACCAUUUUUUCAGAGGUAUAUGGCAGGCGAUGGUGUAUUGGACCGAACGUGAUAGGUCACGUUCGUACCGGUGGUUAACCAGAUAGAGCUAGUUACCGACCAAGCGGUGUUGCGCGGUUAUAUGUUCUACCCUUUCUGUAUUUACAGGUCGGAAUGUUUCGUGUUACGUUGUUUGAUGGUGAUUUCAGUCUACCUUUAUGACAUAGUGAACAAGAUGAUCUCUUGUUUUUUAAAAAUAAAGAAGGUUUUUAACUGUAUCUUAAAGGGGCACCCUAAAAUAUGUAAAUAGAUUUUGAAUUCACCGUUGUAUGAAAACGCUUUGGGCGUUUUUUUACUUUCUAAUCUCCAACUACCAUUUAUUUGAUAGGUGGUGGAUGGAUAUCUGUAGAGUGUAGAGCAAACGCCAAGCAGCUUUGACCACGAUUGUAAAAGAAGUAAUAUUGCAUUGGACACUAUUUUUCGAACAUGGAUCGAACUUUGAGUAAAAAUGAUAGUAAUUACCUUCUAAAAUGAGUGCAUUCAUUAUACAGAUUUAUGGCAUAGUAGCAGUUUCCUAUUUAUGUCAUUACGUUAGAUAUCGUAUGCUAUCUACAUCUAUUCUAUAUAUGUUCAUUCAAUCACAACUCAUCUUGCAUUCAUAUUUGUACGAUUCCUAAGCUGAGAUGAAAGAUCGGCGGACAAAUUCAUAGAAAAAAUUGUUUUGGGACAAGGGGGCUGUUCCCCAUACAGGAUUUUCUUUAAAAACCGUAGGCAGCGGGUGGAGAAAUUUUAUUUUUAAAAAAUCCAGAAGUCACAUUUUAAAUGUAAUAUCUGACACUAAACCAAGCUAAAUAUACAUGACUAGAAAAUAAGAAGGGUAAGAAACACCGAACAAUGGUCGGAAGUUUAUCGGACACUCGAACGUACCUCAGUCUCCACUGGAACCUAUGGGAAGAAUGCUCACCCACCUUCAUUUAUAAUCGCCUGCACCGAGUCCUUGAAAAAAGAUGGUGGGUGGCAGGGAGUCGUAGAGCGAGGAGAUACGAACCAGAUAACCACUGUCUCCCCUCCCAGUGCAAGCGGGCAUUCCGUUACCGCGCCGAAGAAGGCGAGGAGUAUCCGGAUCAGAAAGCAUACAACAGACGGGAACUAGAUAGAGAUUGAACAGUAUGGUAAGAUAAAGAUGCCUGUAUAGUAAGUGAGCUGAACAGUAUCAGAUGCAGGUAAAUAAAAACGUAGCUACAUAGAUAAGAAUGUACUGAAUAACAUACGCCUUGUUUGCAUGCGUCAAACUGCGAUAAGCUCAAAGUACCAAUCUGUACCCUAUUGGUCGAAGACUUGCAGGCCCAUGCCACACUGCUACCUGUCCUGACUCGCAAUUUUGAGCCUGGGUCAGCAAGAAUACCUGCCCUGACGCAAUUAGCGUUUGGGUCAGAAGCACACGACAUAUAGAGGGGUACCUGACGCCUCGCAAUGAGAAGGCUGGGUUGGGGCAGAAGCAUAUACGCCUCGCGGAUAAAGCCUGGCUCAGGAGUUGAAUCCACAUUUUCGGAAAGAACACCCUCUGUGCGUGGAUCAGAACCGAGUGGUGUGCGGGUGAAUGCGUACUGCAGUGGCGAUCAUGUUAGUAUGCAAAGAAUCGUCGGGCAACUAGCGCAAUCGCCCUCAGGGCUCACCGACCGUAUAGGCAUGCAGCACGUAAUGGGACGGUAUGUCAAGAUAGAAGUGUAGAACGGUCGACGAAGGGAGGUCAUAAGUAGAGGAUAUGACUCGCAAUCAAUGUCGCAAGUAUAGGCUAUGACUCGAGCAAAUCAUUACAGGUAUAGAUAAUGAACUGACAUCAUGUCAUUCAGGUUAUGGAUAUGAACUCGACCAAUCAUGUCCAAGUAUAGGUAUGAAUCGACCAUCAUGUCAAAGUAUUAUAAUCUUAGAAUAACGGUCGGCACUACGCGACAAUCCUCAGGAACGACUCACGGUCGGUCGGACAACAGAAGUCAAGGGGGCGUCACCAGGUCACAUCGAGGGGAUACAGGAACCACACAGGUAAGAAUGUAGAGAGAUGAACAACGUCGACAACCAGGGUCAUGGAGAUCACAUAGCGAGAUCAGACAAUCAAUCAUAAAUUAAUAUAAGAUAAAGUCUACUCUACUAUACAAUGAUACUACAGCUGGCAACAUUAAGUAGGUAAGUUAAGGAAACAGCAUGGGUGCAAGGUCGUCAAUGGAUUAUUGGUAAAGAGUAGGUAAACAAGGGGUAAAGGAAACGUACACCGAGCGAGUGCACCACUUACCACGCGGCGAGGGGCGGAGCCCACUGUGUUAAACUGUCGCGCCUGUUAGUGACUGAAAAGAACAUAACAGGAGUAAGGUGGGUGUUAUCACUGGGUUAGUGUGUAAUUCCGAAAUAAAGUAACGCUGAAGGCAUACCCCACAAUUAAGCCACGAGAUCGCGGUUUCCAAGGCGAUUAGACAGCGAAGCCCGGGAAAACGCACCGGAACUUCACCGAUCUGUGAAGCCGUCUGUUUCCAAAACCACGAGAACGAUGGGUGACACCAGCGAGAUGGGCUCAGCGAUGAAACAAAUGAUCCCGGGUGAUCCUUGGCUGAUGAGGGUAGCUACCUUCCUUUUUUGCCACAUGUAGCUUACACUAGUUUUGAGAAUUUCACCCCUCGGUAGGUGAAAACGGUAUCUAUCGGUUGUUUGGAGAGCUGAUUGCCGAAAUGUAAAAAUUAAAAAAUAUCAACAGUAUUUCUCCUGAGAGAAGAAUGUUGAACAUUAAUUGUACACCUGCAAACUGAUCUUUGCUAGACUAGAAUAUGUAGAAAUGUCUUCUGAUGCCUUUCACUUAUAGUGUCUAUAAUUGCCCCAAUAGUCUGCCUGGUUGUGUUAGUUGGCACUGUUUGUGCUCCUCUAGGGACUCUCGCUGUACAUUAGAAUUACUUAAAUUCCGCUGGCGAUAAAUAGUCUGUUACUCGAUCUAUCAAUGUUGCAGCCUUUGAGGCGGACGCAGGGAAGUGUGUGUGUCAUCAGUAGCACCAUGCAGGAGCCUCUGCCCCGGCCUAUAUUUAACCGGGCAAGUUCGCUCGGCAUAUAUUUCAUUGUCCGGCCGGGACAGUACCGUUCCCGACGCUUUUGAUGGUCGUUUACGAAAACAGAGGGAUCAAAAUCAGCCAAAGAUCAUAUAACUGGACAGAGUUUCCCUAUGGCACGUCCUAGGCGUCGCAAUCUGUCAAAGAGCUGAAGUGUCCAACAGAAUCUAUAUGAAUCAGAUCUGGCGAUAAGGCCGCCAAGUAUCGAUUAGACAUAAAAUACCAAACUUAUACUCCUGAUAAUAAGCAAAUUGAAUUUACAUAUAAAUCACCUUGUGAUAGCAUCACUCAUUUAGUUCGUUUUGAACAUUUGCUAAACUUCUCACAAGCUACACAAUCACAUUAUUACAUUUAAUACAGUUGGUCAUUGUCGACUCAAUUCUAAACCCCGUAGACGCGGCACCUGCAUGUACUCGGGGUACUGCUAUUCAGUCUCUGGCGAGCGAGCGCGGCCUAUCUGGACGGCAGCUACCAACGCAUUUUGUCUAGAGAACCGCCCUGCCGCUCAUUGCCGAACUUGAAAACACUCCCCAAAAUCAAUAAAAGUUGUGCCGGGGAGAACCAACUCUAUGUUCGCCAGUUGUACGGCUACCUAAAGCGGAAAGCGGCUUCCGACCAGAUCUGAGAUAACCUCUUGAAGGAGGUCAGCUGGCAACAUCAUGUUAGGUUCGAAAUAUAACAACAAAAUAUACUAUUCAAAUUGAAUACAUGCCUGCCCUCACAAUAUGCGAUAUGAAAAAUCAUGCAACAUAUGUUGAUCAAUGUGUUCUACAUAUUCUAGCUUGGCUAAUCCUUAGCUCAUAACUUCACUCUAAAGUCCUGAUCUCCAGCACUUAGAUCUACACUCAAGGUCUACUGGCUUCUAAGGUCUCUGAUACCUCAGCUUAGCCUCUUUCGACUCAGCUUAUUUCAACAUGUGGUUCGGCACUACGCUCGCGCUGAAAAGCGAACAAAUACUAAUGCCAUCGCAGACCCGCUCGGAAGCGUAAUCAGCAACGAGCGGAUAUUGUCCGCUCCGCACUAUGGUCUGACACUCAACACAGCCAAACAUGCCGUUAUUGCCAUAACAGAGGAGUUAGGAGGGCUCCGUAGGCCGUCGGUUCUCGUGACUUAGUCGCUUCCGCGGCGGAGAUCGUCACACACGCUGAACCCGGCCUCAAGCCCAGGGUUGACACUAGCAUCUCUCCGCGGCGGGGCCGGAAACAACGGUUGCACUUACCAGCGAGGGAGGACAUCAGAUUCGUGUCCAAUGCUGUAGAGAGGACCAGUACUAAUCUGGCGGGGGGCGGAACUAAUCGCAACGGCUCGACCCAACGAUCAAUCCAAAAGUGUUUCAGUACACGACUCAAGCAACUGCGGGCGACAAGUAUCGUACCUAACCCCCCAGCAAAAUGGUUUCAGGUCAAAUCCGGCGUCUUGUCACAAUCCGGCGUUAAACCAUCCGCGGUGAAAGAAUCGUGGCACACGCCAGGAUAAGGUUCAAGCCAUCGGCGGUAGAUCCAAUGGCUCGCCCCAGUUCCUCCCUAGUAGCAAUCUCGACGGCGAAAACUUGCCACUGCCUUAGCCGUUGGAUACCAAGGGUCAUCACAAUUCCUGGGAUUCCAUCCACUUCCAAGGUCAAGGGUCCAUAACAACCCUAUGCUAUAAGACCUGCACAGUCCUAGGUGGCUAAUACCACUACACUUAACAACCUAGGUUCAAUACCACGCUAGAGUUCAAAGUCUCAGUCACGUGACCUAGUAAAGCGUAUUCUAUAUCAUUCUCUUACCUAGAUGUACAACUUCUAGGCUUCACUUGUUCGACCUAUGUUACCAACACUAGGUCGACUGCUACACACCGUAGAAUUGUUCGACGCUACGUCACUUAGUUUAACCUAUGUUCUUACAUAGGUUACGUGCUACCGAUCUACCUGAUAUCCUAGUUUCCAAUCGCAGCCUACCAUAAAGUUCGCAUGUCAAUCAACUGCUACUUCUUCUAGAGUAUCAUCUAGUUCACAUGCAUAUCUACUGCAUUUAUCACCAAUGCUAAUUUAUGCCAUUUUAGAUCUCUUACAUCAUUUAUAUGCAUCAUACUUAGCAUUUUACCAUCAUGCUCAUCUUUGUCAUUUGUUAACAUGCAUCAAUAUGAAUUCACUUACUAGACAUUACAGGCGAUCCUGUCGCUUCCGGUAAGCACAACCCACCUUAGCUGCCUCUCCGAUUGCUUUGUCGACACUUGCAACGGCCUCUCGCGUACUCGACACCCGUUUUGGCCGAAUCUGUGAGAAAGGUGUGAGCUCCAACGCGCGCGCUUUGGCAGCUCCGAGAAAUUAAAGUCUUCGCUUCUGUUUACGCGCUCGGACCAAAAUCUCGCAUUUUAUUACGUCGACCUUCGACCUCUUCGUCAAAAACGAAGCAGGCUUGCUCGACCUUAUUCUGCCGAUAAUCUGUCUAGACCCGAGCCCUCGGCAAGGGCAUGCUCAAUACUUCGGACUGUCCCUACGAUGUUUAUAACAAACCAGUAGGUUGUUCGAGAGCAUUGGCGGUCAAAUGAGCUAUCAAACCGCUCAACAAUGACCUCUCGAACAAACUCGCGCGCAUUUCGGCUGCCGGCCUAGCCAGUGUACUAUAGCAAAUCACCCAAAAAAUCGAAAAAAUCUAUAAGGAUGGGGAAAUCCAUCAUGAGAAUAGCAUGCUAGGUGUCAAAUAAUUCCAAUUGGUCAAAGAUUCAAUAAACCCUCUUCUAAAGAUCUACCAGUGCAGAGACCUUAUAAGCUUACCUACCCAAGGAGCUCUAAUGGUUGAGAGAGGAAGAGAAGAAGGAAUGAUCUACCUCCAAGUUCUACCCUUUCUCCUCUUCUCCUUCCCUUUUUUUCACUUCUUGUUCUCUUCUCUCUUCUUCUUUCCCUUUUUCUUUCUUCACGCAGAAGAGAGACGAGCGCCGCUUGAGAGUAAGUGGAAAAAUGAGUAGAGAGAGAGCAGAGAGACCCAUCUCAUAAACCUCUAUUGUAAACAAUAUGCAUAUAAGUCCCUCAACUUCUACUUGUGGCCACGUGCCCAGAAUGGGCAGGACCCACGACAGUGCCCGCGGGACCGGCGAGCGCCAAAGGCCGGAAGCCUCCUCCCUCUUGGAGGGUGCUGCCUGCCUGCCAGACCGCCCCAGCUCCACGCCGGCAGAAACCGAUCUCUCACCUGCAGGGAGCGGGUGGCCUGCGGUGCCGCAAACCCUCAGCCUCGGGGGCAACCGGUCCCUCCCCUUCCUGGCGACGGGUCCCGAGAGCAACCUCUCAGACCACGGUGUCAAAACGGAGCAGAAACUGCCCAAGAGCGCCCCCUCGCAGGUUUGUAAGACGCUUUGCUCUCGGCGCGGGGACUCCAGAUUCCAAAGACUUGGGUUUCGUGCACUCCGACUUUUUCGAAGGCUACUCGCCUCGACAGUUAGUCAAUCCGGUGCUGGAGUGGCAAGUACAGCACUCUCUUGCGAAUUUUGAGAUGAUUCACUUACGCCUUAUUGCAGGUGGCGCCUCACGGGCUGGGAGAGGGCGCCGGGGUCGUUCGCCAGGCGCCCGAACCGCGCGCCAAGAUUGCGUACGGGGUGCUCUUGGGAGGCCGCGACGGGGGGGUCGGCGUGGGGCGACAGUUACGCCGCCGACUCACUUCUCAAAAUCUUCAUAGGUGAUGGGCCGAACAUGGGCACCUCGCGGCCACCGCUCACGUCCGCCGUAAGAAGGCGCUUGAGCGCAGGCAAAUACUUCUUCGUCCUAGUGUAGAUGACUCCGCGGAGGCGUCACUCACGUUGUGGGGAGCGACCACCCUGCCGCAAAACAUGCUAACUUAAGUGGCAGCAUCGGAGAGGCGGUGGCCAAGCGCCAAUGGUCGAGAUGAACCGAUCUUCGGGCCAGCGGCCCCGUGCAUUUGGGAAGAGUCCGGGGUUCCGGGGCACGCCACAGCGCAAACAGCGACAAGUUUUCCCUGAUACAGGCGUAUGCAAUCAAUAAAUAAAGAGCCGCUGUCACCAAUAGGAACAGUAUUCAAACAUUACAGAUGCUCAUAAGGAAGUAUCAAAAAUAUAAACUACUUGCUAUUAGCUACCCGCAGCUUGCCGAGUCAACGACACUUCAAUGACAUUUACAUCUCAAUUCGAUUUGCACCAACCCAAUGCAAUCUAAAUUUUACAAGUUUAUCUACAAGCUUUUACUUCUUUCCUGUCACCUGUACCGCGUGAGCGAAUGAUUGUCCCGCCAGUGCGCCGUACCUCUAUCUCGGCCUCUGAGUACGGCGUAUCUAUGGAGCUACGGUCCUGCCUCGGCGCCGCCGCGCGCUAACGUGGCAAAGCUGUAGAGAUCCCAAGAACAAUGAUGACUGGUGGAGAACCAAUUCCAUAAUUCGCGCAUAGGAUAGGCCCAGAGACGCCAAGGGGUUUAAAAGCAAGCCCGACAAUUAGGUCCAGACGGCCAGGCACUGCGGAAAUGUGUAGCUCCACAUCACAUUAAGGAAGACAGAUUGUGAGGAACUAUACUACCACUCAUUAAAUAGCGUGCCAUGGUCCUCACCACGGCAUGUGGGUCGACUGAGGUGAUUUGGCAAUUCAAGGGUCCAAAUUAAAAGCAAUAAUGUAAGCGCUUAUCUUGCUGUCACGCCCGAGGCGCACCGGGAGGGACAAAAGGCAUGGCCCUCGCGAAGCGCCGAAGAGAGCGUAGCGGGAGAAUGUCUCGCCGGGGAACAACUGGCCCCAACCCGUGACUCACGAAGUAUACACAUAUAUAAGGUCUGGGUCUUAUCCUUGCAACAGCAACAAUAUGAGAUUAAGGAGCGAACCAAUUACUUAUGAUUAUCAGCAAAAAAAAAAAUGUAUAACCACUAAUACUAGCAAAAGCAGUAGAGAGAAAAGAACUACUCAACUAAAUAAAACAUAAAGGUUAAACAAUAGUCCAUCUGUAGUACAACAAAAAAAAAGGGCCCCGACCGAAUGUGCCUGUGCUGUGUAGUAGUAUCAUUGGAAAACAACUCUCAACCUCUCUCAAAAGAGAAAGCGAGGGACGCGAGGAGGUAGUACCGAUCUAUCAACUGCGUCCUCGAUAACGAGCUAGCCGAGGCGUACCCUUUCCGCAGUCCUAGAACGUAUGGCCCGAGGACUGUGGAAGGCUAGACGAUGAAAUGAGAGUCGAUAUAAUAACGGAAAAAGAAUUCGCCCCGCGGGCUGCCGACGGGGGGUGCAUGCCUGCUGCGUGAACUAUAAUUUAUAGUUGCCCAGUGGCAAUUACUGACUCCAGGAUCAACCGGAUGGCCCAUCACCCACGCUCAGGCCAAAGAGAAGGUAAUACACUAGUAGAAUAGGCAAUAAUUAUAACUCCCAGAAUUGGAAAGUCAAAUAAGUGAAAUGCUAAUGCACAAGUUAAACGCUGACGUAUAUCAAUCAUCAUGUUUGAAUAUGCCAAUGUCGGGAGCGGGCAAGGAUAGGUGGAUGAAUACGUCGAAUUGGCAGCAAGUAUGACUAAGAGCGAUGAGUAAUUUUUAUCAAUCACUACAAUGCUCCCAAUAUCUCAGAGCCACACUAUGAGUAUGUCCUAAAUCAGGCUUAAGCUAUGAUCUUAUUUUAGACUUGAAGUAAUACAGGUAAUUUAAGAGUUAUGUCCAGAAUUUCAAUUGUUUGGGAACCUACAAUGGAGGUGUUUUAGUCGGCUUGGCAAUGGCCACAGACCUAAGUGACAGGUCUGUUUAGAGAAACUAGCUUUCAAAGUUAGUUCACAUUCAUAUCACAUUCCUUUAGGGAAAUGGAGGAUUUCCUAUCUUUCCGCUUCAAGCCACAACCCCCGGGUCAAUAGAUCAAUGGGGUUUCAUGUUCUGAUGUUCCCGAUUACGCCCCGAGCGAUCAUUAAGUUACAGGCACGGAAGUUAUCUUAUGUGCCUAAAGUUCUUCCCGGGUCUACGUUCAGUUUGUGGGCAAAACGCAGGUGCAUUAAAAUAUUACUGACUUUUGCGAAUUCCGAUUUUUCACUGCUCGACCCUUAGCGAAAUUUCUACGUUUUCUUAAAUCCGUCACUGAUUUUCAUCACAGCGCGCAUCGCGUUCAGCAGCGGAGACGAAACAGUGUGAAUUCGCUUCACCUCGAUCAACACGGUUUCACGACACAUCCAAUUUCUUUCCAAAUAAAAACUAACACUAAUACAUAUAACAUUAAAUUUUUGGGAUUUUCUCGAACUGCUGCGUUCAAACUCAAAUCCAAGCCCAAUGUUCCGAAAGCAUGAACCGGUCGAAACGAGCUAUUGGAUCGCUGAUGAACGGGUCCGAUACGCGUAGAAAGCCAACUCUACUCGCUGUGGCUCACGAAAACGGGUAUAUAUCACUUAAGUGAAAUUAAAAAUCGCGUAAUUUCUCUUUAGUCAUUUUCUCUGAACUUGAGGUGUUAUGUAAUUAAUUAACACAUAACAUCCGUCAACAGAGAGUUUAGUUGACUGUAAAAAAUCUCAGUCCUUACUUACCUUAUUACUUUUUGAACUCAAUAUUUUGUAUUAUCAGUAUGAUUUCAUCUUGAUUGCAUAAAGAAAAUUUAAUACUAGUGUACCUAUGUUGCCUAGAUUACAAUAAUUAUAUUAUUACUAAGAAUAUAAUUAAUAUCAAACUUUGCAAUAAAUGACCGUACUGCAAGUCUUUAUCUUGCACAUUGAUUAAUAAUUAUGACGGCCUUCCCUAUUGUUUAUAAGUAUGAAGUUUUAGAAACUUCCACCAAUGUGACCAGCUUUUUAAUGCUAUAAGUUUUACCAGAAAAAAAUACUAAAUGCCAAUACAAUUUUAAAAUGAACAUUAUUACUAAAUGUACUUAUAAAUAAUUUAUUUUAUGAUUAUUAUAUGUUUGCCAACUAUUUUUGUUUAUAUUAAUAUCAGAUAAGAAUAUUUUAUAUUUAUUUAGGGCAAUUUAGAUAAAAAAAUGACCAAUAUUUUGUGUAUUCAUCAAUCAUUUAGAUGAUUAAUAACUAAGGAUCAUAUAUUUUAUAAUAAGUUUUAAAAAAUAUUUAAUAAUUUAAUAUUAGAUUGGUAAUUUUUAGAUUAAUUUAUAUAUUCCUUUAAAAAAUAUGACUAUAAUUAUAUUUAUUAUUUUUUAAUAUUUAAAUUAAAUUAUCCAAAUUAUAAUAUUAGUAGGGAAUUGAGUAUAACUUGUAUAUAUUUUGUAUUCAAACUAUAAAAUAGUAUAUAAUAAUAUUACUAUACAGGGACUAAGUAAAAAAAAUUUGUUCAAAAAGAAAAAGAGACAAUUGCAUACAAGUUACCGCAAAUAUAAACAGUUUUCUAGUGAUUUUCUAACUGUAAUAAAUCAGAGGGACAUAUCUGAAAAUAUCAGAACUUUUGCAGGAAUAAUUUAUAAAAAUUAAACUUUAUAGAGAUAUAUUUGUAAUUUAUUAUGUUUGCGGGGAUCUUUAUGCAAUUAACCCAAAUAAAAAUUUCAGUUUUACUAAAAAAUUAAAGUUGAGGGGCCAUGCGAGCAGCACGGCCCCUGCGGGCCGUGCACAGACUGCGCAGGCUGUGCGCAGGCCUGGAGCUGGCCGGGUCGCUAUCGGGCCCGCAGCCCGUGCGUGCUUUAUAAAAUUUCUUUUGGGUCUUUUUCUUUUUGUUUUUUGCAUAAUUUUUUUUUAUAAAAUAGAUAAUUGAUUAUUAUGCAUUUUCAAUGGUUCAACAUGCUUUUGUGACAGAUUAUCAUGCUAAAUAUCAAAAAUAUGAGUGACUAAUGCUUAAAAUAUCCCAAAUAUUACCAAAAUAUAAUAAAACAAAUAUCCAACCAAAAUACAAUUAAACAAAUAUUCAAAAUGGCUAAUGCUUAAAAUCCUCAAUCUCUCAUAUAAGCAUCAAAAUUGUUUAGUCUUUUUCCUUCUUGAUAAAUAUUUUCUGCUUGUUGCUUGACAUCUGAUGCUCUUCUUGCAUAAAGUCAUCUGCUGCAGUGCUAGAGUUUUUGCGCUUUAAUGAAGUCAGUGUGUUCGGUGAUGUAAUAUCCGUUUCUUCAUUAUCGCACGUUACAGAAUUGGAUUCCUAUAAUGACAAACAUAUAAAAAUUUAUGUUAAAAAAUUAAAUCAUAUCAAAUUAAACUACUUUUAAUUUAUAUAUAUAUAUAUAUAUAUAUGCUAUUAAAAAAUAUAUAGAUCGACUUGAAUUGUAGCAUCAUAUUUAAAUUUAGAAUUGCCAAUUACCUCAAUUAAAAUUGACUUCUUCAAAAAUUCAUCAGUUUUAUCGUUGCUCAGUUUGUUCACUGUGUACACAGACUUAGGAUGAUUGAUAUUAUUGUCUUUAAUCCUUAUCUUGAAUAGUAUUAUUUUUCCUAGAAACUCAUCAAGCUUUUCAGGUGCCUAGCUCAUGUCACCCAUCUGAGUAAAAAUAUUUGCUAUUAGUAUAUACAAAAAUAAGAAACAUACUACAUGUAUUUAUGAUAAAUAAUACGCACUUACCAAUAAAACUUGUUGGUGUAAUUGCGCGGCAGUUUUUUGCAGAAACUGAACAACCUCACGAUCAAAUAAAAUCAACGAAGCACUCCCAGACUCGUCUAUCACCCUCAGUUGGACUUUGAAACUACAUGCAUAUUGUAGGUUGUAGUUAGAAAAACAUCACAUUAAAUCAUACACGUCGAGUGUAGAAGUAAAAAUUCUCACCUUAGUCCUUAGUCCAACACAAAUUACCAUUCUCUCACAAAAUUCACAAUAAAAUUCAGUUCCAUCAGGAAUCACCUUUUUGCUACACUUUUUGCAAGAAUUGUAGUACCAGCCACGAUCAGUCUCAACACUUAGAACAGUUGCUAGUGUUACACAUACACAAGGCUGAAAAGAUGAUAUAUAUUCAGUAUUAAGAAUAAGAGAAUAAAAUAUAUUAAAAUGAUAAAUAUGGAUAAGAUAUUUACACUUGUUUACCUGUUGGCAUUCUUGAAUUUCAGCCAGAGUUCUCCUUUGAGAUACUUUUAGGAAGUCAUCCGUUAGAGAAAUAGUGGAUUGAGUUGAAAUUUCACUAAGCACAUGAUUACUUAGUCUCGCUUACAAUCCUAAAUUUUAUAUUUUAGUAUAAAUAAUUGUGAAAUUUACUAAUUUGGAUAGAUAUAAGGUUUAUUAGGUUAAACUGUCAGGCGGGAGAGGAUAGACUCAAUACUCGGAUCCUUUAGAGUUUAAAAGAUAGCGGAAGCGUACUGGAAUGGUUCUUUUUAAAAGAAAAGCAUGCCCCAGAGUAUGUAGACUCAGUACUUAGUCAAGUAUCUGGACGAUGUCCAUCUGGUUCACACAGGUACACGUGUAAUCGCGGGUGUGUUUAUGGUUCAGAAGUAUAAUUUACACAAUUUCCACCUGUAUGCUCCAUUCGCAUCAUCUGACUUUAUUGUAGUACGUGUUUUAUUUACCUGCAUCUAUACUUGUACAUGCUCCUUACCUUUAGUCAGCCAUCUUGUUACAGUCUACGAUAUUAUUCUAUCUUUAGUUCUCUGUUUAUUGUGUAGCUCUUUUUUGUUAUCGGUGGUACUUCGCUCUUCGGCUUGCCGAGGAUUGGACCCGACGCGUGGUGGAGGGGUGAGACAUGGUUUAUAGUUCGAGCCCCUCAUACUCCACCAGCCACCAUUUUUUCAGAGGUAUAUGGCAGGCGAUGGUGUAUUGGACCGAACGUGAUAGGUCACGUUCGUACCGGUGGUUAACCAGAUAGAGCUAGUUACCGACCAAGCGGUGUUGCGCGGUUAUAUGUUCUACCCUUUCUGUAUUUACAGGUCGGAAUGUUUCGUGUUACGUUGUUUGAUGGUGAUUUCAGUCUACCUUUAUGACAUAGUGAACAAGAUGAUCUCUUGUUUUUUAAAAAUAAAGAAGGUUUUUAACUGUAUCUUAAAGGGGCACCCUAAAAUAUGUAAAUAGAUUUUGAAUUCACCGUUGUAUGAAAACGCUUUGGGCGUUUUUUUACUUUCUAAUCUCCAACUACCAUUUAUUUGAUAGGUGGUGGAUGGAUAUCUGUAGAGUGUAGAGCAAACGCCAAGCAGCUUUGACCACGAUUGUAAAAGAAGUAAUAUUGCAUUGGACACUAUUUUUCGAACAUGGAUCGAACUUUGAGUAAAAAUGAUAGUAAUUACCUUCUAAAAUGAGUGCAUUCAUUAUACAGAUUUAUGGCAUAGUAGCAGUUUCCUAUUUAUGUCAUUACGUUAGAUAUCGUAUGCUAUCUACAUCUAUUCUAUAUAUGUUCAUUCAAUCACAACUCAUCUUGCAUUCAUAUUUGUACGAUUCCUAAGCUGAGAUGAAAGAUCGGCGGACAAAUUCAUAGAAAAAAUUGUUUUGGGACAAGGGGGCUGUUCCCCAUACAGGAUUUUCUUUAAAAACCGUAGGCAGCGGGUGGAGAAAUUUUAUUUUUAAAAAAUCCAGAAGUCACAUUUUAAAUGUAAUAUCUGACACUAAACCAAGCUAAAUAUACAUGACUAGAAAAUAAGAAGGGUAAGAAACACCGAACAAUGGUCGGAAGUUUAUCGGACACUCGAACGUACCUCAGUCUCCACUGGAACCUAUGGGAAGAAUGCUCACCCACCUUCAUUUAUAAUCGCCUGCACCGAGUCCUUGAAAAAAGAUGGUGGGUGGCAGGGAGUCGUAGAGCGAGGAGAUACGAACCAGAUAACCACUGUCUCCCCUCCCAGUGCAAGCGGGCAUUCCGUUACCGCGCCGAAGAAGGCGAGGAGUAUCCGGAUCAGAAAGCAUACAACAGACGGGAACUAGAUAGAGAUUGAACAGUAUGGUAAGAUAAAGAUGCCUGUAUAGUAAGUGAGCUGAACAGUAUCAGAUGCAGGUAAAUAAAAACGUAGCUACAUAGAUAAGAAUGUACUGAAUAACAUACGCCUUGUUUGCAUGCGUCAAACUGCGAUAAGCUCAAAGUACCAAUCUGUACCCUAUUGGUCGAAGACUUGCAGGCCCAUGCCACACUGCUACCUGUCCUGACUCGCAAUUUUGAGCCUGGGUCAGCAAGAAUACCUGCCCUGACGCAAUUAGCGUUUGGGUCAGAAGCACACGACAUAUAGAGGGGUACCUGACGCCUCGCAAUGAGAAGGCUGGGUUGGGGCAGAAGCAUAUACGCCUCGCGGAUAAAGCCUGGCUCAGGAGUUGAAUCCACAUUUUCGGAAAGAACACCCUCUGUGCGUGGAUCAGAACCGAGUGGUGUGCGGGUGAAUGCGUACUGCAGUGGCGAUCAUGUUAGUAUGCAAAGAAUCGUCGGGCAACUAGCGCAAUCGCCCUCAGGGCUCACCGACCGUAUAGGCAUGCAGCACGUAAUGGGACGGUAUGUCAAGAUAGAAGUGUAGAACGGUCGACGAAGGGAGGUCAUAAGUAGAGGAUAUGACUCGCAAUCAAUGUCGCAAGUAUAGGCUAUGACUCGAGCAAAUCAUUACAGGUAUAGAUAAUGAACUGACAUCAUGUCAUUCAGGUUAUGGAUAUGAACUCGACCAAUCAUGUCCAAGUAUAGGUAUGAAUCGACCAUCAUGUCAAAGUAUUAUAAUCUUAGAAUAACGGUCGGCACUACGCGACAAUCCUCAGGAACGACUCACGGUCGGUCGGACAACAGAAGUCAAGGGGGCGUCACCAGGUCACAUCGAGGGGAUACAGGAACCACACAGGUAAGAAUGUAGAGAGAUGAACAACGUCGACAACCAGGGUCAUGGAGAUCACAUAGCGAGAUCAGACAAUCAAUCAUAAAUUAAUAUAAGAUAAAGUCUACUCUACUAUACAAUGAUACUACAGCUGGCAACAUUAAGUAGGUAAGUUAAGGAAACAGCAUGGGUGCAAGGUCGUCAAUGGAUUAUUGGUAAAGAGUAGGUAAACAAGGGGUAAAGGAAACGUACACCGAGCGAGUGCACCACUUACCACGCGGCGAGGGGCGGAGCCCACUGUGUUAAACUGUCGCGCCUGUUAGUGACUGAAAAGAACAUAACAGGAGUAAGGUGGGUGUUAUCACUGGGUUAGUGUGUAAUUCCGAAAUAAAGUAACGCUGAAGGCAUACCCCACAAUUAAGCCACGAGAUCGCGGUUUCCAAGGCGAUUAGACAGCGAAGCCCGGGAAAACGCACCGGAACUUCACCGAUCUGUGAAGCCGUCUGUUUCCAAAACCACGAGAACGAUGGGUGACACCAGCGAGAUGGGCUCAGCGAUGAAACAAAUGAUCCCGGGUGAUCCUUGGCUGAUGAGGGUAGCUACCUUCCUUUUUUGCCACAUGUAGCUUACACUAGUUUUGAGAAUUUCACCCCUCGGUAGGUGAAAACGGUAUCUAUCGGUUGUUUGGAGAGCUGAUUGCCGAAAUGUAAAAAUUAAAAAAUAUCAACAGUAUUUCUCCUGAGAGAAGAAUGUUGAACAUUAAUUGUACACCUGCAAACUGAUCUUUGCUAGACUAGAAUAUGUAGAAAUGUCUUCUGAUGCCUUUCACUUAUAGUGUCUAUAAUUGCCCCAAUAGUCUGCCUGGUUGUGUUAGUUGGCACUGUUUGUGCUCCUCUAGGGACUCUCGCUGUACAUUAGAAUUACUUAAAUUCCGCUGGCGAUAAAUAGUCUGUUACUCGAUCUAUCAAUGUUGCAGCCUUUGAGGCGGACGCAGGGAAGUGUGUGUGUCAUCAGUAGCACCAUGCAGGAGCCUCUGCCCCGGCCUAUAUUUAACCGGGCAAGUUCGCUCGGCAUAUAUUUCAUUGUCCGGCCGGGACAGUACCGUUCCCGACGCUUUUGAUGGUCGUUUACGAAAACAGAGGGAUCAAAAUCAGCCAAAGAUCAUAUAACUGGACAGAGUUUCCCUAUGGCACGUCCUAGGCGUCGCAAUCUGUCAAAGAGCUGAAGUGUCCAACAGAAUCUAUAUGAAUCAGAUCUGGCGAUAAGGCCGCCAAGUAUCGAUUAGACAUAAAAUACCAAACUUAUACUCCUGAUAAUAAGCAAAUUGAAUUUACAUAUAAAUCACCUUGUGAUAGCAUCACUCAUUUAGUUCGUUUUGAACAUUUGCUAAACUUCUCACAAGCUACACAAUCACAUUAUUACAUUUAAUACAGUUGGUCAUUGUCGACUCAAUUCUAAACCCCGUAGACGCGGCACCUGCAUGUACUCGGGGUACUGCUAUUCAGUCUCUGGCGAGCGAGCGCGGCCUAUCUGGACGGCAGCUACCAACGCAUUUUGUCUAGAGAACCGCCCUGCCGCUCAUUGCCGAACUUGAAAACACUCCCCAAAAUCAAUAAAAGUUGUGCCGGGGAGAACCAACUCUAUGUUCGCCAGUUGUACGGCUACCUAAAGCGGAAAGCGGCUUCCGACCAGAUCUGAGAUAACCUCUUGAAGGAGGUCAGCUGGCAACAUCAUGUUAGGUUCGAAAUAUAACAACAAAAUAUACUAUUCAAAUUGAAUACAUGCCUGCCCUCACAAUAUGCGAUAUGAAAAAUCAUGCAACAUAUGUUGAUCAAUGUGUUCUACAUAUUCUAGCUUGGCUAAUCCUUAGCUCAUAACUUCACUCUAAAGUCCUGAUCUCCAGCACUUAGAUCUACACUCAAGGUCUACUGGCUUCUAAGGUCUCUGAUACCUCAGCUUAGCCUCUUUCGACUCAGCUUAUUUCAACAUGUGGUUCGGCACUACGCUCGCGCUGAAAAGCGAACAAAUACUAAUGCCAUCGCAGACCCGCUCGGAAGCGUAAUCAGCAACGAGCGGAUAUUGUCCGCUCCGCACUAUGGUCUGACACUCAACACAGCCAAACAUGCCGUUAUUGCCAUAACAGAGGAGUUAGGAGGGCUCCGUAGGCCGUCGGUUCUCGUGACUUAGUCGCUUCCGCGGCGGAGAUCGUCACACACGCUGAACCCGGCCUCAAGCCCAGGGUUGACACUAGCAUCUCUCCGCGGCGGGGCCGGAAACAACGGUUGCACUUACCAGCGAGGGAGGACAUCAGAUUCGUGUCCAAUGCUGUAGAGAGGACCAGUACUAAUCUGGCGGGGGGCGGAACUAAUCGCAACGGCUCGACCCAACGAUCAAUCCAAAAGUGUUUCAGUACACGACUCAAGCAACUGCGGGCGACAAGUAUCGUACCUAACCCCCCAGCAAAAUGGUUUCAGGUCAAAUCCGGCGUCUUGUCACAAUCCGGCGUUAAACCAUCCGCGGUGAAAGAAUCGUGGCACACGCCAGGAUAAGGUUCAAGCCAUCGGCGGUAGAUCCAAUGGCUCGCCCCAGUUCCUCCCUAGUAGCAAUCUCGACGGCGAAAACUUGCCACUGCCUUAGCCGUUGGAUACCAAGGGUCAUCACAAUUCCUGGGAUUCCAUCCACUUCCAAGGUCAAGGGUCCAUAACAACCCUAUGCUAUAAGACCUGCACAGUCCUAGGUGGCUAAUACCACUACACUUAACAACCUAGGUUCAAUACCACGCUAGAGUUCAAAGUCUCAGUCACGUGACCUAGUAAAGCGUAUUCUAUAUCAUUCUCUUACCUAGAUGUACAACUUCUAGGCUUCACUUGUUCGACCUAUGUUACCAACACUAGGUCGACUGCUACACACCGUAGAAUUGUUCGACGCUACGUCACUUAGUUUAACCUAUGUUCUUACAUAGGUUACGUGCUACCGAUCUACCUGAUAUCCUAGUUUCCAAUCGCAGCCUACCAUAAAGUUCGCAUGUCAAUCAACUGCUACUUCUUCUAGAGUAUCAUCUAGUUCACAUGCAUAUCUACUGCAUUUAUCACCAAUGCUAAUUUAUGCCAUUUUAGAUCUCUUACAUCAUUUAUAUGCAUCAUACUUAGCAUUUUACCAUCAUGCUCAUCUUUGUCAUUUGUUAACAUGCAUCAAUAUGAAUUCACUUACUAGACAUUACAGGCGAUCCUGUCGCUUCCGGUAAGCACAACCCACCUUAGCUGCCUCUCCGAUUGCUUUGUCGACACUUGCAACGGCCUCUCGCGUACUCGACACCCGUUUUGGCCGAAUCUGUGAGAAAGGUGUGAGCUCCAACGCGCGCGCUUUGGCAGCUCCGAGAAAUUAAAGUCUUCGCUUCUGUUUACGCGCUCGGACCAAAAUCUCGCAUUUUAUUACGUCGACCUUCGACCUCUUCGUCAAAAACGAAGCAGGCUUGCUCGACCUUAUUCUGCCGAUAAUCUGUCUAGACCCGAGCCCUCGGCAAGGGCAUGCUCAAUACUUCGGACUGUCCCUACGAUGUUUAUAACAAACCAGUAGGUUGUUCGAGAGCAUUGGCGGUCAAAUGAGCUAUCAAACCGCUCAACAAUGACCUCUCGAACAAACUCGCGCGCAUUUCGGCUGCCGGCCUAGCCAGUGUACUAUAGCAAAUCACCCAAAAAAUCGAAAAAAUCUAUAAGGAUGGGGAAAUCCAUCAUGAGAAUAGCAUGCUAGGUGUCAAAUAAUUCCAAUUGGUCAAAGAUUCAAUAAACCCUCUUCUAAAGAUCUACCAGUGCAGAGACCUUAUAAGCUUACCUACCCAAGGAGCUCUAAUGGUUGAGAGAGGAAGAGAAGAAGGAAUGAUCUACCUCCAAGUUCUACCCUUUCUCCUCUUCUCCUUCCCUUUUUUUCACUUCUUGUUCUCUUCUCUCUUCUUCUUUCCCUUUUUCUUUCUUCACGCAGAAGAGAGACGAGCGCCGCUUGAGAGUAAGUGGAAAAAUGAGUAGAGAGAGAGCAGAGAGACCCAUCUCAUAAACCUCUAUUGUAAACAAUAUGCAUAUAAGUCCCUCAACUUCUACUUGUGGCCACGUGCCCAGAAUGGGCAGGACCCACGACAGUGCCCGCGGGACCGGCGAGCGCCAAAGGCCGGAAGCCUCCUCCCUCUUGGAGGGUGCUGCCUGCCUGCCAGACCGCCCCAGCUCCACGCCGGCAGAAACCGAUCUCUCACCUGCAGGGAGCGGGUGGCCUGCGGUGCCGCAAACCCUCAGCCUCGGGGGCAACCGGUCCCUCCCCUUCCUGGCGACGGGUCCCGAGAGCAACCUCUCAGACCACGGUGUCAAAACGGAGCAGAAACUGCCCAAGAGCGCCCCCUCGCAGGUUUGUAAGACGCUUUGCUCUCGGCGCGGGGACUCCAGAUUCCAAAGACUUGGGUUUCGUGCACUCCGACUUUUUCGAAGGCUACUCGCCUCGACAGUUAGUCAAUCCGGUGCUGGAGUGGCAAGUACAGCACUCUCUUGCGAAUUUUGAGAUGAUUCACUUACGCCUUAUUGCAGGUGGCGCCUCACGGGCUGGGAGAGGGCGCCGGGGUCGUUCGCCAGGCGCCCGAACCGCGCGCCAAGAUUGCGUACGGGGUGCUCUUGGGAGGCCGCGACGGGGGGGUCGGCGUGGGGCGACAGUUACGCCGCCGACUCACUUCUCAAAAUCUUCAUAGGUGAUGGGCCGAACAUGGGCACCUCGCGGCCACCGCUCACGUCCGCCGUAAGAAGGCGCUUGAGCGCAGGCAAAUACUUCUUCGUCCUAGUGUAGAUGACUCCGCGGAGGCGUCACUCACGUUGUGGGGAGCGACCACCCUGCCGCAAAACAUGCUAACUUAAGUGGCAGCAUCGGAGAGGCGGUGGCCAAGCGCCAAUGGUCGAGAUGAACCGAUCUUCGGGCCAGCGGCCCCGUGCAUUUGGGAAGAGUCCGGGGUUCCGGGGCACGCCACAGCGCAAACAGCGACAAGUUUUCCCUGAUACAGGCGUAUGCAAUCAAUAAAUAAAGAGCCGCUGUCACCAAUAGGAACAGUAUUCAAACAUUACAGAUGCUCAUAAGGAAGUAUCAAAAAUAUAAACUACUUGCUAUUAGCUACCCGCAGCUUGCCGAGUCAACGACACUUCAAUGACAUUUACAUCUCAAUUCGAUUUGCACCAACCCAAUGCAAUCUAAAUUUUACAAGUUUAUCUACAAGCUUUUACUUCUUUCCUGUCACCUGUACCGCGUGAGCGAAUGAUUGUCCCGCCAGUGCGCCGUACCUCUAUCUCGGCCUCUGAGUACGGCGUAUCUAUGGAGCUACGGUCCUGCCUCGGCGCCGCCGCGCGCUAACGUGGCAAAGCUGUAGAGAUCCCAAGAACAAUGAUGACUGGUGGAGAACCAAUUCCAUAAUUCGCGCAUAGGAUAGGCCCAGAGACGCCAAGGGGUUUAAAAGCAAGCCCGACAAUUAGGUCCAGACGGCCAGGCACUGCGGAAAUGUGUAGCUCCACAUCACAUUAAGGAAGACAGAUUGUGAGGAACUAUACUACCACUCAUUAAAUAGCGUGCCAUGGUCCUCACCACGGCAUGUGGGUCGACUGAGGUGAUUUGGCAAUUCAAGGGUCCAAAUUAAAAGCAAUAAUGUAAGCGCUUAUCUUGCUGUCACGCCCGAGGCGCACCGGGAGGGACAAAAGGCAUGGCCCUCGCGAAGCGCCGAAGAGAGCGUAGCGGGAGAAUGUCUCGCCGGGGAACAACUGGCCCCAACCCGUGACUCACGAAGUAUACACAUAUAUAAGGUCUGGGUCUUAUCCUUGCAACAGCAACAAUAUGAGAUUAAGGAGCGAACCAAUUACUUAUGAUUAUCAGCAAAAAAAAAAAUGUAUAACCACUAAUACUAGCAAAAGCAGUAGAGAGAAAAGAACUACUCAACUAAAUAAAACAUAAAGGUUAAACAAUAGUCCAUCUGUAGUACAACAAAAAAAAAGGGCCCCGACCGAAUGUGCCUGUGCUGUGUAGUAGUAUCAUUGGAAAACAACUCUCAACCUCUCUCAAAAGAGAAAGCGAGGGACGCGAGGAGGUAGUACCGAUCUAUCAACUGCGUCCUCGAUAACGAGCUAGCCGAGGCGUACCCUUUCCGCAGUCCUAGAACGUAUGGCCCGAGGACUGUGGAAGGCUAGACGAUGAAAUGAGAGUCGAUAUAAUAACGGAAAAAGAAUUCGCCCCGCGGGCUGCCGACGGGGGGUGCAUGCCUGCUGCGUGAACUAUAAUUUAUAGUUGCCCAGUGGCAAUUACUGACUCCAGGAUCAACCGGAUGGCCCAUCACCCACGCUCAGGCCAAAGAGAAGGUAAUACACUAGUAGAAUAGGCAAUAAUUAUAACUCCCAGAAUUGGAAAGUCAAAUAAGUGAAAUGCUAAUGCACAAGUUAAACGCUGACGUAUAUCAAUCAUCAUGUUUGAAUAUGCCAAUGUCGGGAGCGGGCAAGGAUAGGUGGAUGAAUACGUCGAAUUGGCAGCAAGUAUGACUAAGAGCGAUGAGUAAUUUUUAUCAAUCACUACAAUGCUCCCAAUAUCUCAGAGCCACACUAUGAGUAUGUCCUAAAUCAGGCUUAAGCUAUGAUCUUAUUUUAGACUUGAAGUAAUACAGGUAAUUUAAGAGUUAUGUCCAGAAUUUCAAUUGUUUGGGAACCUACAAUGGAGGUGUUUUAGUCGGCUUGGCAAUGGCCACAGACCUAAGUGACAGGUCUGUUUAGAGAAACUAGCUUUCAAAGUUAGUUCACAUUCAUAUCACAUUCCUUUAGGGAAAUGGAGGAUUUCCUAUCUUUCCGCUUCAAGCCACAACCCCCGGGUCAAUAGAUCAAUGGGGUUUCAUGUUCUGAUGUUCCCGAUUACGCCCCGAGCGAUCAUUAAGUUACAGGCACGGAAGUUAUCUUAUGUGCCUAAAGUUCUUCCCGGGUCUACGUUCAGUUUGUGGGCAAAACAGGUGCAUAAAAUACGAUGACUUUUGCGAAGUUUCCGAUUUGCCACCUUCGACCCCUUAGCGAACAUUUCGCGUUUCCCGAAAAUCCGUCCAUCGGAUUUUCGAUCCGACAGCGCCAUCGCGUUCAGCACGACGGAGACAACAAAGCUGUGAUUUCGCUUCACCUCGAUCAACCACGGAUUCACGACACAAUCCAAUCUUCUUUCCAACAUAAGAAAAUAACACCUAAAUACAUAUAAAACAUGUAUUUUUGGAUUUUCUCGAAAUCCGUGCGUCAAACUCAAAAUCCAACAGCGCCAAUGGUUCCAGAAUAGCUGAACCGGUCGAAACGAGCUAUUGGAUCGCUAUGAACGGAGUCCGAUACGCGUAGAAAGCCAACUCUACUCCGUGGCUUCACCGAAAAACCGGAGUUACUAUUCACUUAAGUGAAAUUUAAAAAUCGCGUAACUUCUCCAUUUUAGCUCAUUUUCUCCUGAAACUUGACGAGUGCUUAUGUAAUUAAAUUACACACAUAAACAUCGUCAACAGAGAGUUUAGUUGCACUGUAAAAAUCUCAGUCCUUACAUUAACUUACUUAUUUUUGAACUCCAAUAUUUCUGAUAUAUCAGUAUUGAUCAUCAUCUUGGUUGCAUAAAGAAAAUUUGAUAUACUACGUGUACCUAUGUUGCCCAUAGAUAUACAAUAAUUAAUAUAAUUACUAAGAAUAUAAAUAAUAUCCAAAAUUUGAAUAAAUGAGAUACCUGCAAAGUCUUUUAUCUUGCACCAUUGCAUUAUAAUUAUGACCGGCCUUCAUCCCCUACUUGUUUAUAAGUAUGAAGUUCUUCAGCAAACUUUCCCCACAAUGUGCAACCCAGCUUUUUAUUGCUAUAAGUUUUACAGAAAAAAAUACUAAAUGACCAAAAUACAAUUUAAAAUGAACAUUAUACUAUAAAUGCUACUUAUAAAAUAAUUUAUUUUAUAUUAUAUAUGUGCCCACUAAUUUUUGUUUAUAUUAUAUCAGAUAGAUAAUUUUUAUAUUUAUAUUUGAGGGCAAUUUAGAUAAAAAAAAUGACAAAUAUUUUGUAUUCAUCAAUCAUUAGAUUAGAUCUAAUAACUAAGAAUCAAUAUAUUUUAUAAUAAUUUUAAAAAAUAUUUAAUAUUUUAAAUAUUAGUAGGUAAAUUUGAGAUAACUUUUAUAUAUUCACCUUUAAAAGAAUUGACUGAAAUAUUAUAUAUGUUUAAUAUUUUUUAAAUAAGGUUAAAUAAAAAUAGUCCCAAAAUUUUAAAUAUUAGUAGUGAAUUUUGAGAUAACUUGGUAUUAUAUUUUGUCACCGCCCGGAUGUCUCAUUCCCCCGAGCAGCGCGACAGAAUCGCGUAUCACAAAGAAUUUCUUUCUGUAUACUGACAGCGACAACUUGUACCGUAAAUCAUAAACACUACUACGAAAUAGUAGAAGAUGCGUGUUUAGAGAAAACAGUAAGCUAAACCAAUUAGUUCAUAACUACAUUAGUCAAAUCCAACAAUACAGCGUUACUCGCCACUGUGCGAGUUAAGUACUAUGCACAUAAGCUCGAAGUUAAUAUACAAUACCGCAGUAGGUGCCUCCACUGACAAAACCUAUGGCUCUAGUCGCGCACGACCCUUGCCUCGAUCCUGAUCCGGAAGGCCUGCAGGCCCCGACCACCCCUGUCCCGCUCCCUGCCCAAACAACNNNNNNNNNNNNNNNNNNNNNNNNNNNNNNNNNNNNNNNNNNNNNNNNNNNNNNNNNNNNNNNNNNNNNNNNNNNNNNNNNNNNNNNNNNNNNNNNNNNNUUUAAUAAAAAAUAAAAAAAAAGUGUGAUAAAACUUAUAGAAAAAAGUAGGCUUUGGAUGAUGAUGUUAUAAGAUUACAAUCCAUUUUGGACUGCGGACUUAGCAAUGCUCAGACAAUAAAAGGGACGAACAAAAAGAAGGAAGAUCAAUAAGAAGAAAAGUUUGGUAUAAAGUGAUUGCGAAGACGAUUAGCCCCGUUUUUUUGUUUAUGCAAUUGCUUUUGUGAUGCAGUAUCACUUCAUAAAUCUCCAAUACAUGAAUGCGAAUCGAACGAGGCAAUGUUUGAAUCCACAAAAAUUUCUGACUAAAUAUAAUAAACUGGAAAAGAGUGUAGGUGAUUGAUACCCCGGCCCCAACCCAUAAAUGCAUCGAAUCUAACGAAAUAUGAUAAUUUGUUCGUUGCCAAACUUAUCCGGUAGUUUUGAUAGCUAAAAAGCUUCGAAACUAGCGAUAUAUUUAUUAAAAAUUUUUAAUAUUUUAAACUAAAGAUUUGUGAAGUUUAUAAAAUCUAGUCAAAAUCGUUAAAGCUAGUAGUUAAGUUUUAGAGAUAGUAUUUUUUACUAAACUAUCUUGCUUCUGGAAGCCGAGCUUUACUCGAAUUAUAACUAGCCAGUAAAUUAUUUACUUAGUUCGUGCUCGACAUUAAAAAUUGAAUUUUAGAAUUGCUCGGUUUGUGCUAGAACCAGUCGAGUGAACACAAGCCCAGCUAUAUCGAACUUAUAUAUAAUGUUUUAAAAUAAAUCUAAAAUCCUGUUGGGUUUACAUUUCUUCGAAAAUAAAAUAUUUAAAGUUAAUAAUAUAAUUCUAAAAUUAAAAGAAUAAAAGAAGCUUCAAAAGUGGGCCAUAUCUCGACUGUUAGAUCAAAACGAUAAGCGCUCAGUCGAGUACAAACUGAGUAAUUAUCUGUUCAACUUGUGUUCAGCUUAAAAAUCGAGCUAUAAAGUUACUCGGCGGAACAUAAGCUGAGCAAAUUAUUUGCUCAACUUGUGUUUGACUGGCAUUGAGUGAGUAUAAGCCGAGUAACUGUCAGGAUUAACGCUGGAUAAGCCGGGAUUACCUGUGUAGUUCGUGUUUCGUUUGUGUGUUUAUACUCCGUUUAACAGCUUGUUUCUAAAUUACUUCGCCAGAGUACAAUGGCAAGGUAGUAAAAAUUUAAAAAAAAGAAAAAAAAAAAGGGGUUUUCCCACGAUCUGAUCGUGAUAGUUCGAAUGUCUGGCCGUCAUGUAUUUUUAUCAGUAGUAUCAAUGUACAAAUCAACUAACUGCUAACUCCCCCUUUUCUUUUAAUAUUAUAAGAAAAAUAUAAAAAUCUAAUAAACCUUUACAGGGUCCCCUUUCCUUGGUUAUACUAUUUAAUGAUUUUGUACUAUAACUCCCGGGUACUCCACGAAGUACAUUUAACACAAUCUCCUCGAUGUUUCCGGUCUGGGUUUUCGGGUUUUAUCCGAUUUCCACNNNNNNNNNNNNNNNNNNNNNNNNNNNNNNNNNNNNNNNNNNNNNNNNNNNNNNNNNNNNNNNNNNNNNNNNNNNNNNNNNNNNNNNNNNNNNNNNNNNNNNNNNNNNNNNNNNNNNNNNNNNNNNNNNNNNNNNNNNNNNNNNNNNNNNNNNNNNNNNNNNNNNNNNNNNNNNNNNNNNNNNNNNNNNNNNNNNNNNNNNNNNNNNNNNNNNNNNNNNNNNNNNNNNNNNNNNNNNNNNNNNNNNNNNNNNNNNNNNNNNNNNNNNNNNNNNNNNNNNNNNNNNNNNNNNNNNNNNNNNNNNNNNNNNNNNNNNNNNNNNNNNNNNNNNNNNNNNNNNNNNNNNNNNNNNNNNNNNNNNNNNNNNNNNNNNNNNNNNNNNNNNNNNNNNNNNNNNNNNNNNNNNNNNNNNNNNNNNNNNNNNNNNNNNNNNNNNNNNNNNNNNNNNNNNNNNNNNNNNNNNNNNNNNNNNNNNNNNNNNNNNNNNNNNNNNNNNNNNNNNNNNNNNNNNNNNNNNNNNNNNNNNNNNNNNNNNNNNNNNNNNNNNNNNNNNNNNNNNNNNNNNNNNNNNNNNNNNNNNNNNNNNNNNNNNNNNNNNNNNNNNNNNNNNNNNNNNNNNNNNNNNNNNNNNNNNNNNNNNNNNNNNNNNNNNNNNNNNNNNNNNNNNNNNNNNNNNNNNNNNNNNNNNNNNNNNNNNNNNNNNNNNNNNNNNNNNNNNNNNNNNNNNNNNNNNNNNNNNNNNNNNNNNNNNNNNNNNNNNNNNNNNNNNNNNNNNNNNNNNNNNNNNNNNNNNNNNNNNNNNNNNNNNNNNNNNNNNNNNNNNNNNNNNNNNNNNNNNNNNNNNNNNNNNNNNNNNNNNNNNNNNNNNNNNNNNNNNNNNNNNNNNNNNNNNNNNNNNNNNNNNNNNNNNNNNNNNNNNNNCCACUUGUGCUCGAGACUAUUGUUAGUAUGGCAAUAAUUUUUGAAAGAAGAAUAGCACAUAUACUAUGUAUAUUUACUCUUGAGAAUCUUUAAGAGAUAUAUAUGAUAUAUAAAAUCAAAUUAAGCAAUGCUAACCAAGUAUUAUGUUAGGUAUUAUGGUUUAUUUUACUUUAUUUUCAUCUGUAUUUGUAUUUGUAUUUUUAUUUGCAUUUUUUAUUUUUUUGGAAAGGACGGCAGCAAGCUGUCUAUUUCGUUCUUUCUGUAUUUUGUUUGUUUUAUAGAAAUUAACUUAGCUCGAAACGUAAAGCAACUAAAUUUUGAACUUUAGACUUUAUGCAUCAUUUAUCAAACCCUUAACAAAUUGCGCUAGGUACGAUGGGCAUGCUCUAGUGAAUGUACUUAUUCAAACUUUGAAGCCGCUGUUCUCAAACAACUUGAAUACUCAACAUUAUUAGUGGGUCAUUUGGGAGACCAGAAAUAGUGCGAUCUUUCGGAUGAUCCAGACAGACCCAAGUUUUGGAAUCUACACGAUUAAACAACUGAUGAAUUAGUGGGAGAAACUUAGCUCAGUGGAGAGGAGACACCAAUGUAAUAGCUUUUUCUUUUUUUUUCGCCGUUUGUUUAGCCACAAACGAGGCCUGUGAUGUCUCAUCAUUGUAGCUUAGUUCAUCUUCCGAAUGAAUGAAGUGGGUAUCAUACUAUCUUUUCUUCAAAAAAAAAAAAACAUCAUUAGUCAUAGAUUUGAGCAAAUUAAGCCUAAUAUAGGUUGCCCAAGCUAUUAUGCCAUAGAUUGUUUUCUCGUGUAUCCAAAUAUCUUCAAAUUAAUGUGAUUUUCAAACAAUUUCUCUGCCGAGCUAAUCUAUUCAGACCGCAGCAAUAUUGCUUCCCGAGUGUUUUGGGGGCUCAGUCUUGGCCCAGGCCAAUCUCGCUCGUUAGGUUUGGUUGGAACAUAAUCAGGUCUAAAGCAACACUUGAUAAUUAUCAGAGUGAACUGAACCAAAAUAACUUGGCCCUAUUUAAGGCUAGGCUCAGGUUAGCGAAUGUUUCAAUGUGAUAAUUGAAAAACGAGUGUAAAAUAUACAACUGUAGAUUAAACUUGCCUUGGCUCAUGAUCUAGUGAGCUCCCCCAAUUGUAAUCCUCUACUAGCAUAACAAAACUCAAAAUGCUUGGAUGAUUAAUUGCGCAAUGAACACAUGUAGGAGAAAGAGUGAAAAAGCAAUAAUCAACAAUUGAGAAAGAAAAUUUGAUUUUAUAUUAGCAUUAACAACAUAUGGGCGUGUUUGGUUCGAAGUCGGAGUCGGAAUCGGAAUCGGAAUCAAAAUAAGCUGGAAUCAAAAUCGGAAUGANNNNNNNNNNNNNNNNNNNNNNNNNNNNNNNNNNNNNNNNNNNNNNNNNNNNNNNNNNNNNNNNNNNNNNNNNNNNNNNNNNNNNNNNNNNNNNNNNNNNNNNNNNNNNNNNNNNNNNNNNNNNNNNNNNNNNNNNNNNNNNNNNNNNNNNNNNNNNNNNNNNNNNNNNNNNNNNNNNNNNNNNNNNNNNNNNNNNNNNNNNNNNNNNNNNNNNNNNNNNNNNNNNNNNNNNNNNNNNNNNNNNNNNNNNNNNNNNNNNNNNNNNNNNNNNNNNNNNNNNNNNNNNNNNNNNNNNNNNNNNNNNNNNNNNNNNNNNNNNNNNNNNNNNNNNNNNNNNNNNNNNNNNNNNNNNNNNNNNNNNNNNNNNNNNNNNNNNNNNNNNNNNNNNNNNNNNNNNNNNNNNNNNNNNNNNNNNNNNNNNNNNNNNNNNNNNNNNNNNNNNNNNNNNNNNNNNNNNNNNNNNNNNNNNNNNNNNNNNNNNNNNNNNNNNNNNNNNNNNNNNNNNNNNNNNNNNNNNNNNNNNNNNNNNNNNNNNNNNNNNNNNNNNNNNNNNNNNNNNNNNNNNNNNNNNNNNNNNNNNNNNNNNNNNNNNNNNNNNNNNNNNNNNNNNNNNNNNNNNNNNNNNNNNNNNNNNNNNNNNNNNNNNNNNNNNNNNNNNNNNNNNNNNNNNNNNNNNNNNNNNNNNNNNNNNNNNNNNNNNNNNNNNNNNNNNNNNNNNNNNNNNNNNNNNNNNNNNNNNNNNNNNNNNNNNNNNNNNNNNNNNNNNNNNNNNNNNNNNNNNNNNNNNNNNNNNNNNNNNNNNNNNNNNNNNNNNNNNNNNNNNNNNNNNNNNNNNNNNNNNNNNNNNNNNNNNNNNNNNNNNNNNNNNNNNNNNNNNNNNNNNNNNNNNNNNNNNNNNNNNNNNNNNNNNNNNNNNNNNNNNNNNNNNNNNNNNNNNNNNNNNNNNNNNNNNNNNNNNNNNNNNNNNNNNNNNNNNNNNNNNNNNNNNNNNNNNNNNNNNNNNNNNNNNNNNNNNNNNNNNNNNNNNNNNNNNNNNNNNNNNNNNNNNNNNNNNNNNNNNNNNNNNNNNNNNNNNNNNNNNNNNNNNNNNNNNNNNNNNNNNNNNNNNNNNNNNNNNNNNNNNNNNNNNNNNNNNNNNNNNNNNNNNNNNNNNNNNNNNNNNNNNNNNNNNNNNNNNNNNNNNNNNNNNNNNNNNNNNNNNNNNNNNNNNNNNNNNNNNNNNNNNNNNNNNNNNNNNNNNNNNNNNNNNNNNNNNNNNNNNNNNNNNNNNNNNNNNNNNNNNNNNNNNNNNNNNNNNNNNNNNNNNNNNNNNNNNNNNNNNNNNNNNNNNNNNNNNNNNNNNNNNNNNNNNNNNNNNNNNNNNNNNNNNNNNNNNNNNNNNNNNNNNNNNNNNNNNNNNNNNNNNNNNNNNNNNNNNNNNNNNNNNNNNNNNNNNNNNNNNNNNNNNNNNNNNNNNNNNNNNNNNNNNNNNNNNNNNNNNNNNNNNNNNNNNNNNNNNNNNNNNNNNNNNNNNNNNNNNNNNNNNNNNNNNNNNNNNNNNNNNNNNNNNNNNNNNNNNNNNNNNNNNNNNNNNNNNNNNNNNNNNNNNNNNNNNNNNNNNNNNNNNNNNNNNNNNNNNNNNNNNNNNNNNNNNNNNNNNNNNNNNNNNNNNNNNNNNNNNNNNNNNNNNNNNNNNNNNNNNNNNNNNNNNNNNNNNNNNNNNNNNNNNNNNNNNNNNNNNNNNNNNNNNNNNNNNNNNNNNNNNNNNNNNNNNNNNNNNNNNNNNNNNNNNNNNNNNNNNNNNNNNNNNNNNNNNNNNNNNNNNNNNNNNNNNNNNNNNNNNNNNNNNNNNNNNNNNNNNNNNNNNNNNNNNNNNNNNNNNNNNNNNNNNNNNNNNNNNNNNNNNNNNNNNNNNNNNNNNNNNNNNNNNNNNNNNNNNNNNNNNNNNNNNNNNNNNNNNNNNNNNNNNNNNNNNNNNNNNNNNNNNNNNNNNNNNNNNNNNNNNNNNNNNNNNNNNNNNNNNNNNNNNNNNNNNNNNNNNNNNNNNNNNNNNNNNNNNNNNNNNNNNNNNNNNNNNNNNNNNNNNNNNNNNNNNNNNNNNNNNNNNNNNNNNNNNNNNNNNNNNNNNNNNNNNNNNNNNNNNNNNNNNNNNNNNNNNNNNNNNNNNNNNNNNNNNNNNNNNNNNNNNNNNNNNNNNNNNNNNNNNNNNNNNNNNNNNNNNNNNNNNNNNNNNNNNNNNNNNNNNNNNNNNNNNNNNNNNNNNNNNNNNNNNNNNNNNNNNNNNNNNNNNNNNNNNNNNNNNNNNNNNNNNNNNNNNNNNNNNNNNNNNNNNNNNNNNNNNNNNNNNNNNNNNNNNNNNNNNNNNNNNNNNNNNNNNNNNNNNNNNNNNNNNNNNNNNNNNNNNNNNNNNNNNNNNNNNNNNNNNNNNNNNNNNNNNNNNNNNNNNNNNNNNNNNNNNNNNNNNNNNNNNNNNNNNNNNNNNNNNNNNNNNNNNNNNNNNNNNNNNNNNNNNNNNNNNNNNNNNNNNNNNNNNNNNNNNNNNNNNNNNNNNNNNNNNNNNNNNNNNNNNNNNNNNNNNNNNNNNNNNNNNNNNNNNNNNNNNNNNNNNNNNNNNNNNNNNNNNNNNNNNNNNNNNNNNNNNNNNNNNNNNNNNNNNNNNNNNNNNNNNNNNNNNNNNNNNNNNNNNNNNNNNNNNNNNNNNNNNNNNNNNNNNNNNNNNNNNNNNNNNNNNNNNNNNNNNNNNNNNNNNNNNNNNNNNNNNNNNNNNNNNNNNNNNNNNNNNNNNNNNNNNNNNNNNNNNNNNNNNNNNNNNNNNNNNNNNNNNNNNNNNNNNNNNNNNNNNNNNNNNNNNNNNNNNNNNNNNNNNNNNNNNNNNNNNNNNNNNNNNNNNNNNNNNNNNNNNNNNNNNNNNNNNNNNNNNNNNNNNNNNNNNNNNNNNNNNNNNNNNNNNNNNNNNNNNNNNNNNNNNNNNNNNNNNNNNNNNNNNNNNNNNNNNNNNNNNNNNNNNNNNNNNNNNNNNNNNNNNNNNNNNNNNNNNNNNNNNNNNNNNNNNNNNNNNNNNNNNNNNNNNNNNNNNNNNNNNNNNNNNNNNNNNNNNNNNNNNNNNNNNNNNNNNNNNNNNNNNNNNNNNNNNNNNNNNNNNNNNNNNNNNNNNNNNNNNNNNNNNNNNNNNNNNNNNNNNNNNNNNNNNNNNNNNNNNNNNNNNNNNNNNNNNNNNNNNNNNNNNNNNNNNNNNNNNNNNNNNNNNNNNNNNNNNNNNNNNNNNNNNNNNNNNNNNNNNNNNNNNNNNNNNNNNNNNNNNNNNNNNNNNNNNNNNNNNNNNNNNNNNNNNNNNNNNNNNNNNNNNNNNNNNNNNNNNNNNNNNNNNNNNNNNNNNNNNNNNNNNNNNNNNNNNNNNNNNNNNNNNNNNNNNNNNNNNNNNNNNNNUUUAAAGUGUAUCAAGUUAGUACCCCGUGGUUUCGCACUUUCUCACUUUAGUACCUUGUGGUUUAAAGUGUAUCAAGUUUGUGAAACAACCGUUGUACUUUAAAAAUUUAAGCUGUUAGAGAACGGUGUUUAAACAUUUUUAUAUUUAACACUCCCCCUCACGUCUGGGCUCGAGACUUUUUAAUCGACCCAUGACGUGGGCUUGAAAUAAAUGGGAGAAAAUUAAUAUGCUAAGAGCCUGGCGUGACUCCGAUCUCAGUACCUCCUGCUCUGAUACCAUAUGAAACAACCGUUGUACUCUAAAAGCUUAAGCUGUUAGAGAACGGUGUUUAAACAUUUUUAUAUUUAACAUUUAUGUUUCAAAAAAUUUAGACAUAUUAUUGUUGGCCUCAUUACUUGUCUCUGUUAAAGGUUGGGGGUACAAUUCUCAAAUUCAAAUUCACAUUGGGUUUGAAUCUGACCUUAUGGUAAAUGCUCAAACACCUAACCACUAAACCAAGAGUGAUUUGGCAGUGGAUAAUAUCAUCUGAAAAUGGUUUUAAUAACAUAACAUGUUUAAUUAAUGGUUUUAAUGAUCUCAGUUGUCUUAAAUAGAACCAUGAUUGGGGAGGAAAUUAGAAGGUUCCAUAAAACAAUUCAUAAUACUGCAUCAUAACAAUUCAAACUGGAUCGUCAUUAUAUGUUUAAGUGUAGGUAGCCCGCUUUUAGAAAUAGACUUAGUUAGAAAUGUGAAUCAACUAGGAUUCAAACUCGGGAUCUCGGGUACCAACCACCAAGUGAAUUGUUAUAGCAGCAUUAUUACUCCGUCGAAUGUCACACAAAAUUAUAAAGAGAGAGAUGAAAAAUGAGUUAUAUCUUCUCCAACAUAGGCAAAAAAAAAAAAAAAAUCCCUGCCCCAUCCAAUGGUUUGCCCUCAGUUCCAUCAAAUACUAUAAUCUUCAACAUACCGAAAGUUACAAUAUUUUUUUUGGACAUAUAUUACAUUUAAAAUAAUUAAAUUAAAAAUAUAUUACUUUGAUCUUUCCUUUCUUUUACCAUCUAAAGCUACAUGGCCUAAAAUUAUUCUCUCUAGACAUGUAGUAAAGUUUCCACUCAAGAAGCUUUAAGAAUACCCAAGAACCAAUAAGUUCACUAGUAGUGCAUGCAUUUAUCAAAAGUGCUUGUUCCAAAGUGGCUUUUCACUUUUUCAGAAGUGGGUCUGCAUCUUUUGCUGAAUCAAGUUAAGUUUGUUCUGAGGAUUUGUGAAAGCAUGAAAGCUACUAGUCUAGUUGACCAACUUUUUCUCCUUCAAAUGUUACUAGUUCUUUUCCUCUGAGAGGUAAUAUAGUUGACAUGUAGACAACCUUUUUGGUCUUGUGCUUAGUGCCAGAGUUUCUGAUGUUUAUCCAUCUGAACAUCUGAGGCCUCAGGUAUUUGAAAGGUCUUUCCUUUCUUUCUUUCUUUCUUUCUUUAUUAUUUUUUUUUUUUUUCAAAUCUAAUAGUGUCUACAAUUAUUUGCAAAAUUAAUUCUCUCUUGAUGCAUCACCAUCACUUCAAUUAAAUGGACAACUUACUGAUAGUAUGAUGAACGUGAUAAGUAAUUCGGCGUAUUUAAGAAACAGUGAAUCACUUUGUUGUGUUUGAAAUUUUAGUCCGAAAAGAGGUCCAAUAUGGCGCCCGGCCACGUGGUAAGCGAUAAAGAUCCAUUCUACAAAUAAAGCAUACAAUAAGUAGAUAUGAAAAAUUGAGAUCAUAAUUCUAUAUCUUCUCUCAAAGCAUGGAUAAAAUUUUCGAUUACUCCUUAUCAUCAUCACCUAACCUAAGUCCACACUUCAAUUAUUUAUUGUCAUCAUCACCUAUGUCCACACUUUCAACUUUAUCUUUCUCGUCAUCAUACUUGAUUGGAAAUUAAGACAUGAUUCCUACCACAUGAAGCCUCAGAAACCUGCCAUUUAAAACAUGAAUGUGUACCAUAUUGUCACACCACUUUCUUCCUUGGCUGUUAUGUGGAAGGUGAAGAAAAGGCAUAACUGUCCAAACAAAGCAAAACUUUUAGGAAUUGUAGAAAUGUUCCAAAAUUUCUUUUAAAUUAGGACUUUUAUGAAAGGAAAAUGUUUGUUUCAGAGGGGCGGAGAUAGUUGUGAAAAAUGAUUACAAACUUCACUGAAGAUUAGUGAAGAGGGAGGUAGAUCACUAACCCAUCAGCUACAUAUUCCGUCAGAACCAAAAUAUGGAAGUUGAGAACCACAAAGAAUUACAGGGCAUCUUUAUGUCGGUAUUUACAUUCAUAAAAGCAUUAGGGUUUUCAUCUGAUCAGUGCACGCGAAACAAUCCACAGCAUGUCAAAGUCCAUUACAGUACAUUGCUUACACUAUUUUGAACUUCCAACAAAUGAGUCAAACUGAAACAAGCAACAAAAAUAUGGGUCAGAUUGCAGUCAUCACUUCAUCUGCUUCCGCCGUCAUCUGUAGACGACUCGGAUGCGGAGUCAUCUAACGUCGAAUUCGAGAUUGUUUCAGAUGAGCUCCCAUUUUCGCCAUCAGACGCCACAAAUCUUUCUUCAUUUGUCGGCCUUUUCAAGUGCCAGUACAUGAUGGUUGCUGUUAGCGUAAGUAUCAUCUUUUGGUUCACCUGCGUAAUCAUCGCUGAAACUAAGGUUUUCUGUAAUAUCUAAUUCAUAAUAGCUAUGAAAGCAAAAAAAAAAUAAAAAUAAAAAAAGAAAAAAAAAGAGUUUCUUGGAAAGGAAAUUGCUUUUCUCGAUUCCGAUUGACCAGAUUACCUCCAAAAUGUCUUCCGGAAGCAAAAAUAUGGAGCAACCAAGCUUCCUUGCUACUGAGAUAAUAUAAGAAGCGUUCAUCUUUUUCUCUUCAUCUGUACAAAAUAGCAUGUUAUUUUUCAGUUAGCAAAUCACUUUCGAAGAGGUAUAGUUUGGUUUGUAGAAGGUAUACUACUACUAAAAAGGACACUUCACAUUAUAAAAUAGCAUGACCGAUGCACAGAAUGUGUAAAUGUUAGCUUUUCGCUCUUUAAUCAUAUGAAAAGAUAUUUCAGGUAAAAUAUCUUAAUCAUGUGAAAUAUCUUUCAGAUAUGAAUGUAUUGUUUCUCCUGACGAAAAAUCUGUGAGAGGGAGCUCAAGCUCUUUAUUGAGUCUCUUUAAAAGCCAAUUUCCUUUACCUUUCUCUCCUUUAGUUACAAGGCUACAGUUCACAACUCGAGGCUCCACAGCACUGAGCAAAUCGAGAAAAAAAAUCCCACUAGAGAGGCUUCUAUCCUGGAAACAGCUUGGAAAACCAUGUCAAGUCAAAGCAAAACAAGCUUACAGAAAAGAUGCAAGAUACGCAGAAGAAAAUUUGCCAACGAAAUAAUUGGAAAAAAACAUAAAGCAUCAGCAAUUGGCUGGAUUCUGUCUUACUAGCACGAGGGAGUUAGCAACUCUUAAUAAGCAUGAAAUUGAGUGAAAAAUAAUGCAUAAUUAGAAACAUUCAGUUACACUAUGCUUAAAGUGAUGGAAAUUAUUAAACUAGAUCCUCUUUGUCGACAGGAUAACUGAUCAGAGAGUUAGUCAUAUGGACAAUUCGAAGGGAAAAAGUUAAUCAAUAACUUGAACAGUCUUACUAUCAACUGCCACAAGAACUAAUAUGGAAACAUAUCAUACCUUAAAACUGUCCAUUCGAGAGUGCUUUCCAGAGCUCUUUACUUUACUGUUGGCCCAGCUCAAUAUGUCUGCGUCCGUUAUCUCUUUCUCAUGGGAAUGAAAUCUCAGGUUUUUAAGAAGUUGCAGGAUAUUAUACCGCAUCAGUUGCCACAGAAAAGCUGAAAAAAUGUUUACAAGAAUUAGCUGAGAAAAGCUGGAAAUCGAUAAGGCAAUGCCCAAGAGCAAAAGACUCACCCAGGAUUAGUUUCUUAUUUCCUUGCACAAUAUCAUUCCCGGCAACAUUAACCAAGGAAAACUUCAGCUGUUUCCCAAUUUUCACAACUUGGUUACAGUUUUCCACUUUUCUAAAUGGCAUCUUGAUUGGGGGUUUAUUCGCGAUCUUCCAGUUAACUAUUCCAGGAGCUACCUUAUCGAUAGCCUCUAGGAGAAUCCAUCUGUAAUUUCAAAUAGUUAUAUCGACAUAUAGUAGAUUUAACAUCAGUUACAUUCCAAUUGCAGCGUAUCAGCAGAAAAAACAAAAAUACUAAAUCCCAUAAUAUACCCAUUUCUAAGAUCUUCAAAUACAUUGUUAAUAUAGGUUGAAAUUCCAAGACUGUUGAGCCAUAGUCGAAAGGCUCUUUCAUCCCUUGAAACUUGUGCAUCGUCAAGUGAUGUUUCCAGAAAAGAUACUUGUUUCAUUUGCGCUGAUAAUCCAUUCCUGUAUAUGAUGUUUUAGUUAUAGCCAGUUGCAACUUGUUAAAGAUGUUUAGUGCAAGUGUAAUACAAAGAUGGAGCAAAGGAAAAUGACAUGAAAUAAGAAGCCAUGUUCACAAGACUGGUAUGAUUCAAAUAGAAACAAUCAAGGAGAAAGAGAACUAAGAAUUUUGGUCCGGUGGUUGAACCCAACCACGUUGCUACUACUGUUAGUCAGGUCAAUAUUAUACAUCCCAUGAUGGGCAGUAGUCCCAACAGUAGCUGCAUAGGUUACAACAUAGAGCAAAUUAACCAAAAAACAAGGCAAUUAUGCAGUACAUCAUAAUAAUCACCUGUUAUAGAAUAAUAUGCUUCAUAUGUAGACCAGAGACAUUUUAAGCAUGAAAAAGAAACCAUGCAGUUACACAAUAUGUUUUGUCAAGCAGAAUUUAUCAUGAGAGCAAAAAGAGACCUACACCAACAUGAGAGAAAGUAGUGAGGAAAAUACAUAAUAGCACUAGAAUUUGACAAAGGAUCUUACUCAACACAGUGAUGGAUGGACCAUAAAGUUGCGUCUAAUGAACCUAAGCAGCUGUGAAGAGAAGCUUCGUUGAUUUCACUACUUAAUUAGCAAUUGCUUAUUAUUUACAACCAGUUAAGAAACUUAUUCCUGGAUCAUUUUCAUGUAGAUUGUAAUACCCUUGUAGACUCCAAGCACUGGAUAAAAGGCUUCUCUAAAAAGGAAAAGGGCAGCAAAGUGAUGUUUAUAUCCAAAUUUUUUACUGAAAAUACAAGCAUAAUCAAAAUGAGCUGAUGAGAAGUUAGCUAACGGCACACACCUUUUCUGAAAUAUAUGAGCAACAAAGGCAAGAUUGAGAUUUGGCAAGCCGUCAACAAUAUCUCUUGGGGUCAGAUAUCUUUUGCAGCCCAUCCUAUCUGCAUGUUCAAGAACUAACUUUGCCCUUGCAAGAAGAUCUUUCACAUCCAUGGGAGAUGGUUUACUAGCAUGUUCAGGUGCCAGAACAUUGAGCAGACAAGAAUAAGCCUCUGAAUCCUGCAAUUCCAGUGAGGUAAUAACUGAAAGGUAAAUUGAAUCCCUUUGGAACAAUUAGAAAGUCUUAAUGUUUUCUGUGGCAAAGUUUGUAUAGUUUUGAUGUCUAGAUAUUCUAAAAGCUGUUGAAAAAGCUGUCGAAAAUGAUUGACAACAGGGUUCCUCAAUAUAAGAUAGAGGCAAAAGCAAGUUACUGUAAAUGCAACCUAAAGCAAUACUACAGGAGAGGAGCAAAAGGAUUUAUUUUUCGAGCCUCUCGUGAAGGCAUGCCAUUUACACUGAAAUUACAAUUGUGAUAUAAUAAGUUUCAACCACAUAUCAUUUCCAAAAUUAGAUACGUAUUUGUCUAUCAAUUUUGGUCUUGUUAAACCUACCUCGAUUAAAGUGACCUCAAGCGCUUGUGUGCAACCGACGAUUACACAGAAUUCCUUCCCCGUGUAUAUUGAUAAAUCAUUACAUUUAAGCCCCAAAAAUAGCUCUAUAAAUGUGUCUGGUCAGCACCAUCAUGUACAGGAAGUAAAAUUUCACUAAAGAAAUUAACAAACAGGCAUAUAUAGUAAGGCAAACUACAGGAAACUUUGGAGUAAAUUGUCAACUUAUAUGAUCUACAUUUGGAAUAUGUGUUUGCUAUAUCAGCAACAUAAAGAAUCACUUAAACAAAGAAGUAAAAUUUUCUAAAGUUGAACUAAGCAACAAGACUGUAUCCAUUAAUGACUGGGCACUUGUGCUGAUGCACAGGGCAUGAUGGACACACCUCCAUCUCACGACACAGAAAACCUCGAAAUUACCUACCUUCACAUCUGAUGAGAAAUUCGUUACGAGCCUCCGCAAGCCACCUUUCUUCAGUUGAAAGUUCAUCCACCUGAGUAAAAUCUUUUCGGGAGAUAAGCUCAGCAACUCCUCAACAUCCUACAAUUUUUUAUUUUAAUACAUUAUGUUUCAACUUCUAAACUACAACAAGCAUGAAACUUCUAAAGAGACAGGUAGAGAAUAUAGGACUUUACCUUGCUAUCACCAACCAAUUCAACUAAUUGAGGCGUUUUCUUCAGGUUAACAUCUGCCAAAAGUUGUAUCUGAUAUUGGCAUUAGAAGAGAGGGGGUUAGUAGCUUUUUCUUAAUAUACAUAAUGCAAGGAUAUGAGAAAGAUAUUUCAGCAGCCGAAUUUUGACGAUUAUCCCUAUAAAUGAAACCUUUAUAGACGCCCCAUUGGCAUUCACAAAUAUAUAACGAGAAUUAAGUAACAUAACGAAAGGACUACGACAUACCUUAAUAAUUUGAGAUAUCAACCCAAGGACAAGAUGAGGCUGCAAGAAUAGAUUGUAAAACUCAAAAUGUUGUAAUAGGAACAAGAAGGCGAUGAUAUUCAACAACAACAUUCCACAUGCCUCGGAAUCAAUACUGUUAUAUCGACAAACGGAGGAGGAAGCUAACAAUGAUACAAUACGACAAUUGCAAUAUAACAGGAGUUUAUACACAGCUCGACAACAAUCAUAAGGAAAUGCGCGCUGAGAUGAUUUCAAUUAGUGAAUACUUACCCUCCCUUCAGCUAGAUCUUGUGUGCCGAUAUUGACCAGCGUACACCCGAUCGCCUUAGCUGAGUUAAGGCACAGCGUAUGGUUCUCGUUCUUCUCCCAUGGGUUCAGCACUCUCUUUGUGUUGAUCGCCCGCUCGUCGAUGGUCCCCGGAACAGCCACAUUGAUGAGUUUACUUCGCAAUCGAGAACCACCCUUAGAUACCACCUUAUUUAAAGCAAGCAAAAUAAAGAGGCUAAAGCUGAAGCUAAAGAUUCAUUUACCAUAGAAGGACACCAUCCUUUGAGAUCUCGAAGAGAUCAUUGGUCAUGGGAUCGAUAGGAAGAUACUUCUUAAGAAACGCAUCUUCGCCGAGAUAGUUAUUGAUAUGGUUUACAUAAGAGGCCUUUUCCGACUCACUGAUGGUGUGGAGCAGAGUCGUCGUCGCGGCCUUGAGGAAGGCCGACGACGAGCUCUUCGCGCCGAUCCGGCCCUGCAUCUUCAAAUAAACCUGCAAUUCUCAAUCCAAAUCCAAGUCAACAACACAACACCAAACUUUGGAAAAUGGGUGUUUUACCCAAAUUGGAGAAAGGAGAUGAAACAGACCCGCAGGAAGAGCUCGAAAUCGACGGCGUCGUCGAGAUUGGAGUGAGACUCUCUGAUAAAACAAUCCCUCUCGUCCUCCGUGAGGCCGUCGCCGACGAUCUUCAAUCCGGACAUCGCAGACGCAAGGUCGCGGAGCUUCAGACCGCCGUCGGCUUUGCUACUACCGUGAUCUUUCAUCGACGUAAACUAAUUAUAGGAAGAACCAUCAUAUAUAAUGUAGUAAAGUUGAAAAAGUGAGAAUAAAAAUAACUUAAUGAGAAAAAAUGGAGAUUGUUAUUAUUAUUGUUAUUAUGACCUUGGAUUUGAGGGAGCGGAGCUCUACUUGGGUGAACUGGUUCUGGAGCCAAGGAUCUGAGACCAAAACGCCCACAAAACCAGCCAUUUUUUGGGGUUCCUGUGUGUUGAGAUCCCAGAAGGGAUCUCUCUUGCUUCUUUUUUUUUUCCUUCUCUUUGCUAGGGUUUGUGAUGGAGCUGGUUGGUGAGCUUCUUCUCUUGAUCUUGUGGGGGACUGCUACAAUGGAAAUGUGGGGGUGGAGAGAGAGAGAGAGAGAGAGAGAGAGAAAAGAGAGAGAAAGAUUGAAGGGGAGUGGGGCUUCUCUGCAGCUCAGAGUGUGUGUAAAGUAGGGGAAUUUUUGCUUGUACUUGGUGUACACACGUAAAUUUCAUGCACCUUACUUGUUGUAGUAGAAAACUUGAAAUCAAUAUAUAAUUUGUUGAAUAUAUUUUAGGAUAAAUUUCAAAUAGCACUCCUAUGAUUUCACAUUUUCUCACUUUAAUAACUUGCGGUUUAAAGUGUAUCAAGUUAGUGUACCGUAGUUUCAUUUUUAUUUUUUCAUCAGCUUUUUCGUUAGUAUUUCAUUAAAUUAUAUGCAAAAAAUUCAAAUAUCUCACCUAGGUUUAUCGAAUAUUUACUUUAAUACUUUUUAGUUUUAACUUUAUCACUGAUUUAAAAAAAAAAUAGUAAAAUUAAUAAUAAAAAAAUAAAAAUAAAAUCACAGGGUACUAAAUUGAUACACUUUAAACCACAUGAUACUAAAAUGCGAAAAUGUGAAAUCACAAUAAUAGUAUUUGAAGUUUUUCCUAUAUUUUAUAACAUGCGAAUUUCUUAUGUAUAAAAUAAUCACCUUUUUUGAAUGUCUAUUCAUCGCAAAUUUUUAGCAUGCCAUUUUAUAUUUUCAUUUUUUAAGACUAAUGAACGCUUGAAUGCUAGAGCAAGAGAAUUUUCGAAAGAAUGAUUUUUACAUAUAAACCGUACAUAUUAUAUUUUAGUUUUGAAUUUUAAAAUCCUAUUCGUUAUUUUAUUUGCAUGAGAAAAAAUAUUAAAAAAAUAACUUUCUCUCCUACAAUUUUGAUUAAAAAAUAAAGGAUAAAUUAAAGUUUCCUUUCAGUCCCUGCACUUUUGAGGAGAAAAAAUUUGAUGGUUUUAGAAGAUCAUUUUUUUUUUCUUUGAUUUUCUUUUUUUUCCUUUCCCCAUUCAAUUGAGCUGAUAAUGCGGUGCAUUAGAUUUGUGGAUACACCGGGUGCAGGGAAUAGUUUCUCGGGCAACGGAAAGCAGCAGAAACGUACGAAGAAAAGGCUCCGUGAGAAUUUUCAAAUUUAGGCCGUUCAAUUAAUUUACUCUCGUUUCGUAAUGUAAGUGGGAAUCGAUUGGGAAACGAGAAACGUAUAAAUUCCAAAAAUCCUACUCUGUAUCGUUUCCCAAAUGUCAAUAUAUUUUGUUGCUUUACAUCGCUGAUCGCUGGGUACAAGCGCGCAGGGGAAACGGGAAACGUCGAAGAUUUGAAUCGAGUUUCUCAUUCAAAUUAGUGGGAAAGUGACGGUUAAAACUAUUUUAGCUUCUCCAUCAUUUCAGGAGCUGAUCCCUCAGGCCCACUUGGCCCACUAUUAAUUUUUUUUUUAUAAUUUAAAAUAUAUAAUUUUAUAUUGAGAAGUUUAAAUAUUAUUUUGAUUGUUUUAUACAUUUAUCAGAACAUAUAAAAUUAUGAGUUUGAAUCCUAAAAAUUCUAAUUCUUCCAAAUUGAUAUUUUGAACCUCGUAAAGGACUCCAAUCCAGAAAAUAAAUUUUCAAAAUACAAACUAAACGGAUGAAAAAUACUUUUUUAGCCAAUAAAAAAAACCACCUGGAAUAUUUUUUAAGCACUCAAGCAACUCCCGAAAAAAAGUGUUGGACGUAAAAUAUUAAAACAAGCUUACAUUUUUAAAUGUUCAUAGUAUUUUCUUUCAAAAAGUGUUAUGGCAUCAUAUUUUUAAAUUUUUCGCAGCAUAUUUUCUGUUAGAUCUCAAGGAAAGCCAAAUUAACUACAAGCAGUUUCAAGGCAUUUAAUCAACAAAAAAUUCAUCAUCAAUAACCCACUUAUUUGGUACUAUGGCCUGCUUUUUACAGCACAACAGGACUAUGACAAACAUAUACAUGUAGUCUUUUUAAUUACUAGACUAGAAUCUAAAAGCAAAUCUUUCUCACAGUGAAGUUACAUAAACACGGUAAGAAAAGAAAAAUCAAACAUUCUUCAUCUAUCUCAUAUUUCCGCGAGCAGAGAAAAUCCCGCGAAUUCAAACUUCGCAGAUGGCUAAAUUACAAAAAAUCCUCCAGUAAUAAUCCGUUUUUUUACUUUUCUUCCCCGACAUUUAAAAGCCUAUACUUUUCUCCACUGUAAAAUAAAAAAUAUUCACAUGAAAGUUACGGUGUGUAAAAUGACCAUUUUGUCUCUCGUCAUUGUCGUCUUCUUCCCGAUCUUCCUCAGCCGCUCCUUCGUUCAGCCGCGAUUUUCACCUCAAUCGGCCGCGAUUUCUCUCUAUUUCCUUCUCCACCUGCUCCCCUUCUCCUCCUGCACCCUCGCCGUCCUCGAUUUCGGCGACAGUAGGAGAAAACCGAGGUGGGCGACAGUAGGAGAAGGGCAAAGAAGGCGAAGGCGAGGCGGCGGAGGACGGCGAAGGCGAGGCGGCGGGGGCGAGGCAGUGGAGGACAGCGAGGCGGCGGCGAGGUGGCGAGCCAGAGGGAGGCGAAGCAACAGGAAGAUGACGGAGGGGUAUUAUCGACAUAAAAAUAUAUUUUUUAACGGAACCCUAACGGUAGAGGAUAAAGUGCAUAUUUUUUAUUUUACAGGAGGCAAAGUGUAGAUUUUUAAAUGUCAGGAAGGAAAAGUAAAAAAACACAUUAUUACAAGAGGAUUUUCUGUAAUUUAGUCUUUUUUUUUUUUUUUUCUGUGAAUUGCAAUGCAAUUCAUCUCUUCAUCUACGUCGAUCAUUUAACUCCGACAAGAAACUUCAAGAACCGAAGAUUAUCGCUUGCUCCGAUUAGAUCGAACGGGUCGCUCAAAGAGAUAGGCGGCUCUACUCCGGUGAAGACGAGAAGCGCUCGGAGUUCCGCGGCACAUGAUGAGUGUAAAGUAUCACUGUAUCCCAGUAUAGUUCGCAAAGCCUCAAUUUGGUCCCAUAUCACUUCCUCACUGUACAGUAACUGCAGGACAAAGUCAUAAGUUUAGAACAACCUGAUUGUCGCGGAAACAAUGAUUGAUGUAACUUUAGAUAUGGAUAGCAAUUAUGUGAAAAAAGAUAAAAUGUACUAAUUAAGUGAGAUAUGAUAUAGCUCUCAAACACAAAAUUGGCACCAAUCUAUAUAGGAUAUGCUGAAUACUGGAAAGUAGAAAGAUGUUGUUGAGUAUCAGUUAUUCACCACAUUAAAAUACCAAAAAACUCACUAGAUACAUAGAUAAACUACGAAAAGUUUAUUUAUUUAUUUAUUUAUACACUAUAUGUCAUAAACGAUUGAUCAGAUCGUCUUUUCUCAGUAGUUUUUUUUUUUUUUUUUUUUUUUUUUUCUUUAUGUUUUUGUAUUUGCCCAAAAUAUAUGGGCAAAAUGUACGCAAGGUACAAUCAGUAUUUUGCAAAGAAAACACUAGUUGUUACAGCAUGGGCAAAAUGUAUGGAUUGUCUCCUUAUUAUACGUACGGAUAUUUUGACUCUGCCAUAAUUUUUCUAACUUAAAUACUUUUGUCCGUGAUAAUCUCAUUCCAGACGAAUAAUUUAGAAACAGCGUAUCAUUAGCAAUUAGCAUAUUACUACUCAUCUACCAAUUUUUUACAUAAUCUUUUACUAAAAAGUUGCAUAUAAAAUAAAAUAUUCGUAUACAACAUAUAUGCAAAUAACUUAUAUUUGAAGACACAAAAAAAAAAGAAAAAGAAAGAAGCAGUGAAUUGAGGGAACCUCGUCAUCUUCAUCCGACGUGUACGGAUCGAAGCCGAACCGAGGGUGUUCGAUCGAUCGACCGCUUUGGUAAAGAUAAGGAGAAGAAGAGGGGAGGAGGGCGCGGAUGAGGCGGUGGGUGCAGGCGAGGGCGGCGAGGCAGGCGGCGAAGGGGAGGGAGAGGGCGAUGCCGACGGCCGAGAGCGCCAGCGCCGGCGGCACCACCGCUGGCGCCGCCGCCACGGCCGCUCCCGCCACCGCCGCCUUCUUCAACCUGCUCCACCCCCUCUCCUUCUCAUCUACUUCUUCGACUAAUUCCCCAACUCCCUCUUCUUCUUCUUCUUCAAAUUGCUCUUCGUCUUUAAAUUUAUUUGCGGAUUUUAGAUCGGAGUUUUGCGAGUAGGGGGCGAUUUUGGGAUCCAUCUCAUCUCUGCAAGGAGANAAUUUAUUGGCAAAAUAGAUAAUGGCCAAUUUGUAUAAAAUAUUUAGUAAUUUUGUAUUUUUAUAAAUAUAGAUAUUAGUUUUUUAAAUUUUGCAAAAUUAUAAGAGAGAAAAAGAAACGAGAUAGCAACCAAAAAAAAAAAAAAGAGAGAAAAAAAAAUAAAGAUAUUUUAUCUAAUUUAACAAAUCUAAAAAAAAUGGUCUAAUAUUGUAAAAAUAUAAAAUAGAUGGAUUCUUUUACGCAAAUUAGCCGUAAAUUAUACUGCAUAUAUAAAGUACGAAAACAAUAUAUAUUAUUUCUUCCUCUAACCCCCAUCUAAGUAUAAAAUUGUUAUAUUUCUUUCCAUUAGAAUUAAAAAAAGAAAUCCUGGAAAAAAACUGUUAUUAAUUUGCCAUGUUAGUAAAUGUAAAUCUUCCACCCCCAUCUGAGAAUUUAAAUUUCUUUUUUGAGAUUUUAAUGUUCAAAAAACUAAAUUCAUAAAGCGAGUAAGUAAACAUGAAGCUUUCGACAACUAAGAUGUAAAAUUUACACAACUUUAAAAAGAUUUCUAAAUACAAACUGGUUAAUAUCAUUGCCCGAAAACAAAUGGAGGAACGCGUAAACAAAAAUAAAUAACUAAAUAAAUAAACAAGAUGUUGAUACAUCCAAAUCCGAAACAGAAAUAGUAAUCACAGAAGCUCAAUGUGUGAUACUUGAUGAUCUGAUGCCAAACCAACAAACAAAAUCUACUUCUUACAACAGCAGCUUAAAGCACUUGAUAACACAAAAGAUAACAUGAUAGAAAAGACAUUGAGAAGAAACAGAAACAAAAGCACACAGAUUAUCAUUCUCAAUUCACAAUCAUUCUACCGUUUGGUUCGGGGUUAAAAAAAAACUAGUUAUUCCAGGAAUAGGGGAUAGGAUUAAGUUCAGAGUUAAGGUAGGAUUAGAAUAUUUUUGUGUUUGGUUGGGGGUUAGAGUUAGUCCAGAAUAGUAAAAAAUAGUGUUUGUUAGAGUAGAUGGGAUAAGAAGGAUAGUGAAUUAUUAUGAAUAGAAAAUAAUGUUUGGUUGGAAUUUUGUGGGGUUUGGUGGGAUUAGCUAACCCGGGAUAGCCCAUUUGAGGUGGGAUUAGCUAACCCCACUCAUUUUUGUUUUUUGUAGGUGUUUGGGGAUAAUAUGGGGGUUAAGGGGUUAUUCCACCCCUUAACCCCCAACCAAACGGAGAAACCAUAUCAGAUUAUCUCUCUUUAUGAGGUGCAAUCCCGCCGUCUUGUAACCAGCAUUUCAUAUAUAUUUCAUAAUUAUUUGGAUAAUCUAAGUUGUAAUUAUUUGAAAAGUAAAAUAAAAAAUUAUGCUGUGAUAAUUUUUUUUUUUUUUUCCUAUCCAAAGUUUUGCCGUCUUGUGAUCCAGCUAAUGACAGCAGUACGAGCAUGAUGGAUAUUGACGGUUGGUUCGGCGUAGCUUUUGGAUCACCGUUAGGUGUGUUAAUUUUCUCGCUAAACUCUCAUUCGCCUCUUUUUAGCAAUGCAAUUGGCUUUUUGCCUCAUCCCCAUCACAUCCUCUUCGUGCAGUGUAGUUGGAAGGAGAGAGUGCUCAGUAGAGACCCCCCUUUACAACUAGCAGUUCCUCUGCAAAAGAUCUACUAUAUCUAAUAUAGUUGGCUAAAGAUUAAUAAUUUGUAUUAAAAAACUAAAAUUUGAAAUCAAAUUAUGAUUUUGCUUAAAAAAAUGAGAGAUGCAGGAUUGCGAAAAGAAAAAUUCCUUUAUUCUACUACCUCUACUAAAUUCAGAUGUGCAGUUUCAUUACAUGAGCUCACAGUAGAGUGGACCAAAAUUGAGUCUGAUCCGUGCUUUGUCCGAAUUAUUUCACAGAUUGGGCUAGGUCGCCAGGCCAGGCUAAAUCUGACACAAGUAGAGGUGGGUUGGGAUUACUGUUUUGUUCAGUUGGAACGGUCCAGUCACUUUGGACCGAACUUUCGUCUACAAUAGCCGCGAAUAUUUUCAAACCGAGAAAAUUUAGUCGGGCUAAAUUCGAUCCUUCCCAAACUUUAGCUCGACUUAACUAAAGUUUAACUAAUUUUAAGUGCAAUAUACUCUUGAAUAAUUUUUUUUUUUGCAUUAGCAUUUGAAAUUAGCCAAAUAAUUUUUUUAAAAGAUUUACAAACUUUAUGCACUAGUCAUCCUCUACGUUACUUACAAAAAAGCCAAAAAAAAAAAACAAAAUCCAUGCAUUGACCCGGGCGCGGCACUGUCCGGUGGAAAAAAUUCUAGAAUGCAACGGAUAUAUCAGUGACGUGGCGUAACAAACCAAUCGAAUUAAUCCUUUUAAGAAUAUAUGUCCCAUCAUGGUUGUAAAAAAAUAUUUUUAUUAUACUUUUGUUUGAAAAGAAAGAAAUGUGAUUGGCUUGUUAUUGAUGAUAUGCUGUAAGUGUGACAGUGUUGAAUUCCUCGUCCGGUGGAUAAGUGCUGGGUUCCAUCAAGUUUUCUCCUGCUUGUCUUGCCAGUCUGCCACGUGAGAGCGAGCGAGCAAGCGAGGGAGGGCAGCGAAAAAAAGAAAAACGAAAAAAGAAAAAAGAAAAAAGAGGGGGAAGCAAAAGCAACUCUGCGAGGUGAUCCUAAUCCUGAUUAAUUAUUAAUAUUAUUUUUAUUAUUAUUAUAUUUUUGGCAGAAGUCUCGACCGCACCGCGGCGAUCUACAGCUAGCAGACUAGAAAAGGAAGGCCCGAAAGUCGGUUGAUGCAACCGCCGUCCCUGCUUUCUCUCGCCAUUGACUCGGCCGCCCUCCACAUCUCCGCCAUCCCCGAUCUCUCCGCCAUCCCCGAUCUCAUCCUCAUCGACCUCUUCCUGGUACCCAUCCAGCCAACAUCCAAAACAUUAAUUGCAAUCAUAAUAAUAAUCAUCAUACUGCAGAUCUCUUUUUUCUCUCAAUCUUUUUGUGGGAUGCUAAUUUUCAAUGAGAGUUGCUGCACUUGGGUAAUUCAAGGAUCUUCUAUCUUGCCCUAGAAAGAUAAAUUAUUUAAAGGCAUCAGUUGAAUCUUGUUGUUUGAUUUAGGGUUUUAAGUAAUGCUGUGAUGCUAUGAAUUGUUUCGAUUGUGCCUUCAUGAAUUUGUUAUUUGUUGUUUACUUGACCCAUCUCAAAGAUCCCUUUCUUUUUUUUACUUGGAACUUGUACUUAGUUCUCGAUGUUCGAAUUUGUAGAUCUCUUUGCAUCCACCAAAUGCAGACUUUGACUUUCGCAAUGUGCUUCUAUCUACGGCGCACAUCGCAACUCUUAGUGCAGGUUACAGCUAAUGCUGUUUGUUUUGAGUACCACAAAAUGCGCAUAAGAUGUUACUUGGUAUCGAAGUUACAGAGCUGCGACGUUCGGCUUUGAUUAUGUUAGAGAUCCGAACAUAGGCAAUCAUGACCUUGAGUUCAGGGGUUCCCUUCAAGGUGUUAUAUCUAAGUGGCUUGUGCUCCUUAAGCCUCCGUUAGUUUUACAUGUGUAAAAUCUCGUCAUUUAUGAUUGCACCAUCUCGAAUUCUUUGCCAUAUACNNNNNNNNNNNNNNNNNNNNNNNNNNNNNNNNNNNNNNNNNNNNNNNNNNNNNNNNNNNNNNNNNNNNNNNNNNNNNNNNNNNNNNNNNNNNNNNNNNNNAAAGAGAGAGAUUCAGGGGAAAGGCUUACACAUAAUUCCAUGACGGAUGCAAUGUUAAAAAAACCAUGCCACCCUGCCUUGAAUAUAUAUAUCGCCUUUCCCUACAUCAUUGCUAUUUUUUAAAAAAAUCCAUGCCUCAAACUGAACUGGAUUAGAUCAGAAUGUAGCUAGCAGCUUUCAAUUCAUCAUAUGACCUCUUUGCAAUCUUACACUGAGUUAUGUUCAGCUACAAAUAAUUUCAGCUUCGAAUUAUCUUCAAAUCAAAAAUCAAAGUUGUAUAAAAAAAAAUAUAGAAACUGUAUGAUGCAGUCAUAAAGUAUGAUCAGCAAUACAUGGGUGCUGUCAUAAAUUAUGGCAAUGAGAAAAUUAUAAAUCAAGCAUAAAGUCAGGAUGCAAAGUUCUGUGUAUCAAAUAAAAUUUUAAGAAACUGUGGUUUGUAAAAUAUCUUGAAAUAGUUUAAAAAUGAAAUUUAACAGCAUGCGAGCAAAAGAGACAGACAGAUCCAAAAUACACUAGAAAAUUGGGUAAAAUCCAUAAAACCUCACCUCGACGAGAUUAAUAGAAGCAGAAAUUAUCAAGAGUGAACUUCUACACAGCACAGAUAUAGUAUAAGAAGCAAGAUCAGAUUCCAGCAAGAUGCAAAAAAGAACCAGUACCUUCGAAUCCCACUCAAUUUUAUGAUGAAAGGGGGCACAAAUAGUCCAUGCCUUCUACCUGCAAGGCUAGUGGUCGCACUAAAUGGGCGCUUGACAACACAGGCGCAUACAUCCUGCAGAACCACCUCGAUUUCUUGCCUCAGAAGCCCACAACAGAUUUUGAGCGAAGGAAAAACCAAUUUAUACCAGUCAAAUCCGAGGUUGAGAGAGGGAUACAAAAGAAACAGAUCUCAACUGGGAUCUUCCUCACAGACUGGCGAGAGGAGUAUAGAAGAAGAAAGUAAAGGCAAAGAGGAGUUACCGAUGAACGCAGAUCUGAUACAAGAUCUCGCUCAUUGAUUAUGCUGACUGCCGAAAUGACAAAAGAGAUAAAGCGAUGGUUUAUGCUCGCCCACACGAGGGGAGGGAGAUCGGCGGAGUAAUGAGCGAAGAGAGAGUAGGUGAAGAGGCAUUAACGAAGAAGAAGAGGCGAAGGUAGGUGAAGAGCAAAACGAAGAAGAAGGAGAAAGGGCAUCGCAGCUUUUUCCAACCCAUGCCCUGGAUAACCAGCGGAAAUGCCCUAUUCCGCUGGUCCAGGGGUUAGCUCUUAACGGUUAUCCAAGGAUAACGCCUUAAGAGCGGGAUUAAUUAUCCCACCAAAAAACUGCACUGUUUGGAAGGUUUAGCAGGAUAAAAUGGUCUAAACCCACUUUAUCCUGCCAACCAAACACUGCCUAAGGGUACAUAUGCAAAUUUCCCCCAGAUUAAAAUCAAGCCUACGGGUGGUUGGGGGUCCUUCUGCAGCCUUUUUGCCCUUCCCACCCUUUCGGCUCCGCCUUUCUCUUUUAAGUUAAAUAAUAAAAUAAAUAAAAAAACCCAACUUUUUUCCCCUUUUUUUAAAAAAUAUUUUUAAUUAUUUGAGUUACUUUGUCUUGGCCCCCACCAACUCUCUCUAUAUAUACAGGCCAAGAGAGAGGCCACAUUCCACAAUCAAAAGGAGGGGAAAAAAAAUCAUCACACGCAAACUCGCGGAGGAGAGAAAAAGCGAAAAGAGAGAAAAGUAGGGAGAUACAUAGAAAAGAAAGAAACAAAAGUUUUGUUUCGAAGAGAGAUGGACGCGAAGGGCGGUCGCGUCCAGAACGGAUUCCGACAGUGGCUGGAGGCGGGGAGCGACGCCAUCCCCGCUCCGGAUGUUCAAAUUUUGACCUCCGGUGGCCGCAAAAUUUCCGCCCAUUCUGCAGUUCUUGUGAGCACCCGAAACCUUCAAUUGACAAGACAUUCAAAACUUUAUGUACUACAAUACAAUUAGAUACUCUCGAAUCGCAGAAGCUCACUGAGCACACAAUCGAUGUCUAAUCAUAUGCACUUUUUUAAAAAAGUAUUAAAUUUAUAUUUGUUUGUUUGUUUGUUUGUUUGUGUUUUUUAAGGCCGCGGCGUCGCCUGUGAUGGAGAGUAUAUUGGAUCGGGCACAAAAGCGUGGAAAAUCGCGCAGGGUUAUUCGGAUCCUGGGAGUCCCCCAUGAUGCUGUAACCGUGUUUGUGCGGUUGAUCUACUCCUUUGGGUAUGUGUUCUUUUUUCUUCCUUUUUUUCCUUUUUUUUGGGUGGGGGUUUAAAUUGAUUCUAUUUAAAUGUUUAGUUAAAGAAAGGAAAAGUAAAUCUAAUGCAUUGAGGACCCCAUGUUUAAGGAGAAAUUAUUGCCCUGUAGCGUGAUGUAGUACCAUGCUAUGCUUUUAAUUAAAAAUAUUUUAAAUUUCGUUUGAUUCGGAUAUAAAUAAAAAUUAUUUAACAUAGGAAUAGGUGCGAGUUUUGUUAUAAACAGAAGUUAGAGUAAAUUUUUAUUUGACGUUGUUUUUAAAAAUAAAGUAAAUAGUAUUUGAAUAGGCUUCAUUUGAUUCGGAUAUAAAUAAUAACUAUUUAUUGGAGGGAUAGAUACAAAUUCUGCUAUAAGAGAAAUUGAGUAAGUUUUUUUUUUGGAUUGAUUUUGGAAAUAAGAUAAUAAUAUUUGAAUAGGCUCCGUUUGGUUUAGAUAUAAACAAAAAUUAUUUAUUGUAGAGAUAGGUACAAAUUUCGAUAUAAGCAGGAACUGGAGUAAGGUAAAUGAUGUUUAAAUGUAAAUGAUGUUUAAAUGGUUAGAUUGGAAUAGUAAAAAUAAAAUAAUUAUAAUUUAAAAAUAUUUUAUCUAAUUAAUUAACAUCAAAAUGUUAAUUAAAAACAAUUUGAUAAAUUAAUAAAUUUAUUAGCUAUAAAUGUUAUAAUAAAUUAAUGAAUAUAAGUAUUAGUUAAUUCAUUAGUUAAAUAAUACAUUAAUUAUUUAGUUAGUUAAUUAUAGAUAAUUAGUUCAAGAUUAAAUAUAUUAGUCAAAAUAUGAAUGAUUGAUUAAUAUAAAUAUUGAUUAUUAGAUAAAUUUAUUAAAAUAUUUUUUAAAAAUUAUUUAAUUAAUUAUAAAUAAAUAAAUAUUUAUUUAUUUUACUGUUUAAGCAAUAGGUAAUGACUUAAAUAUGUUAAUUAGAUUAAUUAGUAAUUUAAUAUCAUAAUUAAAAUUAGAUUAAAUUUUAAUUAAUUUUGUUCCCACUUAGGAAUAAUCUUGUUCCAGGGAAGAGCGUGGAACAAUUGUUCCAAAAUUAUAUCGAAUUAUACCAGUUUAUUUCAGGAAUGAAAGAAUUACUAUUCACAAAUAUUAAAAAUAGUGUUUGAAAAUAAAGAGGGGAACAUAGACUUAUUCACUUUUUGUUCCUAAACGAAACAUUACCUAAAAUUAAAUUUUGAUAUGUUAGAUGUAAAUUGUUCACCGAUCUUGAAACAAACAGUACUUUGUUUACGAACAUUCCACAAAAUUGUGACAAACUCAUAAUUUUACUCUUCAGCUCCAUUAUUCAUUAACGAAACAUAACCUAAAAUUAAAUCUUAAUAUGUUAGACGUAAAUUAUUCGUUGAUCUUGAAACAAAUAGUACUUUGCUUAUAAACAUUCUACAAUAUCCAUUAUUUUAAUAAAUAAAACGGAUAAUAUGUUAUUUUUUAAAAAAAAAUAUUUUACAAUAUUGCGACAAACUCAUAAUUUUACUCUUCAGCUCGAUUAUUAUUCGUAAAAAAUCUACAAAGACUCGAACACGUGACCACUCUACACUGUGUCCAGGUGUCUUAAAAAUUGUAUUUAUGAAUAUAAAAUUUUGAAGUAUAUUUUAAUUGAAUAUGUAUGACAAUGGCUGAUGCACAGCUAAGCUGGUGCAUCGGGUGCGGACAAUAAUUUCUCAUCAUAACUAGUAGGACGCUAAUUUUUGGACUCAUCGUUGUCACAUGCACUGUACGAAACUAAAGAAAAUAAUAUCAAGGGUCCAAAAUCUUCCUGAUGGCUCUGAGAAUUUCACAUUUCCCUGUCAAAAAUUACUUUUUUUUUUAAUUUUUAAGUUAAUUCUUACUUGGGGGUCCCACGAUCUACGAUCUUAUGUCGUCCCCUUCAUCCAAUCACAGCCCUCCAUUCGUCCGUUUCACUUUUUAAGAACGAGACACCGUCCAUUUCGUUCUAUAAUAGGCAUAAUAAUUGACUCAGCACCACCUAGAAAUUUGGAGAAUUUUUUUUCGUGCUUCAGAUUUUUUUGUGUGGAUCAUGUGCCACAAUGCAUAAUACAUAGUCACAAUAAUUUUAGUUUUUUUUUCAUUUUAUUAAGGUAAUGAAGAGUACACAAAUUUUGGGUGUGACUGAAUAUCUAUGAAUAAUAAGAAAUAAAUUAAUCAAUCAAUAUAAGCAUUUUUUACACUGUUUAUAAUAAAAUAUUAUAAUAAAAUACCUAUUUUAAAUAUUCGAUUGAACUUCAAAUUUAAUGGGAAUGCCGAUCUUAUGGCGCGCUGAGUAGAACAAACGGAUCAUGUCAUGUCAAUCAGGUGCGUGUCGUUGGACGAGGAGGAGGAGAUGGGGAGGUACGGGCUGCACCUGCUGGUGCUGUCGCAUGCGUACGACGUGGGGUGGCUGAAGCGUGCGUGCGAGGCGGCGCUGGCGCUGCGGCUGACGGCGGAGGGCAUGGUGGACGUGUUGCUGCUGGCGCGGCAGUGCAAUGCCGCGCGGCUGUACCUCCGCUGCAUGAAGCUGCUGGCCAAGGACUUCGCUGCCGUCAAGAGGACCGAAGCCUGGCAGUUCCUCCAGGCCAACGACCCCUGGCUCGAGCUCGAAAUCCUCCAGUUCCUCCAGGAGGCCGAUCUGGUACGUGA
This 117272-nucleotide long non-coding RNA is filed under the name Ananas comosus (pineapple). RNAcentral's name for it is "long non-coding RNA (ACOM_LNC002598)". Lineage: Eukaryota; Viridiplantae; Streptophyta; Magnoliopsida; Poales; Bromeliaceae. The record is from RNAcentral.